Molecule: long non-coding RNA, 101778 nt
Filed under: Triticum aestivum (bread wheat)
Lineage: Eukaryota; Viridiplantae; Streptophyta; Magnoliopsida; Poales; Poaceae
Description: long non-coding RNA (TAES_LNC008025)
Source: RNAcentral
UUUUUUUUGUUUUGUUUUCUGCAUUAUUUAUUUUCUUUUGUUUUUUGCUAUAUUUUUUAAUUCUUUUUGCUUUUAGUUUUAGAAAAAUUAUAAACUUUCUGUUAGUACUAUUAGUUUUCAAAUUUGAAAACACUUUUUUUGUUUUUUUUGUUUUCUUUCUUGCUUUAUUUAUUUUAUUUUGCUUCUACUUACAACAAAAUACUUAUUGUUGCUACGAGGGUCGAACCAUAAGACAUUAAAGCAUUUCAAAUGAACUAUGAAAAAGUUGAAAGUUGGCAUGGUAUCAUAAAUUCACCCACAUAGCAUGUGCAUGUACAAAAUGGACAAUGGUAUCAUACUCGUGUGUUACAAAGUUGGCAUGGUAUCAUCAUAAUAGUUGUGGAAGAAAGUCUUCACUUUUUCUUCGCUUGUGUCAUUUGCUUAUUGCGCCGUAACCAUGGAUAAUCUUCAUCACUUAUAAGGAUGCUGGGGUCAGCCUUGACUUUGAAGGGAGGAAUUUCAUGAAACUUUUCAUAAUCUUCAGAUAUGUCUGUCUUGCCCUCCACUCCCACAAUGUCCCUUUUUCAUGAAAGAACUAUGUGGCGCUUUGGCUCAUCGUAUGAUGUAUUCACUUUCUUAUCUUUUUUUUUUCUCGGUCUGUUAGACAUAUCCUUCACAUAAAUAACUUGUGCCACAUCAUUGGCUAGGACGAACGGUUUGUCAGUGUACCCAAGAUUUUUCAGAUCCACUGUUGUCAUUCCGUACUGUGGGUCUACCUGUACCCUGCCUCCUGACAGAUUGACCCAUUUGCACUUAAACAAAGGGACCUUAAAAUCAUGUCCAUAGUCAAGUUCCCAUAUGUCCACUAUGUAACCAUAAUAUGUGUCAUUUCCCCUCUCGGUUGUUGCAUUAAAGCGGACACCGCUGUUUUGGUUGGUGCUCUUUUGAUCUUGGUCAAUCGUGUAAAAUGUAUUCCCAUUUAUCUCGUAUCCUUUCCAAAUCGUAACAGUCGAAGAUGGUCCCCUGGACAACAAGUACAGCUCAUCACAAACACUGUUGUCACCUCUGAGACGUGCUUCCAACCAACUGCUGAAAGUCCUGAUGUGUUCACAUGUAAUCCAGUCAUCGCACUGCUCCGAGUGUUUGGAGCGCAGACUGUUCUUGUGUUCAUCGACAUAUGGGGUCACCAAGGUAGAGUUCUGUAGAACUGUGUAGCGUGCUUGAGACCAAGAAUAUUCGUCCCUGCAUAUUAUUGAGUCCCUUCCAAGCAUGCCUUUUCCAGUCAGUCUCCCCUCAUACCGCGAUUGAGGGAGACAUGUCUUCUUAAGGCCAGGAAUGAAGUCAACACAAAACCCGAUGACAUCCUUUGUUUGAUGGCCCAUGGAGAUGCUUCCUUCUGGCCUAGCGCGGUUACGGACAUAUUUCUUUAGGACUCCCAUGAACCUCUCAAAGGGGUACAUAUUGUGUAGAAAUACGGUUCCCAGAAUGACAAUCUCAUCAACUAGAUGAACUAGGAUGUGCGUCAUGAUAUUGAAGAAGGAUGGUGGGAACACCAGCUCGAAACUGACAAGACAUUGCACCACAUCACUCCUUAGCCUUGGUAUGAUUUCUGGAUCGAUCACCUUUUGAGAGAUUGCAUUGAGGAAUGCACAUAGCUUCACAAUGGCUAAUCGGACGUUUUCCGGUAGAAGCCCCCUCAAUGCAACCGGAAGCAGUUGCGUCAUAAUCACGUGGCAGUCAUGAGACUUUAGGUUCUGAAACUUUUUUUCUGACAUAUUUAUUAUUUCUUUUAUAUUCGACGAGAAGCUAGUCGGGACCUUCAUACUAAGCAGGCAUUCAAAGAAGAUUUCCUUCUCUUCUUUGGUAAGAGCAUAGCUGGCAGGACCUUCAUACUGCUUUGGAGGCAUGCCGUCUUUUUCGUGUGAACGUUGCAGGUCCUCCCGUGCCUCAGCUGUAUCUUUUGUCUUCUCAUACACGCCUAAGAAGCCUAGAAGUACGCAAAGGUUCUUCGUCACGUGCAUCACGUCGAUCGAAGAGCGGACCUCUAGGUCUUUCCAUUAGGGUAGGUCCCAAAAUAUAGAUUUCUUCUUCCACAUGGGUGCGUGUCCCCCAGCGUCACUCGGAACAGCUAGUCCGCCGGGACCCUUUCCAAAGAUUACGUGUAAAUCAUUAACCAUAGCAAGUACGUGAUCACCGGUACGCAUGGCGGGCUUCCUCCGGUGAUCUGCCUCGCCUUUGAAAUGCUUGCCUUUCUUUCGACAUUGAUGGUUGGUCGGAAGAAAUCAACGAUGGCCCAGGUACACAUUCUUCCUGCAGCUUCCCAGGUAUAUACUAUCGGUGUCAAGUAAACAGUGCUUGCAUGCGUGGUAUCCCUUCUUUGUCUGUCCUGAAAGGUUACUGAGAGCGGGCCAAUCGUUGAUGGUCACGAACAACAACGCCUUUAGGUGAAAUUUCUCCUGUUUGUGCUCAUCCCACAUACGUACAUCGUUUCCAUUCCACAACUGUAAAAGUUCUUCAACUAAUGGCCUUAGGUACACAUCAAUGUCGUUGCCGGGUUGCUUAGGGCCUUGGAUGAGAACUGGCAUCAUAAUGAACUUCCGCUUCUUGCACAUCCAAGGAGGAAGGUUAUACAUACAUAGAGUCACGGGCCAGGUGUUGUGAUUGCUGCUCUGCUCCCCGAAAGGAUUAAUGCCAUCCGCACUUAAAGCAAACCAUAUGUUCCUUGGGUCACUUGCAAACUCAUCCCAGUACUUUCUCUCGAUUUUUCUCCACUGUGACCCGUCAGCGGGUGCUCUCAACUUCCCGUCUUUCUUACGGUCCUCACUGUGCCAUCGCAUCAACUUGGCAUGCUCUCCGUUUCUAAACAGAUGUUUCAAUCGUGGUAUUAUAGGAGCAUACCACAUCACCUUCGCAGGAACCCUCUUCCUGGGGGGCUCGUCGUUAACAUCACCAGGGUCAUCUCGUCUGAUCUUAUACCGUAAUGCACCGCAUACCGGGCAUGCGUUCAGAUCCUUGUACGCACCGCGGUAGAGGAUGCAGUCAUUAGGGCCUGCAUGUAUCUUCUGCACCUCCAAUCCUAGAGGGCAUACGACCUUCUUUGCUGCGUAUGUACUGUCGGGCAAUUCGUUAUCCUUUGGAAGCUUCUUCUUCAAUAUUUUCAGUAGCUUCUCAAAUCCUUUGUCAGGCACAGCAUUCUCUGCCUUCCACUGCAGCAAUUCCAGUACGGUACCGAGGUUUGUGUUGCCAUCUUCGCAAUUGGGGUACAACCCUUUUUCUGGUCUUCUAACAUGCGAUCGAACUUCAGCUUCUCCUUUUGACUUUCACAUUGCGUCCUUGCAUCGACAAUGACCCGACGGAGAUCAUCAUCAUCGGGCACCGCACAUCGUUUGGUUCCUCUUGAUCUUCAGCAGCUUCGCCUGUUGCAGCAUCAUCGUGCACAUCGUCUGGUUCCUCUUGAUCUUCAGUAGCAUCACCGUAUUCAGGGGGCACAUAGUUGUCAUCAUACUUUUCUUCUUUGCCGUCUUCCAUCAUAACCCCUAUUUCUCCGUGCCUCAUCCAAACAUUAUAGUGUGGCAUGAAACCCUUGUAAAGCAGGUGGGUGUGAAGGAUUUUCCGGUCAGAGUAAGACUUCAUAUUCCCACAUAUAGGGCAUGGACAACACAUAAAACCAUUAUGCUUGUUUGCCUCAGCCAAUUUGAGAAAUUCAUGCACGCCCUUAAUGUACUCGGAGGUGUGUCUUGAACCGUACAUCCAUUGCCGGUUCAUCUGCAUACAUUAUAUAUAAUUAAGUGUGUCAAAAAUUAUUACAGAACAUCAUGAAUAGAUAAUUAAGUGACCAAAUUAAUAGAAGUUCAUCAUCACAUUAAAACCAAAGUACAUACAUAGUUCUCAUCUAACAACAUAAAGCUCUGCAGAGCAUCUAAAUUAAUUAAACCAUACAUUGAAACUAUGUAAAACAUUUCAAUGCGAAAACAAAUGCGAUAAUAAUCGCAACCAAUGUAACAUCUGAUCCAACGGCAUAAUGAUACCAAGCCUCGGUAUGAAUGGCAUAUUUUCUAAUCUUUCUAAUCUUCAAGCGCAUUGCAUCCAUCUUGAUCUUGUGAUCAUCCACGACAUCCCGCAACAUGCAACUCCAAUAUCAUCUUCUCCUCCUCAAUUUUUCUAAUUUUUUCCUUCAAAAAAUUGUUUUCUUCUUCAACUAAAUUUAACCUCUCGACAAUAGGGUCGGUUGGAAUUUCCGGUUCAACAACCUCCUAGAUAAAUAAAAUCUAUGUCACGUUGGUCGGCAUAAUUGUCAUAAACAAUAGAUGAACCAAUAGUUAUGAAAAGAUAAUAUAUACCACAUCCGAAUCAUAGACAGGAGAGGGCCGACGGGGGCGGAUACCAAAACCAUUGCACUAUAUAAGAUGCAAUAAUAAAAGUAAGAAAAUUAUACAAGUAUCUAUAUAUAUAAACAUACAAGUAAGAUUUUUUUUCCUUUCAGAAAGAAGAUAAGAACAAGAGGCUCACCACGGUGGUGCCGGCGACGAGAUCGGCGCGGGCGAUCGACGGCGGUGAAGACGGGGACGGGACGUGACGGACCGCUAAACCUAGACAAAUAUUAAGGAAAAUGGAGCUUGGAGAUCGAGCUUGGAGAGGAGAAAGCUUAAGUAGUGUGGCUCGGGCAUUCCAUCGAACACCUCGUGUGCAUAGGAGGUGAGCUAGAGCACCACAAAACUCUCUCCUCGCCGGCCACGAAAAACAGAGCACUGAGAGUGCUCUGCUCGCGGGCGUAUAUAUAGGCAAUUAAUUGGUCCCGGUUCGUGGCUUGAACCGGGACUAAUGGGAAGCCUUUGGUCCCGGUUCAGGCCACCAACCGGGACCAAUGAUGGUGGGCCAGGACCAAGGCACAUUGGUCCCGGUUCGUCCCACCAACCGGGACCAAAAGGUCCAGACGAACCGGGACCAAUGGCCCACGUGGCCCGGCCAGCCCCCGGGGCUCACGAACCGGGUCCAGUGCCCCCAUUGGUCCCGGUUCUGGAUUGAACCGGGACUAAUGGGCUGACCCGGCCUGGACCAAUACCCCCUUUUCUACUAGUGGCUUGACCACGUGAACUCGUGAAGCCUGCAAAGUUGCAAGUAGAUUCCUGCAUGUAGAUGCUUCCGGCGAAGAAUUAAUUCUGAUCAUGGCUUGAACAUGCCAUAAAAUCAUAGUUUUCCGGAGGAGCAGUCAUUCCGCAUUAUGGCGCCUUCCAAUUGAGUGCAAAUUUCCGGCCCAGGAAAAAAACGAGCUCCAUGCAUGAUCUCGUGAGCCACGUGCACGUUGUCCUUUGAACGGCACACGUGGAUCAGCUUGACGAGAAGCAACACGGGCUGCCGCGUGACUAUUCGAUGCAGCCGGACCAACAUGCCAAAGCACACAGCAGGCCAUCACCGACCAGGGACGGCGCUCCGGUAGAGUUUGCAGCGGAUUAAGGGCCACGAGCCACGACCAUGUCCGCAGAGUUGCACAGCGGGUUAGCAAUUGCAUUUGCAUGGUACGAUGAUACUAUUGCUAGCGAACGAACCUUGCUCUGAUACCAACUUUAGAAAUUUAGGGUUUGUGGUCUACCCCUUAUUCCUCUGCGCUCAUCACUGGUAUCGCUCACAAUUCGCAUAUCUAAGACUAAGGGGCAGGGACCUUCUUAUACUAUUUUUUCAAAGAGUCCACCUCUUAUACAUAUAAGAUUCCUAGUCAUACAACUAGUUUCCGAGAUAGAGUCUAGACCAAAUUACCAACCACGAUCAUAUUUAUCUAUUAACGAAUUAUACCUGUUGUGUUCCAAGAGAACACGCUUGUGAGCAACACGCCAUAAUAAAGUGUAAAUUCCUCGGGGGAGGGGGGGGGGUGUGAUCAACACGAGGGUUGUAAUCUAACUAUGUAUACAAUCUAGCUCUUUCCAAUCAUCAGUGUGCCCGGGUAGUCUUUUCAAUAUAAAUAGUAUAUUUUAUUCCACUAAUAACCGACCAACUUCCUUAAACAUAUAUUACUUAAGUACAUUUCAACAAGUAACAAUUCCAUGCUAAAUAUGUAGAGCAAUUCCAUGUAUAAAUACAUGUAUAAUUCCAUAAUGAGGUAUUCUAAAUAUUUGUAAUUCUUAGUAAUUUGAAGAUAGUUGCAGGACACAUAAUUUCAUAAGACUCUGAUAGCAGCAACUUGAAACGUACGUACAUACAUAUGUCAGACCACUGUUUUUGAGUCGAAGCAGAGCAGUUUGUGAACCACAAGACCAAGAUCAAGCAGCAGGUUUAUCCACCGGUUGGGUGGCUCUUGUAUUCAUCCCUGAAACAUACUUCGUCCAUAAAGAAUUAUAAGAUCAUUUAAAGCACUACUUUAGUGAUCUAAAUGUUUUUAUAUUUCUUCACAAAGGGAGGAAUAAUAUAAUUCAUGGCCUGGAAAAUGCAAUAUUUUUUGAAAAGCCUCAAAUGACUCACGUUCUGCUCUUCUCAUGACUCCAUUUUUUCUUCAUAUGUUAUAUAAUUAAUUAAUAUUCAGGAAAACAUCCUUUUGCCAUUAUCUGCAUUUGCUACCGAUUAACAUUUUGACCACCAUGGUUCAGUAUGAUGCAAAAUAUAUAAAUGUACUGAAUAAUUGACCGGUGAAGAGCAUUGGCUUUAUGGUGUCUUAGCUUAAUUAUAGUGGUCAUCUCUACAUUUUCGCAAACUAAUCAGAAGGCACAGUAAAAUGAAUCUUUUUGAAAAAAAAUGAUGUUUUCAAUAAAUCAUCCAAUAUAUACACCUUUUUUUUAGAGAAAUUAUCCACUAUAUACACUGUGUGGUAACUGUAACAGUAAAAAAGCUAGCUUCAGUUGGUCAGUUGCUACCUUUUCAGGGCACGUUACGUGUUGGUUAGUCCUGACUGCUGGCGACGCAUCCAAAUGAACCAUGCAUAUAUGGCCAUCUUCGUUUCAUGUUUGAGGCAAUAAGAGUUGUCGUGUCGUGUCAGGUCAGAUGGAGAGGAAGGUCUUGACGGCGGCCCUGAAGGUGCGCACCACGGCGGCCCAGGCGGCCUGCGUCGGGUGCACGUCGUCCCAGUAGAAGUAGCGGCCGGGGUCGUCGCAGAGCGUGUACUGCCGCGUGCCGUUCUCGUCCUCCUCGCCGCAGUAGCCGUCCGGCCUGAAGCUCUCGCAGCACGGUCGCAGCAUGCUUUUGAACAACUUGUUGUCACUGUCACCAUUGUUGUCGUCGAGGAGGAAGGCGGCGAAGGGGGUGUGGACGUCGAGGAGGAGGAAGGUGCGGUUGUUGGAGGACCGAAUGGAGCGCGGCGUUGUGCUGGGAGGCGCCGGCGUUAGCCAGCGGGUCGCAGCCGGUGUAGUUGAGCAGGCGGGUGAAUGUCGGCGUGCAACCCAUGGGGUGCAGGUUGGUCACCACCACCCUCCGCAUCCCCGCCUCGUCGCGCAGCCGCCGGAGCUGCCCCCGGAGCUCCCGCACCACCGUUGGGAUGUACGCGAUCGCCGCCUGCACGGCACACAAACACACAGAGCAGUACAACACCGUCAGUCAUGGAUUGGUGGCUUUGACAGACAACGACGGCAAGUGCACGGUGACCACGUACGCUGGUGCCGUUGUUGUCCUUGUCGGCGGCGUAGGCGUAGUCGUUGCCGGAGACGACGACGAGUGCGGUCCUCUUGCCGCUGCCAGCGCGGCAACCAGGACGGUGGUGCAUGGUUUGGAAGAGGUCGAUCUGCGCGCUGAUGUUGCGCUGGAAGUUGCCGGUGUCGAGCACGCCGGCGCCGCCGACGGCGAAGUUCAUGCCGCGCGCGAGGGUCUCCGGCGACGCCCGCGGCCGCGCCUUGUACGCCACCGGCGUCCGCAUCCCCAGAGCCGAAGCUAUACUCACACAAAAAUAGCUAAGUAGAAACACUACGUCGGUGACAGCACAAAACACUCAUCUGAAACAUACUCCCUCCGUUCUUUUUAUAUAAGGUGUAUUAUUUUCGGCACGAUGAACAAGACAUAAAAUUGUAGACAUGUUAGGACAAAAUUACCCUUGGCAAAUUUAUUUUUUAGUGGCAAGUGGAUACAGAUUUGGUGAACAUGGGUGCACAUGCACCCUUUAUGAUAGUAAAAUCGAUAAAAUACUAGAAAAAAUAAAAAAAAGAAUUUAUUUUUAAAAUAUAAAGAGUCAACCGGUGUACUCGUAUAUGAAGUUUCAUGAAGAAAUCACAUCCGUGGUAAUCUGGGCAAAAAAUGACAAAAUCGAAGAUAAUCAAAGCUAUAUUAAAAGACACUGUUUAAUGGAUAGUAUGGUCGCGUUUGUAUUUUCCUCAGUAAGAAUACCAUGGGUGUCACUACACCAUGAAACUUCACAUGUGAGUAGAAUGAUCGAUUAAAAUUCAUACCGUGAAAUUUAAGAAUUUUUUAUUUUUUUUCUAGUAUUUUUUAUGAAUUUACUAUUCAUGUGGUUGCGCGCGCACCCAUGUUCAUCUUUGUAUUUUAGCAAGUAAAUCAGGUAGUCGAGGAAAGUAUGAGAUACAUGCAAUCGACAGAGAGAUAUUUUUCUUCUUUUGCUACAAGGAGAGAUACAGACAAUCAGGAGAGAGAUACUUUCCCUUUUUCUGGAGGGCUAACAAGGUAAUUAUAAGAAAUUAGAAUAAAUGUGCCUUACAUUCUGAAAUUUUAUAAAAAAAAUAAAUACACCUUAUAUAAAGGAAUGGAGUGAGUAGAUCUCAUGGUGUAGUAUAACCAUUUGCCUAUAUGCCAGUUACCUGAAAAUUUAAUCUAACUCGGUCACUUUUCCAACGGCCAAAAAUAGAACACACAUAUUUUAUUUCCUCCCGCAGCGGCCCCUCUGCCACGCCCCGCUCUGCCCUCCCCUCAACCUUCCUCAUCGCCGUUCUAGCCGCCACCCAAGCCAUACUUCUAAGCCACACCCCGAUCAAUAGCUCCCCGACGACCCCGCACCGCCGACUUGCACCCGUCAAGUUUCAGACCUGCUCUCGCCGGCUAUCAUGAGCUCCCGUUUGAUCAGGGCUCGGCCUUGCCAUGGUCGGCGCUCGUCGUUCCUCACGCAGUCCUCACCUUUGGCCUCACGCGAAGCAAAAAGUAUCCGGCGCACAGUUUAAAACUGAGGGUCACUCCGUCCCAUAAUAAGUGUCUCAACUUUCUACUGACUUUAAUGUAAAGUUGUAUAAUAAGAUUGAGACACUUAUUUUGGGAUAGAGGGAGUAGCAGCUAAUUAAUCUAGUUUUUGUGGUGGAAAGGGGAAGACGCCGAGGGUGUGGCUGGAGGUAGGAGUAUCUUACUGUCCCUUUCUGUGGCAUGGAAUGGAAGUGCCAAGUUGUGGCAUUAGUGGUAGCAGAUUCAGAUUUGCUACCAACUUUUGAGACUGUUUUGGUUAUAAAUAAAUAUAUAAACAAAAUAAUAAUGUGCAUGGCACACAUGGCAGCACGUAGUCAGUACGAGAAAGAUCUGGCUCGCUAGUAUAUACUGCGUACAUAUUCAAAUUUCCUGCCGAACCAGAGCAUCGCCGUUGCCUGAAGAAUAUGCAACGCUAUAGUUGGAGAGAGGCAUUUUGGUGGCCGGGCUACCUGUAGGCCGGUAUCUCGCGACGUACGAUAUAGCCCCGCGAUGUGUGCUGACUUUUCUUAUCGCAUAUAUACGCCGGCGGUUAAGUUGAUAUACACUGUUUUUUUUUGAGACAUGGUGAUAUGGGGUGGGGUGCUACCAUUGUACGUGGGCUGGGGUACACGUUGCCACGCAUGAGCCUCAUGUGCCUGCUGGGCUGGUUUGAAAAUAUCGCCCGUGAACCUGACGCAGUGAGUUGGGUUGGUGCGAUAUUAAUUCUCUGGCUCGACGGGCCCAUUUGUGCUCCCGGUAACUUAACUUCCAAGCGGUGGUCAGUUCACUGUCACCAUUCAUCCCCUUUGCCUGGUGGCUGGGCGAGCGACAAAUCGCCAUGGAUGGUCUCGAGUUUUUCUUUGAGGAAGCGGAAUUAGGGUAAAAAACUAGCAAGUGUGCCAAUUUAUUUCUGUUGCACUUGCUCUUUUGCUUCCAGAAUUUGUAUGGCGUGGGAUUUUGAUAGAAUUCCUUUUUUCGCUCAUUUUCUCUGCAUCUUUGUUGGUGGAUCUGAUAGGAUGACAAAUACGGUUGACUUGCAGAUUGGUCCCUAGGGUGGAUGCGGUGGAUAUUUUGGGCGGCGGAGUCGCUACUGUGGGGUCCGUCAGGGGCGGAGCCCAUUGGGCUGACCCGUAUGCACAGGAAUACGGGUGAAAAAAUUCCCUAGCAGUGCCUAUUAGUUAAAAAGGCCGAGUGCAUCAGGGUGGCCCAAGAGCUGUGCAUCAGGGUCAGCCCGUUCCAGCCACUCCGACGCCUCCGGACUGGCCCAACGCAGCAGUACACGCACGCACGACGGUUCGCUUGCGCAUCCACCAUCUCCUCACGUAGUUUUUGUCUAUGAAAAAAAAGAGAAUCUCUUCACGUAGUCACAUCUUUUUUUUCACUAGAAAAAAACUAAUCGAUCCAUCGAUCGAUUUGUGCAUUACGCGUACGAACCCAGCCUACCAUACUCCAUACGCCCCCUGCGCGUCGCCGUCCCACACAGCCGCCGGAGGCGGCAGCGGCAGCGCGCCGGCCGCCGGCCUCCAUGCAGCCUGGGUCCUCACACGGUGACGAAGCGACGCGCACGAGCAACGUUGCACGCCGUCCGGUGCUCGGUAAUUUCGCAUCCUUUUCAAAUUCCAAUCUUGAAGGUUCGUCUCUGUGUCCGCCAAGAUGAUAAAUUACAAAAGGCCACAAUUGUGGUAGGGCCUUUGUCUUGCUUUUCCUAGUUUUGUUGAACUUCAACAAUCAUGUAUAGACUUGUAGUGAAUAUAGUAAAUCACUAUGUUUUAGUAAAAGUGUGGAGUAUUUUUUAGGGUUAUAACUUCUAAUUAGGUUAUAUUUUAUUUGCCUAUACAAUUCUCCAUGUCUCAUUUAUAAUUUAUAUUUGUCGAAUACAGAUACUAUGGACAAGUUUCUUCUCAAAAGAAAUGCACCAUCACAGCCAGAAGACAUAAAUUGGGAAGAGGAGAUUCAGUAUGAUCAGGGCAAUCGCCUCAAUGAUGAAAGUUUGAGUGAUGAUAUUAUUUGUUAUGUGGAGAAGGAAGAAAUGAAAAGGGCCACCAAUGCUCAAGUGGUUGAGUAUUUCAUGGCCUGGAGGAAUAGAAACAAGUGGUUGAGUAUUUCAUGGCCUAGAGGAAUAGAAACAUACUAAGGUAAUUUUCAAUUUUUAGCAAUCUAAGUACUUUCAUUUGGGCUACAUUUCAAGUAGUUAUAUCCCUUGUUUUAUCAUUAUAGUAAGCAAUUUGAUGGCUACAUUUCGUUUUUACAAAUCGCUUCUAUUAUAUCCAAUAAUGUGUGUUAAACCUAUAAAACACACAUUUAUUCAAUACAUCCACGCUUGAAAAAAUUUAUGCCUUGUUAAAGUGGUGCAUCGGGUAAGAUUUGCUCCAGCUCCGCCCCUGGGGUCCGUUGUUGCUUCCAUCUGUGAAGCUCGCGUGAGCUCAGCAUUUGAUCUCUUCUGAUCCCAUGUCCGACAGUGGUGGCGAACUGCAGUUCCUAUAAGAGGACGAGAAAUCGAGAAUGUUGGCUCGUACAACAGUACUAGUGUGAGGUAGUCAAACGACAUGACUCCUGAGAAUAUGACCAAUGCAACAAUGGGAGAAGAUGGAGAUGCGGAGGGUGUCGUCAUGGGCUCCUGCUGGACUCCACGGUAACAACCAAAUACUCAUGCAGAAAAUUAUUAUUCUCAUUUGCCAUUGAUUUUAUUAGUCUAUAAUGUUCAGUCUUGCUCGACCAAUGUUGGUCCUAUAAUUUUCAGUUAGUGGACGCCCCUGCUAGGUCGCACUUUUAGUACUGAGAGUGAUUCUGCAACAUUUUUUCUUGAUCUAUUUAUAUCGGUCUGCACAAGUACAAAAUACAUCGGUGGAGAUUUUUUGAAAAACAUUUGCAAUAUUUCAGAUUGGCAGUGUGUCAGAUGAGUUAUUUUUCUGAUGCCACUGAUUCUUGAAUUUUCAGUGUUGCUGGGACAAGCCUUGGUUCUAUGAUUUUCGGUACAUUCUUGGCACAUGUUGACAAAGUCAAAACCCAUGUCGUUCGGAUGAGUCUUUGUCAGGUGCGCGCGUGGCUGCGCAGACAUCUGUGCACACGACUGCUGUGCCUGCUAUUAUACAUGGGCUGACACUGUUCAAUUUCUAGCAAAUACGAGCACAUUGCAGCGGCCUCUACUGCAAAUACAGUACCUACCUACCGGCUUGGCGCUGAUCACGACGAGCGCAGACGGGUAUGAUAACGGCCUGCAGGUAACCCGGCCACCAAAGAGCAUUUUCGCUAUAGUUGUGCUUAUAUUAUGAGGAGCAACGCUAUAUUAGCAUGCAGUUGAUACUGGUAGCUGAGUGUGAUGCACCACCACCCUAGGUCGUUGUAGCUCUAGCUGCUUUGCAACAAAAAUGUCGGUCUGAUGGUGAGAGGACCUGCCGGCGCGUCAGACAAGCCGACACACAUGGCUCGUCCAUCCAUCCCUGGGAUUCUGACCGGAAGGGUAGAGAGAGUUGGAGUUGCACUGGACGGAUAUGCUGCCUAUGGUGUAUGUAUGUGCCCUACUACUACUACCAUGUCGUGUCAUAUGCAUGCAGUGCAACAAGAGUGGGUUGGUGAAGGAACUAAUCCAGAUUCACGAGGUUGGGCGUGCAGGCGCAGGUGCAUGUGCGCGCGUGGACUGAUGGAGUUAUUAGUUCCACGCAUCCUCCAUGUGUGUCUGCGUGGGUACACAAGUACAGAUGCAUGGGGGAAGGAAUGCAGUCCGGCGUGUGAUCCGGCCAGCCGCCGGCCAUUUUGCCGGCGACAAGCAACUCAUGCACCCAGCCGGUAAUUUCGAAGAAGAUUAGUUACUGCUAUGUCGUCGUCCAAGUAUGUAUCUAUCUGUCAAUGAAUGCGCAAACGAAUUACUCAUCCGUCCAUCGACAACAUCUAUAUAUAUUGGACCGUCCCUGGGCUGGGAUGAUGACGGCCCAGCGGCCAGCGACACGUGUUUACUCCUACCACUGCACCGCACAGCUAUCGCACCGCCGCCGUACCACGUCUUCUCCGGCGAGCGAUUAGCCGAUUACUGCCUCCUACUAGUGGUGAUUGACGGCCAAGAGUAGCAAAGGAGGAGCAGAGUGUGGUGCAUGGGCUUACCGACGAAGUCAGUGAGGACCCGGCCGUCGGAGAAGCGGCCGACGGGGCGGCGGGGUAUAAAUAUGUGUAUGUUACUUUUCAUUGUGGCUAGUCCAACAUCCUGAAGGAAUGGCAUGAAGCUACAGUGACAUGUGUACGUAAAACGAAGGAUGCCACGAGCUACAGUAAAAUACUGUAGCAAUCACUGUGCGAAUUUACCGUAGCAUGUAAAAUAAAUCAAAAAAUCAUUUUAUUAUACCAUAAUUUUGUUUGUAUGUAAUUUUUGUAAAUGUAUGCAAUAGAUUUGUAAUUUAUAAAUUAAUUAUAAUCAUUUUAGACUUAACUAUAUGAAUGUGAAGAAGGGAUGUCACGGUUAUUGUAGUUUAAAUGUUAGAGGAUCCGCUUCCCUCCGGCCGAUGCGACUGAAGUAGAUGGAGACACAGCAGCAAUCAGUGGACGCCUCCAUUAUUCCUUUCCAUCCUCGAAACCAUAAAUAAUGUCACCACCUCAUGCCAUGCGUGUAUAUCUGAAUUUCUCCAUGCAUGCAAUCGCUGCAUCCUGCAUGGUCAACACAUGUAUUCCUACACGCUCUACGUAUGAGACGACGCGUUUUCUUUAAUUUGUAUGUAUACAUGUACUUCCUUCAUUUCUUUUUACUUCGUGUAUAAGGUUUGCCUGAAGUCAAACGACGUGAGGUUUGUCCAAAUUUAUGAUGCAUCUGUUGGCCUAGACUCGACGCCGAGUAUUUCCGGCGACGGCGAUACUCUCCGACGAACUUGACGAAGGGCUUUACGUCGAGUUGCACCACAAUACAAAGCUGGUCACCUGAUCCCUAAUUGAUCCUUGUACGUGCACGAGUACUAGUACUAUAACGCACAAGCACUUCUAGCUGGAAUCGAUCAACUUGAUUGAUCGUCUAGCUAGCUCACGUAUACGGCGCAGCACAAGAAUCAAUUUGAUUGCCGCACGAGACGAGUUGUUUUGUUUGUAUUGCUUUUCACGGUAUAGCUUACAAGAGGUAUAUAUAGUACCUAGGACCGAUCUAAUCUAGCCUACUCGGAUAGAUGUUCUAAUCCUAGUACUAAUAGGUGACAGCUCCGUGUACGAGCCAGACACCGCAACUAAGAGUCGGGUUUAAUUCCAACAAUCACCCCCUAAACACGACGUCAUCACAUCACAGUUCUGACGCCGAUCCUUCUUCCCAUCUCCAAGAGCUUCUCUCUAUCCAACGCUUUGGUCAGGAUGUUCGCCAGCUGAUCAUCGGUGUGAUUGUAGUUGACCUCCGUCUUUCCUUCUUCCAGGCAGUCCUUUAUGUAGUGAUACAUGGUAUCAAUGUGCUUGCUCCUUUCACGCCGCACCGGAUUCUCGGGUAGAAAAGUGAUAGACUCACUGUCAACGUUGAGCACCACUGGUUCCGGAUCUCUCUAUCCAUGAGAUCACCGUGCACACCUUGACACUCUCCUUCACUUGAAGUCGAUGUCACCACAUUCUGCUUUCGUGAUAGCCAGCUUACUAUGCUUCCACUAAGAAAAUAUGCCACAUCCGAGGUACUCUUACGGUCGUCGACAAUUCCUUCCUUGUCACUACCAUUGUAGCCAAGUAGUUUCACCAUCUCCUUCUUGCUCAGCUCAAGACGAGGUUCCAUUGAAGCGACAAUGUGAUUGCAAUUUUUCAUGCCACAGCUUUCAAGUACCUUCCUUGCAUAUGCCUCCUGGCAUAAUGUGACCCCCUCCGUUUUUUGAUGUUCCUCCAUCCCGAGGUAGUAACUCAAAAUACCAGGAUCAUCCAUCUUGAAAGACUCCUUCAUUUGUAGCUUGAACUUUGCAAUCACCUCUUCAUCUGCUCUAGUAAUCAAUAGGUCGUCUUUGUAGAUGCAAACUAGUAGACGAUCCUUUCCUUCACCUCUCUUGUACAUUGCAUGCUCUAGUGGGGCUUUCUCAAAUCCAAGAGAAAUCAAAGUCCGAUCAAGUUCCAUGCUCCAUGCCCGAGAGCCUUGCCGUAGACCGUACAAGACUUUGUGUAGCUUCAGUACCUUGUGUUCUUCUCCCUCUUUGAUGAAUCCCGGUGACUGAUUCAGAUACACAUAUCCUUCUAACUCGCCAUUCAAAAACGCGGAUUUUACGUCCAUGUGAUGUAUCUUCCAUGAUUCCUGAACCGCGAGAGCGAUGAGUAGUCUCACCGAUUUCAUCCUUUCAAUGGGAACGAACACUUCUUCGAAGUCAACACCUUUCUCUUGCACGUACUCUUUGACUACUAGCCUUGCUUUGUGCUUCACGGACCCUUCGACAUCUCUCUUGAUCGUAAAUUCCCACUUGAGAUCCAUGGCUUUUUCAUUGUUGGGAAGAUCCACAAGUCCCCAUGCAUUAUUAUCGUGGAUGGACCUCAACUCAUCUUCCAUAGCUUGACGCCAACACCACUUCGUAUUCGCGUCCUCGAAAUCUGCCGGUUCCUUGGCGCUUGCUAGACACCGCCGCCCACUCCGUUUCACCUUUUCCGGGUCUUUUGUCCAAAGAGCUUCCUCCGGACGUAUAUAGAUCACCGGGCGUGGACGAUCGGUUGUCGGUAGACAUGUCCUUGCUUCCUUCAUGAGCACAGGCGUUACGUUCCCGUUCCCAUCUCCACACGUGGACGCGGUCCCUCCUGGACCUCCACUGUACGAGCCACCAUGGAGGAGUAGCUUGCCACGCCCAGUUGGGCUUCCUGACUCGUUAGCAAAGUUCCCAAGUAUAGUAAAUCUAAAUGUGGACCUUGCUCACCACGUGAGACACCCAGGCCUCCCGCCGGACUAGUCUCUGGCUCAUGUGGGCUUUCACUUGCUGCUGCACCACUACAUGCAGCUGCCUUGCAACCUCCAGCUGCAGCGCUCGCUGAUGGGUGCGAGGCGUCCCGACUCCAUGAGAGACUUCCUGCUCGAGUUGCUACGGCCAGUGCUUCACUAGUAGAAAACAGGGUUUUGGUUUGGUUAGAAAAAAGCAUUAAUCCCGGUUGCAUUUCGAAUCAGGACUAAUGUGAGUAUUAGUCCCGGUUCGAACGGCUAGGGCACCGUACAGACAUUAGUCCCGGUUCAAAUGGGAUCUUUAGUUCCGGUUGGUGCCACGAACCAGUACUAAAGGGUGCGAUGCCCAUUAGUACCGGUUCGUGGCACCAACCGGUACUAAAGGUUAGACCUUUAAUCCCGGUUCGAGCCAUCAACCGGUACUAAUGGGGUUUGAGGCAUUAGUACCGGUUCGUGGCACGAAGCGGUACUAAAGGUCAAAUUUUCAAACUCCCCCUGAUCGCCUUUUCAAUUUUGUAAAAAAAGCAAAAGAAAAUGAUAAAAACUUCAAACAUUAAAAUCCUUCCAGAUGUAGUUAUGUUACUACAUGUACUAGUUAGGAAAAUUUUAAAACUUAAAUCUGGACAUGUUUUGCAAAAAGUGUAGGAAAAAUGUAAAAUGGCUAUAACUUUUGCAUACGAUGUCAGAAAAAAUGUAUAAUAUAUCAAAAUGUUUAGCACGAAAAUCCGCAUCCGAUUUUGACAGCCUAUGGCCUGUUUGCAAAAUUUUAGAAUCCUCAAAUUCUAAAAGGAAAAAAAGUUAUGCUCAAAUUUCAAUUUUUUUUUGAAUUUUGGUUAAAUCAGGUCAAACUUUGGUCAAACUAUUUAUUCAAGAAGUAUUAGUGUUCCUAAAUAAUUAUUCAAUAAUAUUAGUGUUACUAAAUAAUUAUUACAGUUUUUUAGAAUUUUGGUCAAAUCUGGUCAAACUAUGGUCAAAUCUGGUCAAAGUGUGGUCAAACUACUUAUUCAAGAAAUAUUAGUGUUACUACAUAAUUAUUCAAGAAUAUUAGUGUUGCUAAAUAAUUAUUUCAAUUUUUUGAAUUUUGGUCAAAUCUGGUCAAACUGUGGUCAAACUAGUUAUUGAAGAAAUAUUAGUGUUACUAAAUAAUUAUUGUUUUUUAGAAUAAUAGUUUCAAACUCAAACAGUGAAACGUGUGACUUCAUGCUCAAGCUAAAUUCCCGAGGGUUAAUAGAAUUGACAUCUUACUAUUAUCAGGAAAACAACAAGUGCAGACUUGAAAACGAGGGAGAAUAGAACCCAAAAGUUACGCGUGCUCAGGCUGGAGUAGUGAGAGAAUGGGUGACCGGCCAGGAAGUUAGAUGAUUUGGAAUGAUGAUGGGUGAUUAGAGAUUAGAGGUUAAAUUGAGCAGUGAUGAGGGGUGAUUAGAGAUUAAAUUGGAAAAUAUUUCAGAAAUUUAAAAAUUAAGAAAAAUUCAAUUUUUAAAAAAAAAUUCAAUUUUUCCCCGUAAAAUACCUGUAGUCCUGGUUGGUGUUACCAACCGGUACUAAAGGUGGAGCUCCAGACAGCGGCCACAUGGAUGGCCUUUAGUCCCGGUUCGUGUAAGAACCGGGACUAAAGGGGGGAGGCUUUAGUAACGACCCUUUAGUCCCGGUUCCAGAACCUGGACUAAAGGCCUCUUGGAAAUAUGUCCUAGAGGUAAUAAUAAAAUGAUUAUUAUUGUAUUUCCUUGUUCAUGAUAAUUGUCUAUUGUUCAUGCUAUAAUUGUAUUAACUGGAAACCGUAAUACAUGUGUGAAUACAUAGACCACAACAUGUCCCUAGUGAGCCUCUAGUUGACUAGCUCGUUGAUCAAUAGAUGGUUAUGGUUUCCUGACCAUGGACAUAGGAUGUCAUUGAUAACGGGAUCACAUCAUUAGGAGAAUGAUGUGAUGGACAAGACCCAAUCCUAAACAUAACACAAGAUCGCAUAGUUCGUUUGCUAAGAGCUUUUCUAAUGUCAAGUAUUAUUUCCUUAGACCAUGAGAUUGUGCAACUCCCGGAUACAGUAGGAAGCUAUAAAGGUGCACUAUAGGUACCUCCGAAAGUGUCUGUUGGGUUGGCACGAAUCGAGACUAGGAUUUGUCACUCCGUAUGACGAAGAGGUAUCUCUGGGCCCACUCGGUAUUGCAUCAUCAUAAUGAGCUCAAUGUGACUAAGUAGUUAGUCACGAGAUCAUGCAUUACGGAACAAGUAAAGUGACUUGCCGGUAACGAGAUUGAACGAGGUAUUGGGAUACCCACGAUUGAAUCUCGGGCAAGUAACGUACCGAUUGACAAAGGGAAUUGCAUACGGGAUUGAUUGAAUCCCCGACAUCGUGGUUCAUCCGAUGAGAUCAUUGUGGAACAUGUGGGAGCCAACAUGGGUAUCCAGAUCCCGCUGUUGGUUAUUGGCCGGAGAGAUAUCUCAGUCAUGUCUGCAUGAUUCCCGAACUCGUAGGAUCUACACACUUAAGGUUCGGUGACACUAGAGUAGUUAUGGGAGAUAGUAUGUGGUUACCGAAUGUUGUUCGGAGUCCCGGAUGAGAUCCCAGACGUCACGAGGAGUUCCGGAAUGGUCCGGAGGUGAAGAUUUAUAUAUGGGAAGUCCAGUUUCAGUCACCGGAAUGGUUUCGGGGGUUAUCGGUAUUGUACCGGGACCACCGAAAGGUGUCCGGGGUCCACCGGGUGGGGCCACCUGCCCCGGGGGACUUAAUGUGCUGAAUAUGGGAGGGAACCAGCCCCUAAUUGUCUGGUGCGCCCCUCCCCAAGGGCCCAAGGCGCCUAGGGUUGGAAACCCUAGGGGAGGGGGGCGCCUCCACCUUGCUUGGGGGGCAAGUCUCCCCCUCCUGGCCGCCGCCCCCCUCUAGAUGGGAUCUAGAGGGGCCGGCCCCCUCUCCCCUUCACCCUAUAAAUAGAGGGGGGUGGGAGGGCGGUAGCACCCUUGCUUUUGGCGCAGCCCUCUCCCUCCUCCAACACCUCCUCCUCCUCCGUAGUGCUUGGUGAAGCCCUGCCGGAGAACCACGAGCUCCGUCGCUACCACGCCAUCGUGCUGCUGGAGUUUUCCCUCAACUUCUCCUCUCCCAUUGCUGGAUCAAGAAAGAGGAGACGCCCCCGGGUUGUACGUGUGUUGAACGCGGAGGCGCCGUCCGUUCGGCGCUUAGAUUGGAAUCGACCGCGAUCUGAAUCGCUGCGAGUACGACACCACCAACCGCGUUCUUGUAACGCUUCCGCUUAGUGAUCUUCAAGGGUAUGAAUAUGCACUCCCUCUCUCUCUUGUUUCUAGAAUAUCCAUAGAUUGAUCUUGGUGAUGCGUAGAAAAUUUUGAAUUUCUGCUACGUUCCCCAACAGUGGCAUCAUGAGCUAGGUCUAUUGCGUAAAUUCUAUGCAUGAGUAGAACACAAGUUGUUGUGGGCGUCGAUUUUUGUCAAUUUACUUGCCGUUACUAGUCUUAUCUUGAUUCAGCGGCAUUGUGGGAUGAAGCGGCCUGGACCGAACUUACACGUACGCUUACGUGAGACAGGUUCCACCGACUAACAUGCACUAGUUGCAUAAGGUGGCUAGCGGGUGUCUGUCUCUCCCACUUUAGUCGGAUCGGAUUUGAUGAAAAGGGUCCUUAUGAAGGGUAAAUAGCAAUUGGCAUAUCACGUUGUGGUUUUGGCAUAGGUAAGAAACGUUCUUGCUAGAAACCUAUAGCAGCCACGUAAAAACUUGCAACAACUAUUAGAGGACGUCUAACUUGUUCUUGCAGCAUAUGCCGUGUGAUGUGAUAUGGCCAAAAGGAUGUGAUGAAUGAUAUAUAUGUGAUGUAUGAGAUUGAUCAUGUUCUUGUAAUAGGAAUCACGACUUGCAUGUCGAUGAGUAUGACAACCGGCAGGAGCCAUAGGAGUUGUCGUAAUUUAUUGUAUGACCUGCGUGUCAUUGAAUAACGCCAUGUAAUUACUUUACUUUAUUGCUAAACCGUUAGCCAUAGUAGUGGAAGUAAUAGCUGGUGAGACAACUUCAUGGAGACACGAUGAUGGAGAUCAUGAUGAUGGAAAUCAUGGUGUCAUGCCGGUGACAAUGAUGAUCAUGGCGCCCCAAAGAUGGAGAUCAAAAGGAGCAAAAUGAUAUUGGCCAUAUCAUGUCACUAUUUGAUUGCAUGUGAUGUUUAUCAUGUUUUUGCAUCUUAUUUGCUUAGAACGACGGUAGUAAAUAAGAUGAUCCCUCAUAAUAAUUUCAAGAAAGUGUUUCCCCUAACUGUGCGGCUUUGCAAAAGUUCGUUGUUUCGAAGCACCACGUGAUAAUCGGGUGUGAUAGAUUCUAACAUUCACAUACAACGGGUGUAAGCCACAUUUACACAUGCAAAACACUUAGGUUGACUUGACGAGUCUAGCAUGUACAUACAUGGCCUCGGAACACAAGAGACCGAAAGGUCGAACAUGAGUCGUAUAGAAGAUACGAUCAACAUGAAGAUGUUCACCGAUGAUGACUAGUCCGUCUCACGUGAUGAUCGAACACAGCCUAGUUGACUCGGAUCAUGUAUCACUUAGAUGACUAGAGGGAUGUCUAUCUAAGUGGGAGUUCAUUAAAUAAUUUGAUUAGAUGAACUUAAUUAUCAUGAACAUAGUCAAAAGGUCUUUGCAAAAUAUGUCGUAGCUUGCGUUUUAGUUCUACUAUUUUAGAUAUGUUCCUAGAGAAAAUUUAGUUGAAAGUUAAUAGUAGAAAUUAUGCGGACUGGGUCCGUAAACUGGGGAUUGUCCUCAUUGCUGCGCAGAAGGCUUAUGUCCUUAAUGCACCGCUCGGUGUGCUGAACCUCAAACGUUGUCUGUGGAUGUCGCGGACAUCUUACAUACAUGUUUUGAUGACUACGUGAUAGUUCAGUAAUGUUAAACGGUUUAGAAUUGGGGCGCCGAAGACGAUUUUGAAACGUCGCGGAACAUACAAGAUGUUCAAAGGGCUGAAAUUGGGAUUUCAGGUUCGUGCCCAUGUCAAGAGGUAUGAGACCUCCGACGAGUUUCUUAGCCUACAAACUAAGGGAAAAAAGCUCAAUUGUUGAGCAUGUACUCAGAUUGUCUGAGUACUACAAUCACUUGAAUCGAGUGGGAGUUAAUCUUCCAGAUGAGAUAGUGAUGUUUCUCCAAAGUCACUGCCACCAAGCUACUAGAGCUUCGUGAUGAACUAUAACAUAUCAGCGAUAAAUAUGACGAUCCUUGAGCUAUUCACGAUGUUUGACACCGCGAAAGUAGAAAUCAAGAAGGAGCAUCAACUUUAAUGGUUAGUGAAACCACUAGUUUCAAGAAGGGCAAGGGCAAGAAGGGAUACUUCAUGAAACGGCAAAACAAUUGCUGCUCUAGUGAAGAAACCCAAGGUUAAAGCCAAACCCGAGACUAAGUGCUUCUGUAAUAAGGGGAACGGUCACUGGAGCAGAAUUACCCUAGAUACUUGGUAGAUAAGAAGGCAGGCAAGGUCAACAAAAGUAUAUUGGAUAUACAUUAUAUUAAUGUGUACUUUACUAGUACUCCUAGUAGCACCAUCGUAAUAGAUACCGGUUCGGUUGCUAAGUGUUAGUAACUCGAAAUAAAAGGCUACGAAAUAAACUUAGGAUAGCUAAAGGCGAGGUGACGAUAUGCGUUGGAAGUAUUUCCAAGGUUGAUGUGAUCAAACAUCGCACGCUCCCUCUACCAUCGGGAUCGGUGUUAAACCUAAAUAAUUGUUAUUUGGUGUUUGCGUAGAGCAUAGACAUGAUUGGAUUAUGUCUAUCGCAAUACAGUUAUUCAUUUAAGGAGAAUAAUGGUUACUCUGUUUAUUUGAAUAAUACCUUCAAUGGUCUUGCACCUAAAAUGAAUGGUUUAUUGAAUCUCGAUCGUAGUGAUACACAUUUUCAUGCCAAAAGAUAUAAGAUAGUAAUGAUAGUACCACCUACUUGUGGCACUACCAUGUAAGUCAUAUUGGUAUAAAACACAUGAAGAAGCUCCAUGUUGAUGGAUCUUUGGACUCACUCAUUUUUUGAAAAGUUUGAGACAUGUGAACCAUGUCUAUUGGUAUGUAUGCAUGAAGAAACUCCAUGCAGAUGGAUCAUUUGGACUCACUUGAUUUUGAAUCACUUGAGACAUGCAAAUCAUACCACAUGGGCAAGAUGACUGAAAAGCCUCGUUUUCAGUAAGAUGGAACAAGAAAGCAACUUGUUGGAAGUAAUACAUUUUGAUGUGUGCAGUCCAAUGAGUGUUGAGGCACGCAGUGGAUAUCAUUAUGUUCUUACUUCAUAGAUGAUUUGAGUAUAUGCCAAGUGUAUUUACUUGAUGAAACAAAAGUCUGAAUUAUUGAAAGAUUCAAGUAAUUUUAGAGUGAAGUUGAAGAUCAUCGUGACAAAAGGAUAAAAUGUCUAUGAUAUGAUCACAGAGAUGAGUAUCUGAGUUGCAUGUUUGGUACACAAUUAAGACAUUGUGGAAAUUGUUUCACAACUAAUGCCGCCUGGUACACUAUAGUGUGAUGGUGUGUCCGAACGUCAUAUAUGCACCCUAUUGGAUAUGGUGCAUGCCAUGAUGUCUCUUAUCAAAUUACCAUUAUUGUUUAUGGGUUAGGCAUUAGAGACAACCACAUUCACUUUAAAUAGGACACCACGUUAUUCCGUUGAGAUGGCACCAUAUGAACUAUGGUUUAGAGAAACCUAAGUUGUCAUUUCUUAAAAGUUUGGGGCUGCGACGCUUAUCUGAAAAGUUUUUGACUGAUAAGCUCGAACCCAAAGUGGAUAAAUGCAUCUUCAUAGGACACCCGAAACAGUUGGGUAUACCUUCUAUUUCAGAUCCGGAAGCAUAAGGGAUUGUUUCUAGAUUCUGGUCCUUUCUCGAGGAAAAGUUUCUCUUGAAAGAAUUGAGUGGGAGGAUGGUGGAGACUUGAUAAGGUUAUUGAACCGUUACUUCAACUAGUGUGUAGCAGGGCACAUGAAGUUGUUCCUGUGGUGCCUACACCAAUUGAAGUGGAAGCUGAUGAUAUUGAUCAUGAAACUUCGGAUCAAGUCACUGCCAAAACUUGUAGGUCGACAAGGAUACAUACUACUCCAGAGUGAUACGUAAUCCUGUCUUGGAGGUCAUGUUACUAGACAACAAUGAAUCUACGAGCUAUGGAGAAGCGAUGGUGGGCCCGAUUCCGACAAAUGGCUAGAGGCCAUAAAAUCCGAGAGCGGAUCCAUGUAUGAGAACAAAGUGUGGACUUUGGAAGAACUACUUGAUGGUCGUAAGGCUGUUGGGUACAGAUGGAUUUUAAAAGGAAGACGGACAAUGAUCGUAAGUAUCACCAUUAAGAAAGCUCGACUUGUCAUUAAGAUAUUUUCUGACAAGUUCAAGGAGUUGACUACAAUGAGACUUUCUCACUCGUAGCGAUGCUAAGAGUCUGUUGGAAUUAUAUUAGCAAUUACUGUAUUAUUUAUGAAAUCUUGCAGAUAGGAUGUCAAAACGUUAUUUCCUCGACGAUUUUCUUGAGGAAAGGUUGUAUGUGAUAAAACCAGAAGGUUUUGACAAUCCUGAAAGAUGCUAACAAGUAUGCAAAGCUCCAGCAAUCCUUCUAAGGACUGGAGUAAGCAUCUCGGUGUUGGAAUAUACGCUUUGAUGAGAUGAUCAAAGAUGGGUUUAUACAAAGUUUAUGAGAAACUUGUAUUUCCAAAGAAGUGAGUGGGAGCACUAUAGAAUUUCUGAUGAGUAUAUGUUGUUGACAUAUUGUUGAUCAGAAAUGAUGUAGAGUUUCUGGAAAGCAUAUAGGGUUAUUUGUAAAUUGUUUUUCAAUGGAAACCUGGGACUAAGCUACUUGAAAAUUGAGCAUCAAGGUCUAUAAGGAUAGAUCAAAAAACGCUUAAUAGUACUUUCAGAUGAACACAUACCGUGACAAGAUUUUGAAGGAGUUCAAAAUAGAUCGGCAAAGAAGGAGUUCUUGGCUGUGUCAUAAGGUGUGAGUAUUGAGUAAGACUCAAGACCUGACCACGGCAGAAGAGAUAGAAAGGACGAAGGUCAUCCCCUUUGCUUUAGACGUAGGCUCCACAGUAUGCUAUGCUAUGUACCGCACCUAAAGUGUGCCUUGCCAUGAGUCAGUCAAGGGGCACAAGUGUGAUCCAGGAAUGGAUCACAGGACAGCGGUCAAGGUUAUCCUUAGUAACUAGUGGACUAAGGAAUUUUCUCGAUUAUGGAGGUGGUAAAAGAGUUCAUCGUAAAGGGUUACGUCGAUGCAAACUUUGACACUAAUCCGGAUGAUUCUGAGUAGUAAACCGGAUUCGUAUAGUAGAACAGUUAUUUGGAAUAGCUCCAAAUAGAGCGUGGUAGCUGCAUCUACAAGAUGACAUAGAGAUUUGUAAAGCACACACGCAUCUGAAAGGUUCAGACCCAUUGACUAAUAACCUCUCUCACAAGCGAGAUAUGAUCAAACCACAUGGGUGUUGAAUUCAUUACAAUCACAUAGUGAUGUGAACUGGAUUGUUGACUCUAGUGCAAGUGGGAGACUGUUGGAAAUAUGCCCUAGAGGCAAUAAUAAAAUGGUUAUUAUUGUAUUUCCUUGUUCAUGAUAAUUGUCUAUUGUUCAUGCUAUAAUUGUAUUAACUGGAACCGUAAUACAUGUGUGAAUACAUAGACCACAACAUGUCCCUAGUGAGCCUCUAGUUGACUAGCUCGUUGAUCAAUAGAUGGUUAUGGUUUCCUGACCAUGGACAUAGGAUGUCAUUGAUAACAGGAUCACAUCAUUAGGAGAAUGAUGUGAUGGACAAGACCCAAUCCUAAGCAUAACACAAGAUUGUAUAGUUUGUUUGCUAAGAGCUUUUCUAAUGUCAAGUAUCAUUUUCUUAGACCAUGAGAUUGUGCAACUCCUGGAUACCGUAGGAAUGCUUUGGGUGUACCAAACGUCACAACAUAACUGGGUGGCUAUAAAGGUGCACUACAGGUACCUCCGAAAGUGUCUGUUGGGUUGGCACGAAUCGAGACUGGGAUUUGUCUCUCCGUAUGACAGAGAGGUAUCUCUGGGGCCACUCGGUAUUGCAUCAUCAUAAUGAGCUCAAUGUGACUAAGUAGUUAGUCACGGGAUCAUGCAUUACGGAACGAGUAAAGUGACUUGCCGAUAACGAGAUUGAACGAGGUAUUGGGAUACCCUCGAUCGAAUCUCGGGCAAGUAACGUACCGAUUGACAAAGGGAAUUGCAUACGGGAUUGAUUGAAUCCCCGACAUCGUGGUUCAUCUGAUGAGAUCAUCGUGGAACAUGUGGGAGCCAACAUGGGUAUCCAGAUCCCGCUGUUGGUUAUUGGCCGGAGAGAUGUCUCGGUCAUGUCUGCAUGAUUCCCGAACCCGUAGGGUCUACACACUUAAGGUUCGUGACGCUAGAGUUGUUAUGGGAAAUAGUAUGUGGUUACUGAAUGUUGUUCGGAAUCCCGGAUGAGAUCCCGGAUAUCACGAGGAGUUCCGGAAUGGUCCGGAGGUGAAGAUUUAUAUAUGGGAAGUCCAGUUUCAGUCACCGGAAUGGUUUCGGGGGUUAUCAUAUUGUACCGGGACCACUGAAAGGUGUCCAAGGGUCCACCGGGUGGGGCCACCUACCCCGGGGGACUUAAUGGGUUGAAUAUGGGAGGGAACCAACCCCUAGUGGGCUGGUGCGCCCCUCCCCAAGGGCCCAAGGCGCCUAGGGGGUUGGAAACCCUAGGGGAGGGGGCGCCUCCACCGUGCUUGGGGGGCAAGUCUCCCCCUCCUGGCCGCCGCCCCCCUCGAGAUGGGAUCUAGAGGGGCCGGCCCCCUCUCCCCUUCACCCUAUAAAUAAAGGGGGGUGGGAGGGCUGCAUCACCCUUGCUUUUGGAGCAACCCUCUCCCUCCUCCAACACCUCCUCCUCCUCCUCCGUAGUGCUUGGCGAAGCCCUGCCGGAGAACCACGAGCUCCAUCGCCACCACACCGUCGUGCUGCUGGAGUUUUCCCUCAACUUCUCCUCUCCCCUUGCUAGAUCAAGAAGGAGGAGACGUCUCCGGGCUGUACGUGUGUUGAACGCGGAGGCGCCGUCCGUUCGGCGCUUAGAUCAGAAUCGACCGCGAUCUGAAUCGCUGUGAGUAUGAUUCCACCAACCGCGUUCUUGUAACGCUUCCGCUUAGCGAUCUUCAAGGGUAUGAAGAUGCACUCCCUCUCUCUCUUGUUGCUAGAAUAUCCAUAGAUUGAUCUUGGUGAUGCGUAGAAAAUUUUGAAUUUCUGCUACGUUCCCCAACAAGGCCCUUAUGAACCGGGACAAAUGGCCCCUUUUCUACUAGUGCUUUCGGCCUACUCGAGACAUCACAUCCGCCUGUUACUGGGCAGCGUGGCACGGCUCCUGCGCAUAUGCCCACUUUUGUAUCAGCAUACUUUGAUCCAUGAUCUUCGGGCGUCACGUAAACCAAAGAGACAUUCGUGUAUGUAGCAUCGACACAUUCAGAAUUAUGUCUCGUGUCAGUAGCUUCGACACGAGUUUCGAAACUAUGAUUUUGAGAGCGAACUUUUUCUUCACGGAGCGCGACAAAUUCUUUAGCCGACGCUUGAAGAACUGGAUCCUCCUCGUCCACGAGUUCACACAUCAACAUCAUGUCACCUUCAUCACCUUGCUGGGGCAUGAGCGCCCUCUCCUUCGGGGGAUUCUUACACUCCGACUUGAAGUGUCCAAGCAGAUUACAGUUGUGGCAGCGGAUCUUCCUCUUGUCGAACCUUUUCUUCCUUGGCUUCUCCGACUCUUCGUCGGUGUCCUUUGCGGGACGGUACUUUCCACCGCUACUAGACGCCUUGUUGAAGUUGUUCUCCUUGGAAACCAUUGCCUGCCACUAAGCACAUGUAAGCAUCAGGUACUCAUCCUGAUUUGCGUCACCGUAACUCAGUUUCAUACGCUCGUCAUGGGCCUUGAGGCGACCAACCAGAUCAUCCAAAGUGAGAGUCUUGAGAUCAACGCAUUGCUCGAUCACUGACACAAUCGGCAUGUAGCAUGGUGGAGCGGCACGUAGAAAAUGCCAAACCACGGAGAUGUCCUCCAACUUCUCUCCAAGAACGUGAAUCCCGUUCACCAUCGAGGCAACCCUCGCUGUGAAAGCGUCCACCCUCUCGUCCUUGAAGGAAAUAUGCCCUAGAGGCAAUAAUAAAGUUAUUAUUUAUUUCCUUAUAUCAUGAUAAAUGUUUAUUAUUCAUGCUAGAAUUGUAUUAACCGGAAACAUAAUACAUGUGUGAAUACAUAGACAAACAUAGUGUCACUAGUAUGCCUCUACUUGACUAGCUCGUUUAUCAAAGAUGGUUAUGUUUCCUGACCAUAGACGAAAGAGUUGUCAUUUGAUUAACGGGAUCACAUCAUUAGGAGAAUGAUGUGAUUGACUUGACCCAUUCCUUUAGCUUAGCACUUGAUCGUUUAGUAUGUUGCUACUGCUUUCUUCAUGACUUAUACAUGUUCCUGUAACUAUGAGAUUAUGCAACUCCCGUUUACCGGAGGAACACUUUGGGUACUAUCAAACGUCACAGCGUAACUGGGUGAUUAUAAAGGAGUACUACAGGUGUCUCCAAUGGUACAUGUUGGGUUGGCGUAUUUCGAGAUUAGGUUUUGUCACUCCGAUUGUCGGAGAGGUAUCUCUGGGCCCUCUCGGUAAUGCACAUCACUAUAAGCCUUGCAAGCAAUGUGACUAAUGAGUUAGUUGCGGGAUGAUGCAUUAUGUAACGAGUAAAGAGACUUGCCGGUAACGAGAUUGAACUAGGUAUUGGAUACCGACGAUCGAAUCUCGGGCAAGUAACAUACCGAUGACAAAGGGAACAACGUAUGUUGUUAUGCGGUUUGACCGAUAAAGAUCUUCGUAGAAUAUGUGGCAGCCAAUAUGGGCAUCCAGGUCCCGCUAUUGGUUAUUGACUGGAAACAUGUUUCGGUCAUGUCUACAUAGUUCUCGAACCCGUAGGGUCCGCACGCUUAAGGUUUCGAUGAUAGUUAUAUUAUGAGUUUAUGAGUUUUGAUGUACCGAAGGAGUUCGGAGUCCCGGAUGAGAUCGGGGACAUGAUGAGGAGUCUCGAAAUGGUCGAGACGAAAAGAUCGAUAUAUUGGACGACUAUAUUCGGAGUUCGGAAAGGUUCCGAGUGAUUCGGGUAUUUUUCGGAGUACCGGAGAGUUACGGGAAUUCGCCGGGGAGUAUAUGGGCCUUAUUGGGCUAUACGGGAAUAGAGGAGAGAGGCCAAAAGGAAAGAGGCCUGCGCCCCCCCCCUCUGGUCCGAAUUGGACAAGGGGCGCAGCCCCCUUUUCCUUUUCCCUCUCCCCCUCUUUCUCCUUCUCCUACUCCAACAAGGAAGGAGGGAGUCCUACUCCCGGUGGGAGUAGGACUCCCCUUGGUGCGCCCCCUCCUAGGCCGGCCGCACCUCCCCCCUCCCUUCUUUAUAUACGGGGGCAGGGGGCACCCCAUGACACACAAGUUGAUCUACGGAUCGUUCCUUAGCCGUGUGCGGUGCCCCCCUCCACCAUAUUCCACCUCGGUCAUAUCGUCGCGGAGUUUAGGCGAAGCCCUGCGCCGGUAGAACAUCAUCAUCGUCACCAUGCCGUCGUGCUGACGGAACUCAUCCCUGAAGCUUUGCUGGAUCGGAGCCCGAGGAUCGUCAUCGAGCUGAACGUGUGCUGAACUCGGAGGUGACGCACGUUCGGUACUUGGAUCGGUCGGAUCGUGAAGACGUACGACUACAUCAACCGUGUUGUGCUAACGCUUCCACUUACGGUCUACGAGGGUACGUGGACAACACUCUCCCCUCUCGUUGCUAUGCCAUCACCAUGAUCUUGCGUGUGCGUAGGAAAUUUUUUGAAAUUACUACGUUCUCCAACAGUGGCAUCCGAGCCAGGUUUUAUGCGUAGAUGUCAUAUGCACGAGUAGAACACAAGUGAGUUGUGGGAGAUAUAAGUCAUACUGCUUACCAGCAUGUCAUACUUUGGUUCAGCGGUAUUGUGAGAUAAAGCGGCCCGGACCGACAUUACGCGUACGCUUACGCGAGACUGGUUUCACCGCUACGAGCACUCGUUGCUUAAAGGUGACUGGCGGGUGUCUGUCUCUCUCACUUUAGCUGAAUCGAGUGUGGCUACGCCCGGUCCUUGCGAAGGUUAAAACAACACUAACUUGACGAACUAUCGUUGUGGUUUUGAUGCGUAGGUAAGAACGGUUCUUGCUAAGCCCGUAGUAGCCACGUAAAACUUGCAACAACAAAGUAGAGGACGUUUAACUUGUUUUUUCAGGGCAUGUUGUGAUGUGAUAUGGUCAAGACGUGAUGCUAUAUUUUGUUGUAUGAGAUGAUCAUGUUUUGUUGAAGUUAUCGGCAACUGGCAGAAGCUCUAUGGUUGUCUCUUUGUUGCAUAAGAUGCAAGUGCCAAAUAAUUGCUUUACUUUAUCGCUAUGCGAUAGCAAUAGUUGCAAGAGCAAUAGUUGGCGAGACGACCAUGUGAUGACACAUUGAUAUAGAUCAAGAUGAUGAAGAUCAUGGUGUCGUGCCGGUGACGAUAGAGAUCAUGACAGUACUUUGGAGAUGGAGAUCAAAGGCGCAAGAUGAUCAUGGCCAAAGCAUGUCACAUAUUUUGAUUGCAUAUGAUGUUUAUCUGUUAUACAUCUUAUUCUGUUUUGUUUGACGGUAGCAUUAUAAAGAUGAUCUCUCACUAAUUAUCAAGAAGUGUUCUCCCUGAGUAUGCACCGUUGCCAAAGUUCGUCGUGCCCAGACACCACGUGAUGAUCGGGUGUGAUAAGCUCUACGUCCAUCUACAACGGGUGCAAGCCAGUUUUGCACACGUGGAAUACUCAGGUUAAACUUGACGAGCCUAGCAUAUGCAGAUAUGGCCUCGGAACACGGAGACCGAAAGGUCGAGCGUGAAUCAUAUAGUAGAUAUGAUCAACAUAAUGAUGUUCACCAUUGAAAGCUACUCCAUUUCACGUGAUGAUUGGUUAUAGUUUAGUUGAUUUGGAUGACGUGAUCACUUAGAGGAUUAGAGGGAUGUCUUUCUAAGUGGGAGUUCUUAAGUAAUAUGAUUAAUUGAACUUUAAUUUAUCAUGAACUUAGUCCUGGUAGUAUUUUACAAAUUAUGUUGUAGAUCAAUAGCUUGCGUUGUUGCUUUCAUAUGUUUAUUUUUAUAUGUUCCUAGAGAAAAUUGUGUUGAAAGAUGUUAGUAGCAAUGAUGCGGAUUGGAUUCGUGAUCUGAGGUUUAUCCUCAUUGCUGCGCAGAAGAAUUAUGUCCUUGAUGCACCGCUAGGUGACAAACCUAUUGGAGGAGCAGAUGCAGACAUUAUGUGUUGGGGAACGCAGUAAUUUCAAAAAAUUUCCUACGCACACGCAAGAUCAUGGUGAUGGCAUAGCAACGAGAGGGGAGAGUGUUGUCCACGUACCCUCGUAGACCGUAAGCGGAAGCGUUAGCACAGUUGAUGUAGUCGUACGUCUUCACGAUCCGACCGAUCCAAGCACCGAACGUACGGCACCUCCGAGUUCAGCACACAUUCAGCUCGAUGACGAUCCCCGGGCUCCGAUCCAGCAAAGCUUCGGGGAUGAGUUCCGUUAGCACGACGGCGUGGUGACGAUGAUGAUGUUCUACCGGCGCAGGGCUUCGCCUAAACUCCGCGACGAUAUGACCGAGGUGGAAUAUGGUGGAGGGGGCACCGCACACGGCUAAGGAAUGAUCUGUAGAUCAACUUGUGUCCUUUGGGGUGCCCCCCUGCCCCCGUAUAUAAAGGAGCAAGGGGGAGGGGGCCGGCCAAGGGGAGGAGGCGCGCCCAAGGGGGAGAAUCCUACUCCAAGUAGGAUUCCCCCCUCUUUCCUAGUCCAAGUAGGAGAGGGGAAGGAAGGGAAGGAGAAGGAGAAGGAAGGAGAGGGAGGAAAAGGAGGAAAGGGGGGCCGGCCCCCUAGUCCAAUUCGGUUUGGGCUAGGGGGGCCGCGCGCCCUGCCUCCUCUCUUCCACCACUUGGCCCAUGAGGCCCAUUGCUUCUUCCUCGUAUUCCCGUAACUCCCCGGUACCCCCGAAAAUACCCGAAUCACUCGGAACCUUUCCGAACUCCGAAUAUAGUCGUCCAAUAUAUCGAUUUUUACGUCUCGACCAUUUCGAGACUCCUCGUCAUGUCCCCGAUCUCAUCCGGGACUCCGAACUCAUUCGGUACAUCAAAACUCAUAAACUCAUAAUAUAACUGUCAUCGAAACCUUAAGCGUGCGGACCCUACGGGUUCGAGAACUAUGUAGACAUGACCUAGAACUAUUCUCGGUCAAUAACCAAUAGCGGAACCUGGAUGCCCAUAUUGGCUCCUACAUAUUCUACGAAGAUCUUUAUCGGUCAAACCGCAUAACAACAUACGUUGUUCCCUUUGUCAUCGGUAUGUUACUUGCCCGAGAUUCGAUCGUCGGUAUCCAAUACCUAGUUCAAUCUCGUUACUUGCAAGUCUCUUUACUCAUUACGUAAUGCAUCAUUCCGUAACUAACUCAUUAGCUACAUUGCUUGCAAGGCUUAUAGUGAUGUGCAUUACCGAGAGGGCCCAGAGAUACCUCUCCGACAAUCGGAGUGACAAAACCUAAUCUCGAAAUACGCCAACCCAACAUGUACCUUUAGAGACACCUGUAGUACUCCUUUAUAAUCACCCAGUUAUGUUGUGACGUUUGGUAGCACCCAAAGUGUUCCUCCGGUAAACGGGAGUUGCAUAAUCUCAUAGUUACAGGAACAUGUAUAAGUCAUGAAGAAAGCAAUAGCAACAUACUAAACGAUCAAGUGCUAGGCUAACGGAAUGGGUCAUGUCAAUCACAUCAUUCUCCUAAUGAUGUGACCUCAUUAAUCAAAUGACAACACAUGUCUAUGGUUAGGAAACAUAACCAUCUUUGAUUAAUGAGCUAGUCAAGUAGAGGCAUAGUAGUGACUAUAUGUUUGUCUAUGUAUUCACACAUGUAUCAUGUUUCCGGUUAAUACAAUUCUAGCAUGAAUAAUAAACAUUUAUCAUGAAAUAAGGAAAUACAUAAUAACUUUAUUAUUGCCUCUAGGGCAUAUUUCCUUCAGUCUCCCACUUGCACUAGAAUCGAUAAUCUAGUUCACAUCGCUAUGUGAAUUAACACCAAUAUUCACAUCUGCAUGUGAUUAAUACCCAUAGUUCACAUCAUCAUGUGAUCAACACCCAAAGGGUUUACUAGAGUCAAUAAUCUAGUUCACAUCGCUAUGUGAUUAACACCCAAAAGAGUACUAAGGUAUGAUCAUGAUUUGCUCGUGAGAGAAGCUUAGUCAACGGGUCUGUCAUAUUCAGAGCCGUAUGUAUUUUGCAAAUAUUCUAUGUCCACAAUGCUCUGCAUGGAGCUACUCUAGCUAAUUGCUCCCACUUACAAUAUGUAUCCAGAUUGAGACUUAGAGUCAUCUUGGAUUGGUGUAAAAGCUUGCAUCGUUGUAACUUUUAUGACGGGCUCUUUUAUCACCUCCAUAAUCGAGAAACAACUCCUUAGUCUUUACUAAGGAUAUUCUUGACCCAUGUCCAGUGAUCUACUAUUAGAUCAAAAUUGUAUUCCUUUGCCAAACACAGAGCAAGGUAUACAAUAGGUCUGGUUCACAGCAUAGCAUACUUUAUAGAACCUAUGACUGAGGCAUAGGGAAUUACUUUUCAUUCUCUUUCUAUUUUCUGCAAUGGUCGGGUCUUGAGUCUUUACUCAACUUCACACCUUGUAACACAGGCAAGAACUCCUUCUUUGAUUGUUCCAUUUUGAACUAUUUCAAAAAUUUAUCAAGGUAUGUACUCAUUGAAAAAACUUAUCAAGCGUCUUGAUCUAUCUAUAUAGAUCUUGAUGCUCAAUGUGUAAGCAGCUUCACCGAGGUCUUGCUUUGAAAAACUCUUAUUCAAGUAUCCUUUCAUGCUAUCCAGAAUUUCCAUAUCAUUUCCAAUUAAUAAUAUGUCAUCCACAUAUAAUAUUAGAAAUGCUACAGAGCUCCCACUCACUUUCUUGUAAAUACAGGCUUCACCGCAAGUCUGCAUAAAACUAUAUGCUUUGAUCAACUUUUCAAAGCGUAUAUUCCAACUCUGAGAUGCUUGCACCAGUCCAUAGAUGGAUCGCUGGAGCCUGCACAUUUUGUUAGCACCUUUAGGAUUGACAAAACCUUCUAAUUGUAUCAUAUACAAUUCUUCUUUAAUAAAUCCAUUAAGGAAUGUAGUUUUGACAUCCAUUUGCCAAAUUUCAUAAAAUGUGGCAAUUGCUAACAUGAUUCGGACAGACUUUUAAGCAUCGAUACGAGUGAGAAAAUCUCAUUGUAUUCAACACCUUGAACUUUGUCAAAAACCUUUUUCGACAAGUCUAGCUUUGUAGAUAGUGACACUACUAUCAGCAUCUGUCUUCCUCUUGAAGAUCCAUUUAUACAAUAUGGCUUGCCGAUCAUCGGGAAACUCCACCAAAGUCCACAUUUUGUUCUCAUACAUGGAUCCCAUCUCAGAUUUCAUGGCCUCAAGCCAUUUCGCGGAAUCUGGGCUCAUCAUCGCUUCCUCAUAGUUUGUAGGUUCAUCAUGGUUUAGUAACAUGACUUCCAGAAUAUGAUUACCGUACCACUCUGGUGCGGAUUUUACUCUGGAAAACCUACGAGAUUUGGCAGCAACUUGAUCUGAAGUUUCAUGAUCAUCAUCACUAACUUCCUCACUAAUUGGUGUAGUAAUCACUGGAACUGAUUUUUGUGAUGAACUACUUUCCAAUAAGGGAGAAGGUACAAUUACCUUAUCAAGUUCUACUUUCCUCCCACUCACUUCUUUCGAGAGAAACUUCUUCUCUAGAAAGGAUCCAUCUUAGCAACAAAUAACUUGCCUUUGGAUCUGUGAUAGAAGGUGUACCCAAUAGUUUCCUUUGGGUAUUAUAUGAAGACGCACUUUUCUGAUUUGGGUUCGAGCUUAUCAGGUUGAAAAACUUUUUCAUAUAAGCAUCGCAACUCCAAACUUUAAGAAACGACAGCUUAGGUUUACUGCUAAACCAUAGUUCAUACGGUGUCAUCUCAACGGAUUUAGAUGGUGCCCUAUUAAACGUGAAUGCAGCUGUCUUAAUGCAUAACCCCAAAACGAUAGUGGUAAACCAAUAAGAGACAUCGAUCGCACCAUAUCUAGUAAAGUACGAUUACGACGUUCGGACACACCAUUACAUUGUGGUGUUCCAGGUGGCGUGAGUUGCGAAACUAUUUCACAUUGUUUCAAAUGAAGACCACACUCGUAACUCAAAUAUUCGUCUCCACGAUCAGAUCAUAGAAACUUUAUUUUCUUGUUACGAUGAUUUUUCCACUUCACUCUGAAAUUCUUUGAACUUUUCGUCUAUUUCAGACUUAUGUUUCAUCAAGUAGAUAUACUCAUAUCUGCUCAAAUCAUCUUGUGAAGGUCAGAAAAUAACGAUACCCGCCACGAGCAUCAACGCUCAUUGGACCGCAUACAUCGGCACAUAUUAUUUCCAAUAAGUCACUAGCUCGUUCCAUUGUUCCGGAGAAUGGAGUUUUAGUCAUCUUGCCCAAAAGGCACGGCUCAUAAGCAUCAAAUGAUUCAUAACCAAGUGAUUCCGAAAAUCCAUCUUUAUGGAGUUUCUUCAUGCGCUUUACACCGAUAUGACCCAAACGGCAGUGCCACAAAUAAGUUGCACUAUCAUUAUUAACUUUGCAUCUUUUGGCAUCAAUAUUUAUGAUUAUGUGUAUCAAUACUAUCGAGAUCCAAUAAACUAUUUUCAUUGGAUGUAUGACCAUCGAAGGUUUUAUUCAUUUAAAUAGAAUAACAAUUAUUCUCGGCUUCAAAUGAAUAACCGUAUCACAACGAAUAUGAUCAGAUCAUAUUCAUGCUCAACGCAAACGCCAAAUAACAUUUAUUUAGGUUCAACACUAAUCUCGAAAGUGUAGGGAGAGUGUGAUGAUGAUCAUAUCAAUCUUGGAACCACUUCCAAUACAUAUCGUCACUUCACCCUCAACUAGUCUCUGUUUAUUCUGUAACUCCUGCUUCAAGUUACUAAUCUUAGCAACCGAACAAGUAUCAAAUACUCAGAAGCUACUAUAAACACUAGUAAGGUACACAUCAAUAACCUGUAUAUCAAAUAUACCCUUGUUCACUUUGCCAUCCUUCUUAUCCACCAAAUAUUCAGGGCAUUUCCGCUUCCAAUGACCAUUUCUUUUGCAGUAGAAGCACUUAGUUUCAGGUUUUGGUCCAGCUUUGGGCUUCUUCACGGGAGUGACAACUUGCUUGCCAUUCUACUUGAAGUUCCCUUUCUAUCCCUUUGCCCUUCUCUUGAAACUAGUGGUCUUGUCAAUCAUCAACACUUGAUGCUCUUUCUUGAUUUCUACCUUCGUCGAUUUCAACAUCACGAAGAGCUCGGGAAACGUUUUCGUCAUCCCUUGCACAUUAUAGUUCAUCACAAAGUUCUACUAACUUAGUGAUGGUGACUAAAGAACUCUGUCAAUCACUAUCUUAUCUGGAAGAUUAACUCCCACUUGAUUCAAGCGAUUGUAGUACUCAGACAAUCUGAGCACAUGCUCACUAGUUGAGCGAUUCUCCUCCAUCUUUUAGCAAUAGAACUUGUUGGAGACUUCAUAUCUCUCAACUCGGGUAUUUGCUUGAAAUAUUAACUUCAACUCCUGGAACAUCUCAUAUGGUCCAUGACAUUCAAAACAUCUUUGAAGUCCCGAUUCUAAGCCGUUAAGCAUGGUGCACUUAAACUAUCAAGUAGUCAUCAUAUUGAGCUAGCCAAACGUUCAUAACGUCUGCAUCUGCUCCUGCAAUAGGUCUGUCACCUAGCGGUGCAUCAAGAACAUAAUUCUUCUGUGCAGCAAUGAGGAUAAACCUCAGAUCACAGAUCCAAUCCGCAUCAUUGCUACUAACAUCUUUCAACGUAGUUUUCUCUAGGAGCACAUAUAAAAAUAAACAUAUGAAAGCAACAGCGCAAGCUAUUGAUCUACACAUAAUUUGCAAAAUACUACCAGGACUAAGUUCAUGAUAAAUUAAAGUUCAAUUAAGCAUAUUACUUAAGAACUCCCACUUAGACAGACAUCUCUCUAGUCAUCUAAGUGAUUACGUGAUCCAAAUCAACUAAACCAUGUCCGAUCAUCACGUGAGAUGGAGUAGUUUCAAUGGUGAACAUCAUUAUGUUGAUCAUAUCUACUAUAUGAUUCACGCUCGACCUUUCGGUCUCUGUGUUCCGAGGCCAUAUCUGUAUAUGCUAGGCUCGUCAAGUUUAACCCGAGUAUUCCGCGUGUGCAAUUGUUUUGCACCCGUUGUAUUUGAACGUAGAGCCUAUCACACCCGAUCAUCACGUGGUGUCUCAGCACGAAGAACUUUCGCAACGGUGCAUACUCAGGGAGAACACUUCUUGACAAUUAGUGAGAGAUCAUCUUUAAAUGCUACCGUCAAUCAAAGCAAGAUAAGAUGCAUAAAGGAUAAACAUCACAUGCAAUCAAUAUAAGUGAUAUGAUAUUGCCAUCAUCAUCUUGUGCUUGUGAUCUCCAUCUUCGAAGCACCAUCGUGAUCACCAUCGUCACCGGCGCGACACCUUGAUCUCCAUCGUAGCAUCGUUGUCGUUACGCCAUCUAUUGCUUCUACGACUAUCGCUACCGCUUAGUGAUAAAGUAAAGCAAUUACAGGGCGUUUGCAUUUCAUACAAUAAAGCGACAACCAUAUGGCUCCUGCCAGUUGCUGAUAACUUCGGUUACAAAACAUGAUCAUCUCAUACAAUAAAAUAUAGCAUCACGUCUUGACCAUAUCACAUCACAACAUGCCCUGCAAAAACAAGUUAGACGUCAUCUACUUUGUUGUUGCAAAUUUUACGUGGCUCCUACGGGCUUAGCAAGAACUGUUCUUACCUACGCAUCAAAACCACAAUGAUAGUUUGUCAAGUUAGUGCUGUUUUAACCUUCGCAAGGACCGGGCGUAGCCACACUUGAUUCAGCUAAAGUGAGAGAGGCAGACACCCACCAGCCACCUUUAAGCACAAGUGCUCGUAACGGUGAAACCUGUCUCGCGUAUGUGUACGCGUAAUGUCGGUCCGGGCCGCUUCAUCUCACAAUACCGCCGAACCAAAGUAUGACAUGCUGGUAAGCAGUAUGACUUGUAUCGCCCACAACUCACUUGUGUUCUACUCGUGCAUAUAACAUCAACGCAUAAAACCUAGGCUCGGAUGCCACUGUUGGGGAACGCAGUAAUUUCAAAAAAUUUCCUACGCACACGCAAGAUCAUGGUGAUGGCAUAGCAACGAGAGGGGAGAGUGUUGUCCACGUACCCUCAUAGACCGUAAGUGGAAGCGUUAGCACAACGCAGUUGAUGUAGUCGUACGUCUUCACGAUCCGAUCGAUCCAAGCACCGAACGUACGUCACCUCCGAGUUCAGCACACGUUCAGCUCGAUGACGAUCCCCGGGCUCCGAUCCAGCAAAGCUUCGGGGAUGAGUUCCGUCAGCACGACGGCGUGGUGACGAUGAUGAUGUUCUACUGGCGCAGGGCUUCGCCUAAACUCCGCGACGAUAUGACCGAGGUGGAAUAUGGUGGAGGGGGGCACCGCACACGGCUAAGGAAUGAUCCGUAGAUCAACUUGUGUCCUCUGGGGUGCCCCCCUACCCCCGUAUAUAAAGGAGCAAGGGGGAGGGGGCCGGCCAAGGGGAGGAGGCGCGUCCAAGGGGGAGAAUCCUACUCCAAGUAGGAUUCCCCCCUCUUUCCUAGUCCAAGUAGGAGAGGGGAAGGAAGGGAAGGAGAAGGAGAAGGAAGGAGAGGGAGGAAAAGGAGGAAAGGGGGGCCGGCCCCCUAGUCCAAUUCGGUUUGGGCUAGGGGGGCCGCGCGCCCUGCCUCCUCUCUUCCACCACUUGGCCCAUGAGGCCCAUUGCUUCUUCCUCGUAUUCCCGUAACUCCCCGGUACCCCCGAAAAUACCCGAAUCACUCGGAACCUUUCCGAACUCCGAAUAUAGUCGUCCAAUAUAUCGAUUUUUACGUCUCGACCAUUUCGAGACUCCUCGUCAUGUCCCCGAUCUCAUCCGGGACUCCGAACUCAUUCGGUACAUCAAAACUCAUAAACUCAUAAUAUAACUGUCAUCGAAACCUUAAGCGUGCGGACCCUACGGGUUCGAGAACUAUGUAGACAUGACCUAGAACUAUUCUCGGUCAAUAACCAAUAGCGGAACCUGGAUGCCCAUAUUGGCUCCUACAUAUUCUAUGAAGAUCUUUAUCGGUCAAACCGCAUAACAACAUACGUUGUUCCCUUUGUCAUCGGUAUGUUACUUGCCUGAGAUUCGAUCGUCGGUAUCCAAUACCUAGUUCAAUCUCGUUACUGGCAAGUCUCUUUACUCGUUACAUAAUGCAUCAUUCCGUAACUAACUCAUUAGCUACAUUUCUUGCAAGGCUUAUAGUGAUGUGCAUUACCGAGAGGGCCCAGAGAUACCUCUCCGACAAUCGGAGUGACAAAACCUAAUCUUGAAAUACGCCAACCCAACAUGUACCUUUGGAGACACCUGUAGUACUCCUUUAUAAUCACCCAGUUACGUUGUGACGUUUGGUAGCACCCAAAGUGUUCCUCCAGUAAACGGGAGUUGCAUAAUCUCAUAGUUACAGGAACAUGUAUAAGUCAUGAAGAAAGCAAUAGCAACAUACUAAACGAUCAAGUGCUAGGCUAACGGAAUGGGUCAUGUCAAUCACAUCAUUCUCCUAAUGAUGUGACCUCAUUAAUCAAAUGACAACACAGGUCUAUGGUUAGGAAACAUAACCAUCUUUGAUUAAUGAGCUAGUCAAGUAGAGGCAUACUAGUGACUAUAUGUUUGUCUAUGUAUUCACACAUGUAUCAUGUUUCCGGUUAAUACAAUUCUAGCAUGAAUAAUAAACAUUUAUCAUGAAAUAAGGAAAUAAGUAAUAACUUUAUUAUUGCCUCUAGGGCAUAUUUCCUUCAUUAUGAACGUUUGGCUAGCUCAAUAUGAUGACUACUUGAUAGUUUAGUGCACCAUGCUUAACGGCUUAGAAUCGGGACUUCAAAGACGUUUUGAACGUCAUGGACCAUAUGAGAUGUUCCAGGAAUUGAAGUUAAUAUUUCAAGCAAAUACCCGAGUUGAGAGAUAUGAAGUGUCCAACAAGUUCUAUAGCUAAAAGAUGGAGGAGAAUCGCUCAACUAGUGAGCAUGUGCUCAGAUUGUCUGGGUACUUCAAUCGCUUGAAUCAAGUGGGAGUUAAUCUUCCAGAUAAGAUAGUGAUUGACAGAAUUCUCUAGUCACCAUCACUAAGUUACUAGAACUUCGUGAUGAACUAUAGUAUGCAAGGGAUGACGAAAAUGAUUCCCGAGCUCUUCGUGGUGUUGAAAUCAACGAAGGUAGAAAUCAAGAAAGAGCAUCAAGUGUUGAUGAUUGACAAAACCACUAGUUUCAAGAAAAGGGCAAAGGAAAAGAAAGGGAACUUCAAGCAGAAUGGCAAGCAAGUUGUCACUCCCAUGAAGAAGCCCAAAGCUGAACCAAAGCCUGAAACUGAGUGCUUACACUGCAAAGGAAAUGGUCACUGGAAACAGAAAUACCCUGAAUAUUUGGUGGAUAAGAAGGAUGGCAGAGUGAACAAGGGUAUAUUUGAUAUACAGAUUAUUGAUGUGUACCUUACUAGUGUUUAUAGUAGCCCCUGAGUAUUUGAUACUUGUUCGGUUGCUAAAAAAUAGUUAUUCGAAACAGGAGUUACAGAAUAAACAGAGACUAGUUGAAGGGGAAGUAACGAUGAGUGUUGGAAGUAGUUCCAAGAUUGAUAUGAUCAUCAUCGCACACUCCCUAUACUUUCGGGAUUAGUGUUAAACCUAAAUGAAUGUUAUUUGGCGUUUGCGUUGAGCAUGAAUAUGAUUUGAUCAUGUUUAUUGCAAUACGGUAAUUCAUUUAAAGUCAGAGAAUAAUUGUUGUUCUGUUUACAUGAAUAAGACCUUCGAUGGUCAUACACCCAAUGAACAUAGUUUGUUGGAUCUCGAUCGUAGUGAUACACAUAUUCAUAAUAUUGAUGACAAAAGAUGAAAAGUUAAUAAUGAUAGUGCAACUUAUUUGUGGCACUGCGUUUGGGUCAUAUCGGUGUAAAACGCAUGAAGAAAUUCCAUAAAGAUGGAUUUUCGAAAUCACUUGUUUAUGAAUCAUUUGAUGCUUGCGAACCGUGCCUUUUGGGCAAGAUGACUAAAACUCCAUUCUCCGGAACAAUGGAACGAGCUAGUGACUUGAUGGAAAUAAUACAUACCGAUGUAUACGGUCCAAUGAGUGUUGAUGCUCGUGGCGGGUAUCGUUAUUUUCUGACCUUCACAAGAUGAUUUGAGCAGAUAUGAGUAUAUCUUCUUAAUGAAACACAAGUCUGAAACAUUUGAAAAGUUCAAAGAAUUUCAGAGUGAAGUGAAGAAUCAUCGUAACAAGAAAAUAAAGUUUCUAUGAUCUGAUCGUGGAGGAGAAUAUUUGAGUUACGAGUUUGGUCUUCAAUUAAAACAAUGUGGAAUAGUUUCACAAACUCAUGCCACCUGGAACACCACAGCUUAAUGGUGUCUCCGAACGUCAUAACCGUACUUUAUUGGAUAUAGUGCAAUCUAUGAUAUCUCUUAUCGGUUUACCACUUUCGUUUUGGGAUUAUGCAUUAGAGACCGUUGCAUUCACUUUGAAUAGGGCACCAUCGAAAUCCGUUGAGACGACGCCUUAUGAACUGUGGUUUGGCAAGAAACCAAAGUUGUUGUUUCUUAAAGUUUGGGGCUGCGAUGCUUAUGUGAAAAAGUUUCAACCUGAUAAGCUCAAACCCAAAUCGGAGAAGUACGUCUUCAUAGAAUACCCAAAGGUAACUAUUGGGUACACCUUCUAUCACAGAUCUGAAAGCAAGUUUCGUUGCUAAGAUGGAUCCUUUCUAGAGAAGGAGUUUCUCUUGAAAGAAGUGAGUGGGAGGAAAGUAGAACUUGAUAAGGUAAUUGUACCUUCUCCCAAAUUGGAAAGUAGUUCAUCACAGAAAUCAGUUCCAGUGAUGCCUACACCGAUUAGUGAGGAAGUUAAUGAUGAUGAUCAUGAAACUUUGGAUCAAGUUACUACAGAAACUCGUAGGUCUUCCAGAGUAUGGUCCGCACCAGAGUGGUACGGUAAUCCUGUUCUGAAAGUCAUGUUACUAGACCAUGAUAAACCUACGAACUAUGAGGAAGCGAUGAUGAGCCCAGAUUCCGCAAAAUGGCUUGAGGCCAUAAAAUCUGAGAUAGGAUCCAUGUAUGAGAACAAAGUAUGGACUUUGGUUGACUUGCUCGAUGAUCAGCAAGCCAUGUUAAAUAAAUGGAUCUUCAAGAGGAAGACGGACACUAAUAGUAGUGCUACUAUCCACUAAGCUCGACUUGUUGCAAAAGGUUUUCAACAAGUUCAAGGGGUUGAAUACGAUGAGAUUUUCUCACUCGUAUCAAUGCUUAAGUCUGUCCGAAUCAUGUUAGCAAUUGCCACAUUUUAUGAAAUCUGGCAAAUGGAUGUCAAAACUGCAUUCCUUAAUGGAUUUAUUAAAGAAGAGUUGUAUAUGAUGCAACCAGAAGGUUUUGUUAAUCCUAAAGGUACUAACAAAAUGUGCGAGCUCCAGCGAUCCAUCUAUGGACUGGUGCAAGCAUCUCAGAGUUGGAAUAUACGCUUUGAUAAGUUGAUCAAAGCAUAUGGUUUUAUACAGACUUUUGGAAAGGCCUGUAUUUACAAGAAAGUGAGUGGGAGCUCUGUAGCAUUUCUGAUAUUAUAUAUGCAAGACAUAUUGUUGACUGGAAAUGAUAUAGAAUUUCUGGAUAGCAUAAAAGGAUACUUGACUAAAAGGUUUUUCAAUAAAAGACCUCGGUGAAACUGCUUACAUAUUGAGCAUCAAGAUCUAUUGAGAUAGAUCAAGACGCUUGAUAAGUUUUUUCAAUAAGUACAUACCUUGUCAAGAUUUUGAAAUAGCUCAAAAUGGAAAAGUCAAAGAAAGAGUUCUUGCCUGUGUUGCAAAGGUGUGAAAUUGAGUAAGACUCAAGACCCGACCACGGCAGAAAAUAGAAAGAGAAUGAAAGUCAUUCCCUAUGCAUCAGUCAUAGGUUCUAUAAAAGUAUGCCAUGCUAUGGACCAGACAUAUUGUAUACUCUGCCCAGGUUUGGCAAGGGAGUACAAUAGUGAUCUAGGAAUAGAUCACUGGACAUUGGUCAAAAUUAUCCUUAGUAGAAUAAGGAUAUGUUUCUCGAUUAUGGAGGUGAUAAAAGAGUUCGUCGUAAAGAGUUACAUCGAUGCAAGCUUUUACACCGAUCCAGAUGACUCUAAGUCUCAAUCUGGAUACAUAUUGAAAGUGGGAGCAAUUAGCUAGAGUAGCUCCAUGCAAAGCAUUGUAGACAUAGAAUAUUUGCAAAAUACAUACGACUCUGUAAUAUGACAGACCCGUUGACUAAACUUCUCUCACGAGCAAAACAUGAUCAUACCUUAGUACUCUUUGGGUGUUAAUCACAUAGCGAUGUGAACUAGAUUAUUGACUCUAGUAAACCCUUUGGGUGUUGAUCACAUGACGAUGUGUACUAUGGGUAUUAAUCACAUACAGAUGUGAAUAUUGGUGUUAAAUCACAUGAUGAUGUGAACUAGAUUAUUGACUCUAGUGCAAGUGGGAGACUGAAGGAAAUAUGCCCUAGAGGCAAUAAUAAAGUUAUUAUUUAUUUCCUUAUAUCAUGAUAAAUGUUUAUUAUUCAUGCUAGAAUUGUAUUAACCGGAAACAUAAUACAUGUGUGAAUACAUAGACAAACAUAGUGUCACUAGUAUGCCUCUACUUGACUAGCUCGUUUAUCAAAGAUGGUUAUGUUUCCUGACCAUAGACGAAAGAGUUGUCAUUUGAUUAACGGGAUCACAUCAUUAGGAGAAUGAUGUGAUUGACUUGACCCAUUCCUUUAGCUUAGCACUUGAUCGUUUAGUAUGUUGCUAUUGCUUUCUUCAUGACUUAUACAUGUUCCUGUAACUAUGAGAUUAUGCAACUCCCGUUUACCGAAGGAACACUUUGGGUACUACCAAAUGUCACAACGUAACUGGGUGAUUAUAAAGGAGUACUACAGGUGUCUCCAAAGGUACAUGUUGGGUUGGAGUAUUUCGAGAUUAGGUUUUGUCACUCCGAUUGUCGGAGAGGUAUCUCUGGGCCCUCUCGGUAAUGCACAUCACUAUAAGCCUUGCAAGCAAUGUGACUAAUGAGUUAGUUGCGGGAUGAUGCAUUAUGUAACGAGUAAAGAGACUUGUCGGUAACGAGAUUGAACUAGGUAUUGGAUACCGACGAUCGAAUCUCGGGCAAGUAACAUACCAAUGACAAAGGGAACAACGUAUGUUGUUAUACGGUUUGACCGAUAAAGAUCUUCGUAGAAUAUGUGGGAGCCAAUAUGGGCAUCCAGGUCCCGCUAUUGGUUAUUGACUGGAAACAUGUUUCGGUCAUGUCUACAUAGUUCUUGAACCCGUAGGGUCCGCACGCUUAAGGUUUCGAUGACAGUUAUAUUAUGAGUUUAUGAGUUUUGAUGUACCGAAGGAGUUCAGAGUCCCGGAUGAGAUCGGGGACAUGACGAGGAGUCUCGAAAUAGUUGAGACAUAUAGAUCGAUAUAUUGGACGACUAUAUUCGGAGUUCGGAAAGGUUCCGAGUGAUUCGGGUAUUUUUCGGAGUACCGGAGAGUUACGGGAAUUCGCCGGGGAGUAUAUGGGCCUUAUUGGGCUAUACGGGAAUAGAGGAGAGAGGCCAAAAGGAAAGAGGCCUGCGCCCCCCCCCUCUGGUCUGAAUUGGACAAGGGGCGCAGCCCCCUUUUCCUUUUCCCUCUCCCCCUCUUUCCCCUUCUCCUACUCCAACAAGGAAGGAGGGAGUCCUUCUCCCGGUGGGAGUAGGACUCCCCUUGGCGCGCCCCCUCCUAGGCCGGCCGCACCUCCCCCCUCCCUCCUUUAUAUACGGGGGCAGGGGGGCACCCCAUGACACACAAGUUGAUCUACGGAUCGUUCCUUAGCCGUGUGCGGUGCCCCCCUCCACCAUAUUCCACCUCGGUCAUAUCGUCGCGGAGUUUAGGCGAAGCCCUGCGCCGGUAGAACAUCAUCAUCGUCACCACGCCGUCGUGCUGACGGAACUCAUCCCCGAAGCUUUGCUGGAUCGGAGCCCGGGGAUCGUCAUCGAGCUAAACGUGUGCUGAACUCGUAGGUGACGUACGUUCGGUACUUGGAUCGGUCGGAUCGUGAAGACGUACGACUACAUCAACCGCGUUGUGCUAACGGUUCCGCUUACGGUCUACGAGGGUACGUGGACAACACUCUCCCCUCUCAUUGCUAUGCCAUCACCAUGAUCUUGCGUGUGCGUAGGAAUUUUUUUGAAAUUACUAUGUUCCCCAACAGUCCUCUCCCAUCCCUAGAUUCUCGUAACUUUUUAGCAAAGUUUGCAAGUUCGCCUCGCGCACACGCGAGUGCCCUAGAUGCAAUGUCUUGAGCGUGUCCCACGUCUCCUUCGCUGAUGUCUUCGAGAUAAGAUGCUGCUGCAAGUCCACCGGCAUCACUGCAGAUGGCCGUGAUAGUCUGGCGAUCCUUCCGAUACAAGGCACCACCCAUCAGGUACUCGUCACCGCCGGGGUCGACGGCUUCCCAGAGCUCAUUAGCCUCGAGCGCCCAAUCCAUCAUGGUCGCUGAUAACCCACAAGUAUAGGGGAUCGCAACAGUUUUCGACGGUAGAGUAUUCAACCCAAUUUUGUUGAUUCGACACAAGGGGAGCCAAAGAAUAUUCUUAAGUAUUAGCAGCUGAGUUGUCAAUUCAACCACACCUGGAAACUUAGUAUCUGCAGCAAGGUGUUUAGUAGCAAAGUAAUAUGAUAGUGGUGGUAAUGGUAACAAAAGUAAAGACAACAAAAGUAAUGUUUUUGGUAUUUUGUAGUGAUUGUAAUAGUAACAACAGAAAAGUAAAUAAGCGAGAACCAGUAUAUGGAAAACUCGUAGGCACCGGAUCAAUGAUGGAUAAUUAUGUCGGAUGUGGUUCAUCAUGUAACAGUCAUAACAUAGGGUGACACAGAACUAGCUCCAGUUCAUCAAUGUAAUGUAGGCAUGUAUUCCGAAUAUAGUCAUAAGUGCUUAUGGAAAAGAACUUGCAUGACAUCUUUUGUCCUACCCUCCCGUGGCAGCGGGGUCCUAUUGGAAACUAAGGGAUAUUAAGGCCUCCUUUUAAUAGAGAACCGGAACAAAGCACUAGCACAUAGUGAAUACAUGAACUCCUCAAACUAUGGUCAUCACCGGGAGUGGUUCCGAUUAUUGUCACUUCGGGGUUGCCGGAUCAUAACACAUAGUAGGUGACUAUAGACUUGCAAGAUAGGAUCAAGAACUCACAUAUAUUCAUGAAAACAUAAUAGGUUCAGAUCUGAAAUCAUGGCACUCGGGCCCUAGUGACAAGCAUUAAGCAUAGCAAAGUCAUAGCAACAUCAAUCUCGGAACAUAGCGAAUACUAGGGACCAAACCCUAACAAAACUAACUCAAUUACAUGAUAAAUCUCAUCCAACCCAUCACCGUCCAGCAAGCCUAUGAUGGAAUUACUCACGCACGGCGGUGAUCAUCAUGAAAUUGGUGAUGGAGGAUGGUUGAUCAUGACGACAACGACGAAUCCCCCUCUCCGGAGCCCCGAACGGACUCCAAAUCAGCCCUCCUGAGAGAGAUUAGGGCUUGGCGGUGGCUCUGUAUCGUAAAACGCGAUGAUUUCUUCUCUUUGAUUUUUUUCUCCCCGAAAGCCAAUAUAUGGAGUUGGAGUUGGCGUCGGAGGGCCACCAAGGGGCCCACGAGGUAGGGGGGCCACCCAGGGGUGGCGCCCCCACCCUCGAGGACAGGGUGUGGGCCCCCUGGUCUUCUUCUUUGGCGAGGAUUUUUUAUUAAUUAUCCUAAGACAUUCCAUGGAGUUUCAGGUCGUUCCGAGAACUUUUAUUUUCUGCACAAAAACAACACCAUGGCAAUUCUGCUAAAAACAGCGUCAGUCCGGGUUAGUUCCAUUCAAAUCUCACAAGUUAGAGUCCAAAACAAGGGCAAAAGUGUUUGAAAAAGUAGAUACGACGGAGACGUAUCAACUCCCCCAAGCUUAAACCCUUGCUUGUCCUCAAGCAAUUCAGUUGACAAACUGAAAAAGAAAAAAGAAAAACUUUUACAAACUCUGUUUGCUCUUGUUGUUGUAAACAUGAAAAACCAGCAUUCAAGUUUCAGCAAAUAUUAUGAACUAACCAUUCUCACAAUAACACAAAGGUCUCACAAUUACUCAUAUCAAUAGCAUAAUCAGCUAGCGAGCUAUAAUAACAAAACUCGGAUGACAACACUUUCUCAAAAUAAUCAUAACAUGAUAUAACGGAAUGGUAUCUCGCUAGCCCUUUCUGAGACCACAAAACAUAAAUGCAGAGCACCUUCAAAGAUCAAGGACUGACUAAACAUUGUAAUUCAUGGUAAAAGAGAUCCAGUCAAGUCAUACCCAAUAUAAACCAAUAAUAAUGAAUGCAAACGACAGUGUGCUCUCCAGCGGGUGCUUUUUAGUAAGAAGGAUGAUGACUCAACAUAAAAGUAAAUAGAUAGGACCUUCGCAGAGGGAAGCAUGGAUUUGUAGAGGUGCCAGAGCUCGGUUUUACAAUAGAGAUUGAAUAACAUUUUGAGCGGCAUACUUUUGCUGUCAACGCAACAACUAUGAGAUGACGAUAUCUUCCAUGCUAAACAAAUUAUAGGUGGUUCCCAAACAGAAUGGUAAAGUUUAUACUCCCCCUCCUCCACAAGCAUCAAUCCAUGGUUUGCUCGAAACAACGAGUGCCUCCAACAUUCAACGGGUCCCAAGGGGAGUUUUGUUUGCAAUUAUUUUGAUUUAGUUUGCAUAAAGCAUGGGACUAGGCAUCCCGGUGACCAACCAUUUUCUCGUGAAUGAGGAGCGGAGUCCACUCCUCUUGAGAAUAACCGCCUAACAUGGAAGAUAAGGACAACCCUAGUUGAAACAUGAGCUGCUUGAGCAUACAAAACAAAAUUUUAUUUGAAGGUUUGGAGUUUGGCACAUACAGAUUUACUUAGGACGGCAGGUAAAUACCGCAUAUAGGAAGGUAUAGUGGACUCAUAUGGAACAACUUUGGGGUUUAAGAAGUUUGGAUGCACAAGCAGUAUUCCCGCUUAGUACAGGUGAAGGCUAGCAAAAGACUGGGAAGCGACCAACUGGGAGAGCGACAACAGUCGUAAACAUGCAUCAAAAUUAAUUUACACCGAAUACAAGCAUGAGUAGGAUAUAAUCCACCAUGAACAUAAAUAUCAUGAAGGCUAUGUUGAUUUGAUUCAACUACAUGCGUGAACAUGUGCCAAGUCUAGUCACUCAAUUCAUUUAAAGGAGGAUACCAUCCCAUCAUACCACAUCAUAAUCAUUCUAAUAGCAUGUUGGCACGCAAGGCAAACCGUUAUAACUUAUAGCUAAUCAAGCAUGGCACAAGCAACUAUAAUCUCUAAAUGUCAUUGCAAAUAUGUUUACUUCAUAAUAGCUAACUCAGGAACGCUGGAUUAUCAUAUUUACAAAAACAAGAGAGGUCGUUCAUACCAGCUUUUCUCAUCCCAAUAAGUCCAUCAUAUAUCAUCAUUAUUGCCUUUCACUUGCACGACCGAACGAUGUGAAUAAUAAUAAGAGUGCACGUGCAUUAGACUAAGCUGGAAUUUGCAAGCAUUCAAUAACCAGGAGAAGACAAGUAAUAUGGGCUCUAAGUUAAAUAAACAAUCAUGCAUAUAAGAGCCACUUCAACAAUUUAAUCAUGGUCUUCUCCUACUGACCCCCAAAGAAAAGAAAAGGAAAACUAUUUACACGGGAAAGCUCCCAACAAGCAAAAGAAGAACGGGAAAUAUUUUUGGGUUUUCCUUUUUAACUACUACAGCAAAGAAAUAAAGUAGUACUAAUUUUUUUGUUUUUCUAACGGUUUAAUAAACACACAAGAAGAAGCAGGAAAAAGAAAAUAAACUAGCAUGGAUAUUACAGUGAAAAAGUAUGAACACCGACAUCUAGCAAUGAGUGUAUGUGAACAUUAGUGUAAUGUCGGUGGGAAAUACGUACUCCCCCAAGCUUAGGCUUUUGGCCUAAGUUGGUCUAUUGCCAGGGAUGGCCUGGUGGAUACCCGUAAGUGAAGCCGGGGUCAUACUGUGAUGCAGCGGCUAUCGCCUCCUGAGCUGCAGUGUAGCGUCUAGUUGCCUCCGCUCUCCUCUCGUAUUCAUCUGCCUCUUCUCUGGUAAUAAUAUAUCUUCCCUUUGUCCGAAAAUCAAAGAAGGCAGGAGCAGGAAGAGCAAUAUGGACUACAUGACGUUUGUUAAAGAUUAGUCUAUAUUGGAGAGGUGGUUCAGUCCUCUCAACAAACUGGUGGGAAACCAUAGAAUCAAAAUCCAAAUGAGUAGAGGGUAACUCUGUAUCACCCUCUCAAAUGUCUAUCUCAAGAAAAUUAGCUAAGCGGGUUGCAUAAAUUCCUCCAAAGAAAUCUCUGUUAUAUCUGUUAUGAUGCAACCUACGAGCUACGAUGGCUCCCAUGUGAUAAGAUUGGUCUCCUAACACAGCACUUCUGAGAAUGCUGAGAUCACGGGCACACAAGUGACAUACUUCAUCCUUAGCAUUAAUGCAUCUACCUAUAAAGAGAGCAAAAUAGUGUAUAGCAGGGAAAUGAAUGCUCCCUAAAGUGGCUUGUGUUAUAUCUCUAGAUUCCCCCACAGUUAUUUUAGCAAGAAAGUCUCUAUAUUCAGAUUUAGGGGGAUCCCUGACAUUACCCCAUGGUGGAAGCUUGCAAGCAGCAGUGAAAUCCUCUAAGUCCAUGGUAUAAGAUUUGUCAUAAAGGUCAAACAUGACUGAAGGAGAAUUAUGCGAGGAUGAAAACUCAAACCUCCUCACAAAUGAACUUGUGCGAUCAUGAUACUGGGGGCAUUUGUCAGCUUCAAACUCCUCAAGACCGGCGUUGCGCAAAUAUGCGCUAAAUUCUUCUUUGAUUCCCACUUGAUUCAUAAAAUUUUCCGAAGGCCAUUCACAUGGCCUAACAGGAGCAUCUCUUGGUGGUUCCUCGUCAGCAUCACGUAUUGCAAGCCUGGGACCUUGUUUCCUUGAAGAGCCUGAAGGAAAUAUGCCAUAGAGGCAAUAAUAAAGUUAUUAUUUAUUUCCUCAUAUCAUGAUAAAUGUUUAUUAUUCAUGCUAGAAUUGUAUUAACCGGAAACACGAUACAUGUGUGAAUACAUAGACAAACAUAUAGUCACUAGUAUGCCUCUACUUGACUAGCUCAUUAAACAAAGAUGGUUAUGUUUCCUAACCAUAGACAUGUGUUGUCAUUUGAUUAAUGGGAUCACAUCAUUAGAAGAAUGAUGUGAUUGACAUGACCCAUUCCGUUAGCCUAGCACAUGAUCAUUUAGUAUAUUGCUAUUGCUUUCUUCAUGACUUAUACAUGUUCCUGUAACUAUGAGAAAUAUGCAACUCCUAUUUACCGGAGGAACACUUUGGGUACUACCAAACGUCACAACGUAACUGGGUGAUUAUAAAGGAGUACUACAGGUGUCUCCGAAGGUACAUGUUGAGUUGGCGUAUUUCGAGAUUAGGUUUUGUCACUCCGAUUGUCGGAGAGGUAUCUCUGGGCCCUCUCGGUAAUGCACAUCUUUAUAAGCCUUGCAAGCAAUGUGACCAAAUGAGUUGGUUACGGAAUGAUGCAUUACGGAACGAGUAAAGAGACUUGCCGGUAACGAUAUUGAACUAGGUAUUGGAUACCGACGAUCAAAUCUCGGGCAAGUAACAUACCGAUGACAAAGGGAACAACGUAUGCUGUUAUGCGGUUUGACCGAUAAAAGAUCUUCAUAGAAUAUGUAGGAACCAAUAUGCGCAUCCAGGUUCCGCUAUUGGUUAUUGACCGAGAAUAGUUCUAGGUCAUGUCUACAUAGUUCUCGAACCCGUAGGGUCCGCACGCUUAACGUUACGAUGACAGUUUUAUUAUGAGUUUAUAAGUUUUGAUGUACCGAAGUUUGUUCGGAGUCCCAGAUGUGAUCAUGGACGUAACGAGGAGUCUCGAAAUGGUCGAGACAUAAAGAUCGAUAUAUUGGAAGCCUAUAUUUGGACAUCGGAAUCAUUCCGGGUGAAAUCGGCAUUUUACCGGAGCACCGGGAGGNNNNNNNNNNNNNNNNNNNNNNNNNNNNNNNNNNNNNNNNNNNNNNNNNNNNNNNNNNNNNNNNNNNNNNNNNNNNNNNNNNNNNNNNNNNNNNNNNNNNNNNNNNNNNNNNNNNNNNNNNNNNNNNNNNNNNNNNNNNNNNNNNNNNNNNNNNNNNNNNNNNNNNNNNNNNNNNNNNNNNNNNNNNNNNNNNNNNNNNNNNNNNNNNNNNNNNNNNNNNNNNNNNNNNNNNNNNNNNNNNNNNNNNNNNNNNNNNNNNNNNNNNNNNNNNNNNNCCCCCUUUCCUUCCCCUCUUCCUCCUCUUUCCCCCCUUCUCCUAUUCCAACUAGGAAAGAAGGGAGUCCUACUCCCGGUGGGAGUAGGACUCCCCCCUUGGCGCGCCCUCCUUGGCCGGCCGCCUACUCCCCCCUGGCUCCUUUAUAUACGGGGGCGGGGGGCACCCCAUAGACACACAAGUUGAUCUACGGAUCGUUCCUUAGCCGUGUGCGGUGCCCCCUUCCACCAUAUUCCACCUCGGUCAUAUCGUCGCGGAGUUUAGGCGAAGCCCUGCAUCGGUAGAGCAUCAUCAUCGUCACCACGCCGUCGUGCUAACGGAACUCAUCCCCAAAGCUUUGCUGGAUCGGAGCCCGGGGAUCGUCAUCGAGAUGAACGUGUGCUGAACUCGGAGGUGCCGUACGUUCGGUACUUGGAUCGGUCGGAUCGUGAAGACGUACGACUACAUCAACCGCGUUGUCAUAAUGCUUCCGCUUACGGUCUACGAGGGUACGUGGACAACACUCUCUCCUCUCGUUGCUAUGCCAUCACCAUGAUCUUGCGUGCACAUAGGAAUUUUUUUGAAAUUACUACGUUCCCCAGCAGUGGUAUCAGAGCAUAGGUUUUAUGCGUUGAUGUUAUAUGCACGAGUAGAACACAAGUGAGUUGUGGGCGAUACAAGUCAUACUGCUUACCAGCAUGUCAUACUUUGGUUCGGCGGUAUUGUGAGAUGAAGCGGCCCGGACCGACAUUACGCGUACGCUUACGCGAGACUGGUUUCACCGUUGCGAGCACUCGUGCUUAAAGGUGGCUGGCGGGUGUCUGUCUCUCUCACUUUAGCUGAAUCGAGUGUGGCUACGCCCGGUCCUUGCGAAGGUUAAAACAGCACCAAGUUGACGAACUAUCGUUGUGGUUUUUAUGCGUAGGUAAGAACGGUUCUUGCUAAAGCCCGUAGCAGCCACGUAAAAUUUGCAACCACAAAGUAGAGGACGUCUAACUUGUUUUUGCAGGACAUGUUGUGAUGUGAUAUGGUUAAGACGUGAUGCUAUAUUUUAUUGUAUGAGAUGAUCAUGUUUUGUAACCGAAGUUAUCGGCAACUGGCAGGAGCCAUAUGGUUGUCGCUUUAUUGUAUGAAAUGUAAACGCCCUGUAAUUGCUUUACUUUAUCUCUAAGCGGUAGCGAUAGUCGUAGAAGCAAUAGAUGGCGUAACGACAAUGAUGCUACGAUGGAGAUCAAGGUGUCGCGCCGGUGACGAUGGUGAUCACGACGAUGCUUCGAAGAUGGAGAUCACAAGCACAAGAUGAUGAUGGCCAUAUCAUAUCACUUAUAUUGAUUGCAUGUGAUGUUUAUCCUUUAUGCAUCUUAUCUUGGUUUGAUUGACGGUAGCAUUUUAAGAUGAUCUCUCACUAAUAAUCAAGAAGUGUUCUCCCUGAGUAUGCACCGUUGUGAAAGUUCUUCGUGCUGAGACACCACCUGAUGAUCGGGUGUGAUAGGCUCUACGUUCAAAUACAACGGGUGCAAAACAGUUGCACACGCGGAAUACUCAGGUCAUACUUGACGAGCCUAGCAUAUACAGAUAUGGCCUCGAAACACGGAGACCGAAAGGUCGAACGUGAAUCAUAUAGUAGAUAUGAUCAACAUAGUGAUGUUCACCAUUGAAACUACUCCAUCUCACGUGAUGAUCGGACAUGGUUUAGUUGAUUUGGAUCACGUGAUCACUUAGAUGACUAGAGAGAUGUCUGUCUAAGUGGGAGUUCUUAAGUAAUAUGAUUAAUUGAACUUAAAUUUAUCAUGAACUUAGUACCUGAUAGUAUUUUGCUUGUCUAUGUUUGUUUGUAGAUAGAUGGCUCGUGCUGUUUCCGUUGAAUUUUAAUGCGUUCCUUGAGAAAGCAAAGUUGAAAGAUGAUGGUAGCAAUUACACGGACUGGGUCCGUAACCUGAGGAUUAUCCUCAUUGCUGCACAGAAAAGUUACAUCCUAGAAGCACCGCUGAGUGCCAGGCCUGCUGCUGAUGCAACUGACGACGUUAAGAACGUCUGGCAGAGCAAAGCUGAUGACUACUCGAUAGUUCAGUGUGCCAUGCUUUACGGCUUAGAACCGGGUCUUCAACGACGUUUUAAACGUCAUGGAGCAUAUGAGAUGUUCCAGGAGUUGAAGUUAAUAUUUCAAGCAAAUGCCCGGAUUGAGAGAUAUGAAGUCUACAAUAAGUUCUAUAGCUGCAAGAUGGAGGAGAAUAGUUCUGUCAGUGAACAUAUACUCAAAAUGUCUGGGUAUAAUAAUCACUUGAUUCAACUGGGAGUUAAUCUUCCUGAUGAUAGUGUCAUUGACAGAAUUCUUCAAUCACUGCCACCAAGCUACAAGAGCUUCGUGAUGAACUAUAAUAUGCAAGGGAUGAACAAGACUAUUCCCGAGCUCUUCGCGAUGCUAAAAGCCACGGAGGUCGAAAUCAAGAAGGAGCAUCAAGUGUUGAUGGUUAACAAGACCACCAGUUUCAAGAAAAAGGGCAAAGGGAAGAAGAAGGGGAACUUCAAAAAGAACAGCAAGCAAGUUGCUGCUCAAGAGAAGAAACCCAAGUCUGGACCUAAGCCUGAAACUGAGUGCUUCUACUGCAAGCAGACUGGACACUGGAAGCGGAACUGCCCCAAGUAUUUGGUGGAUAAGAAGGAUGGCAAAGUGAACAAAGGUAUAUGUGAUAUACAUGUUAUUGAUGUGUACCUUACUAAUGCUCGCAGUAGCACCUAGGUAUUUGAUACUGGUUCUGUUGCUAAUAUUUGCAACUUGAAACAGGGACUACGAAUUAAGCGAAGAUUGGCUAAGGACGAGGUGACGAUGCGCGUGGGAAAUGGUUCCAAAGUCGAUGUGAUCGCGGUCGGCACGCUACCUCUACAUCUACCAUCGGGAUUAGUUUUAGACCUAAAUAAUUGUUAUUUGGUGCCAGCGUUGAGCAUGAACAUUAUAUCUGGAUCUUGUUUGAUGCGAGACGGUUAUUCAUUUAAAUCAGAGAAUAAUGGUUGUUCUAUUUAUAUGAGUAAUAUCUUUUAUGGUCAUGCACCCUUGAAAAGUGGUCUAUUUUUAUUGAAUCUCGAUAGUAGUGAUACACAUAUUCAUAGUGUUGAAACCAAAAGAUGCAGAGUUGAUAACGAUAGUGCAACUUAUUUGUGGCACUGCCGUUUAGGUCAUAUCGGUGUAAAGCGCAUGAAGAAACUCCAUACUGAUGGGCUUUUGGAAUCACUUGAUUAUGAAUCACUUGGUACUUGCGAACCGUGCCUCAUGGGCAAGAUGACUAAAACGCCGUUCUCCGGAACUAUGGAGCGAGCAACUGAUUUGUUGGAAAUCAUACAUACUGAUGUUUGUGGUCCAAUGAAUGUUGAGGCUCGCGGCGGGUAUCGUUAUUUUCUCACCUUCACAGAUGAUUUGAGCAGAUAUGGGUAUAUCUACUUGAUGAAACACAAGUCUGAAACAUUUGAAAAGUUCAAAGAAUUUCAGAGUGAAGUGGAAAAUCAUCGUAACAAGAAAAUAAAAUUUCUAUGAUCUGAUCGUGGAGGAGAAUAUUUGAGUUACGAUUUUGGUCUACACUUGAAACAAUGCAGAAUAGUUUCGCAACUCACGCCACCCGGAACACCACAACGAAAUGGUGUGUCCGAACGUCGUAAUCGUACUUUACUAGAUAUGGUGCGAUCUAUGAUGUCUCUUACUGAUUUACCGCUAUCGUUUUGGGGUUAUGCUUUAGAGAUGGCCGCAUUCACGUUAAAUAGGGCACCAUCAAAAUCCGUUGAGACGACGCCUUAUGAACUGUGGUUUGGCAAGAAACCAAAGUUGUCGUUUCUUAAAGUUUGGGGCUGCGAAGCUUAUGUGAAGAAACUUCAACCAGAUAAGCUCGAACCCAAAUCGGAGAAAUGUGUCUUCAUAGGAUACCCAAAAGAGACUAUUGGGUACACCUUCUAUCACAGAUCUGAGGGCAAGAUUUUCGUUGCUAAAAUCGGUUCCUUUCUAGAGAAGGAGUUUCUCUCGAAAGAAGUGAGUGGGAGGAAAGUAGAACUUGAUGAGAUAACUGUAUCUACUCCCUUAUUGGAAAGUAGUUCAUCACAAGAACCAGUUCCUGUGACAACUACACCAAUUAGUGAGGAAGCUAAUGAUAUUGAUCAUGAAACUUCAGAUCAAGUUUCUACUGAACCUCGUAGGUCUACCAGAGUAAGAUCCGCACCAGAGUGGUACGGUAAUCCAAUUCUGGAAGUCAUGUUGCUUGACCAUGAUGAACCUACAAACUAUGAGGAAGCGAUGAUGAGCCCAGAUUCUGCAAAAUGGCUAGAGCCCAUGAAAUCUGAGAUGGGAUCCAUGUAUGAAAACAAAGUAUGGACUUUGGUUGAGUUGCCCGAUGAUGGCAAGCAAUUGAGAAUAAAUGGAUCUUUAAGAAGAAGACUGACGCUGAUGGUAAUGUAACUGUCUAUAAAGCUUGACUUGUUGCGAAAGGUUUUCGACAAGUUCAAGGAGUUGACUACGAUGAGACUUUCUCACCCGUAGCGAUGCUUAAGUCUGUCCGAAUCAUGUUAGCUAUUGCUGCAUUUCAUAAUUAUGAAAUUUGGCAAAUGAAUGUCAAAACUGCAUUCUUGAAUGGAUUUCUGGAAGAAGAGUUGUAUAUGAUGCAGCCAGAAGGUUUUGUAGAUCCAAAAGGUGCUAACAAAGUGUGCAAGCUCCAGCGUUCCAUUUAUGGACUGGUGCAAGCAUCUCAGAGUUGGAAUAAACGCUUUGAUAGUGUGAUCAAAGCAUAUGGUUUUAUACAGACUUUUGGAGAAACCUGUAUUUACAAGAAAGUGAGUGGGAGCUAUGUAGCAUUUCUGAUAUUAUAUGUAGAUGACAUAUUAUUAAUUGGAAAUGAUAUAGAAUUUCUGGAUAGCAUAAAGGGAUACUUGAAUAAAAGUUUUUCAAUGAAAGACCUCGGUGAAGCUGCUUACAUAUUGGGCAUCAAGAUCUAUAGAGAUAGAUCAAGACGCUUAAUAGGACUUUCACAAAGCACAUACCUUGAUAAAAUUUUGAAAAAGUUCAAAAUGGAUCAGGCAAAGAAAGGGUUCUUGCCCGUACUACAAGGUGUGAAGUUGAGUCAAACUCAAUGCCCGACCGCAGCAGAAGAUAGAGAGAAAAUGAAAGAUGUUCACUAUGCUUCAGCCAUAGGCUCUAUCAUGUAUGCAAUGCUAUGUACCAGACCUGACGUAUGCUUAGCAAUAAGCUUGGCAGGAAGGUACCAAACUAAUCCAGGAAUGGAUCACUGGACAGUGGUCAAGAACAUCCUGAAAUACCUGAAAAGGACUAAGGAUAUGUUUCUCGUAUAUGUAGGUGACAAAGAGCUAGUCGUAAAUGGUUACAUCGAUGCAAGCUUGGACACUGAUCCGGACGAUUCUAAAUCGCAAACCGGAUACGUGUUUUUAUUAAACGGUGGAGCUGUAAGUUGGUGCAGUUCUAAACAAAGCGCCGUGGCAGGAUCUACAUGUGAAGCGGAGUACAUAGAUGCUUCGGAAGCAGCAAAUGAAGGAGUCUGGAUGAAGGAGUUCAUUUCCGAUCUAGGUGUCAUACCUAGUGCAUCGGGACCAAUGAAAAUCUUCUGUGACAAUACUGGUGCAAUUGCCUUGGCAAAGGAAUCCAGAUUUCACAAGAGGACCAAGCACAUCAAGAGACGCUUCAAUUCCAUUCGGGACCAAGUCCAAGUGGGAGACAUAGAGAUUUGCAAGAUACAUAUGGAUCUGAAUGUUGCAGACCCGUUGACUAAGCCACUCUCACGAGCAAAACAUGAUCAACACCAAGACUCCAUGGGUGUUAGAAUCAUUACUAUGUAAUCUAGAUUAUUGACUCUAGUGCAAGUGGGAGACUGAAGGAAAUAUGCCCUAGAGGCAAUAAUAAAGUUAUUAUUUAUUUCCUCAUAUCAUGAUAAAUGUUUAUUAUUCAUGCUAGAAUUGUAUUAACCGGAAACAUGAUACAUGUGUGAAUACAUAGACAAACAUAUAGUCACUAGUAUGCCUCUACUUGACUAGCUCAUUAAUCAAAUAUGGUUAUGUUUCCUAACCAUAGACAUGUGUUGUCAUUUGAUUAAUGGGAUCACAUCAUUAGAAGAAUGAUGUGAUUGACAUGACCCAUUCCGUUAGCCUAGCACUUGAUCGUUUAGUAUAUUGCUAUUGCUUUCUUCAUGACUUAUACAUGUUCCUGUAACUAUGAGAAAUAUGCAACUCUCGUUUACCGGAGGAACACUUUGGGUACUACCAAACGUCACAACGUAACUGGGUGAUUAUAAAGGAGUACUACAGGUGUCUCCGAAGGUACAUGUUGAGUUGGCGUAUUUUGAGAUUAGGUUUUGUCACUCCGAUUGUCGGAGAGGUAUCUCUGGGCCCUCUCGGUAAUGCACAUCUUUAUAAGCCUUGCAAGCAAUGUGACCAAAUGAGUUGGUUACGGAAUGAUGCAUUACAGAACGAGUAAAGAGACUUUCCGAUAACGAGAUUGAACUAGGUAUUGGAUACCGACGAUCAAAUCUCGGGCAAGUAACAUACCGAUGACAAAGGGAACAACGUAUGUUGUUAUGCGGUUUGACCGAUAAAAGAUCUUCGUAGAAUAUGUAGGAACCAAUAUGUGCAUCCAGGUUCCGCUAUUGGUUAUUGACCGAGAAUAGUUCUAGGUCAUGUCUACAUAGUUCUCGAACCCGUAGGGUCCGCACGCUUAACGUUACGAUGACAGUUUUAUUAUGAGUUUAUAAGUUUUGAUGUACCGAUGUUUGUUCGGAGUCCCGGAUGUGAUCACGGACGAAACGAGGAGUCCCGAAAUGGUCGAGACAUAAAGAUCGAUAUAUUGGAAGCUUAUAUUUGGACACCGGAGUCGUUCCGGGUGAAAUCAGCAUUUUACCGGAGCAUCGGGAGGNNNNNNNNNNNNNNNNNNNNNNNNNNNNNNNNNNNNNNNNNNNNNNNNNNNNNNNNNNNNNNNNNNNNNNNNNNNNNNNNNNNNNNNNNNNNNNNNNNNNNNNNNNNNNNNNNNNNNNNNNNNNNNNNNNNNNNNNNNNNNNNNNNNNNNNNNNNNNNNNNNNNNNNNNNNNNNNNNNNNNNNNNNNNNNNNNNNNNNNNNNNNNNNNNNNNNNNNNNNNNNNNNNNNNNNNNNNNNNNNNNNNNNNNNNNNNNNNNNNNNNNNNNNNNNNNNNNNNNNNNNNNNNNNNNNNNNNNNNNNNNNNNNNNNNNNNNNNNNNNNNNNNNNNNNNNNNNNNNNNNNNNNNNNNNNNNNNNNNNNNNNNNNNNNNNNNNNCCUAUUCCAACUAGGAAAGAAGGGAGUCCUACUCCCGGUGGGAGUAGGACUCCCCCCUUGGCGUGCCCUCCUUGGCCGGCCGCCUCCUCCCCCUGGCUCCUUUAUAUACGGGGGCAGGGGGCACCCCAUAGACACACAAGUUAAUCUACGGAUCGUUCCUUAGCCAUGUGCGGUGCCCCCUUCCACCAUAUUCCACCUCGGUCAUAUCGUCGCGGAGUUUAGGCGAAGCCCUGCGCCGGUAGAGCAUCAUCAUCGUCACCACGCCGUCGUGCUGACGGAACUCAUCCCCGAAGCUUUGCUGGAUCGGAGCCCGGGGAUCGUCAUCUAGCUGAACGUGUGCUGAACUCGGAGGUGCCGUAUGUUCGGUACUUGGAUCGGUCGGAUCAUGAAGACGUACGACUACAUCAACCGCGUUGUCAUAACGCUUCCGCUUACGGUCUACGAGGGUACAUGGACAACACUCUCUCCUCUCGUUGCUAUGCCAUCACCAUGAUCUUGCGUGCACGUAGGAAAUUUUUUGAAAUUACUACGUUCCCCAACAGAGCCACCUUGGAACAUCCUCCUAAACAUAUUGUUUCCUCUGAAAAAUUUCUGAAAUUUUUAAUAACUUCAAAUAAAAGUGAACCAACUUCAAUAAAAUUGAUAGCAACAACUCCUGCAAGUGCCUAGAGCCUAUAUAAAGCAUUGGAACUACUUGGAACCAUAUAAAUUUGACAUGCAAUCUCAAAAACAUGGUCACCUAUGCAGCAAAAAUUUGCAAUGAAUAAAGCACUAGAUCAAAAACUAAUUGGACCAAUGGAGGAGUCACAUACCAAGGAACAAUCUCCCCAAGCAGUUUUGCGAGAGGUGCUUUGAGCAAGGAGAUCGAAAAUCACAGCAACGGGGGCUGGAACUCGUGCUUGAGUUGGUUUUUCGUGUUUGUGUGAGGCAAAGGAAGAAGAUGGGUGCAAUAAUAAGUGGAGGAGGGCCACCAUGGGCCCACGAGGCAGGGGGCGCGCCCAGGGGGUAGGGCGCGCCCUCCACCCUCGUGGCCAGGUGGCAGCUCCCCCCGCGGUGAUUUUUGCACAGUAAAUUCUUAAAUAUUCCCGAAAAAUCAUAUUAAAUUGACAUGGUAUUCUGAGGACUUUUAUUUUCAGGAUAUUUUUAUAUUGCACAGAUAAGUCGGGAGACAGACAGAAAAGUACUAUUUUACUUUAUUUCUACUAAAUAACGGAAAAUAUAAAGAGGGUACAAAAGGUUGUGCUUCUAAUUUCAUCCAUCUCAUGUUCAUCAAAAAGAAUCCACUAACAAGGUUGAUCAAGUCUUGUUAACGAGCUCAUUUCGAUUAACACGGACCCGGAGAAAUUUCGAAUAGCACUAAGUUACCUCAACGGGGAUAUGGACAUCCCCAACAAUAAGUAUAUCAUACUUUUUCUUGACACUAGGGAGAGGAAAUUCAAAACCUACGAAUAUAAUCGAUGGAAUUUUUCCAAUAGAGUUGAUACUGUGAACCUGAGGUUGUUUCCUCGGAAAGUGUACCGUGUGCUCAUUACCAUUAACAUGAAAAGUGAUAUUGCCUUUGUUGCAAUCAAUAACAGCCCCUGCAGUAUUAAGGAAAGGUCUUCCAAGAAUAAUAGACAUACUAUCAUCCUCAGGAAUACCAAGAAUAAAAAAGUCCGUUAAAAUAGUAACGUUUGCAACCACAACAGGCACAUCCUCACAAAUACCAAUAGGUAUAGCAGUUGAUUUAUCAGCCAUUUGCAAAGAUAUUUCAGUAGGUGUCAACUUAUUCAAGUCAAGUCUACGAUAUAAAGAGAGGGGCAUAACACUAACACCGGUUCCAAGAUCACACAAAGCAGUUUUAACAUAAUUUCUCUUAAUGGAGCAUGGUAUAGUAGGUACUCCAGGGUCUCCAAGUUUCUUUGGUAUUCCACCCUUAAAAGUGUAAUUAUCAAGCAUGGUGGAAAUUUCAGCUUCAGGUAUCUUUCUUUUAUUAGUAAUAAUAUCCUUCAUAUACUUAGAAUAAGGACUUGUUUUGAGCACAUCAGUUAAUCGCAUACGCAAAAAGAUAGGUCUAAUCAUUUCAGCAAAGUGCUCAAAAUCCUCAUCAUCCUUUUUCUUGGAUGGUUUCGGGGGAAAAGGCAUGGGUUUUUGAACCCAUGGUUCCCUUUCUUUACCAUGUUUCCUAGCAACGAAGUCUCUUUUAUCAUAGCGUUGAUUCCUUGAUUGUGGGUUAUCAAGAUCAACAACAGGUUCAACUUCUACAUCAUUAUCAUUACUAGGUUGAGCAUUAACAUGAUCAUUAUCAUUAACAUUAUCACUGGGUUCAUGUUCAUCACCUGAUUGUGUUUCAGCAUCAGAAAUAGAAAUAUCAUUUGGAUUCUCAGGUGGUUCAGCAAUAGGUUCACUAGAAGUUUGCAAAGUCCUAUCAUUUUUCUUUUUCUUCUUUUUAGAAGAACUAGGUACAUCAAUAUCAUUUCUCUGAGAAUCUUGCUCGAUUCUCUUAGGGUGGCCUUCAGGAUACAAAGGUUCCUGAGUCAUUCUACCGGUUCUAGUAGCCACUCUAACAGCAUAAUCAUUUUUCUUACUAUUCAUUUCAUCAAGCACUUCUUUUUGAGCUUUAAGUACUUGUUCUACUUGAGUGGUAACCAUAGAAUCAUGUUUGCUAACAAGUUUAAGUUCACCUCUAAUAUCAGCCAUAUAAUCACCCAAGCAUUUAAUCAUAUAAGCAUCUUGUUUUAAUUGUCUACCAAAAUAAGCAUUAAAGUCAUCUUGCUUAAACAUAAAGUUAUCGAACUCAUCCAAGCACUCACUAGCAAUUUUAGUAGGAGGGACUUCAGCUUUAUCAUAUCUAUAGAGAGAAUUUAUCUUUACUACCUGUGUCGGGAUAUCGGGAGGUUCUUCAGUAAAUAAGUAAUUGAGAUCAUAUACUUCUUCAAUAGGCGAUAAAUUAAGACCGUGUAUUUCUUCAAUAGGAGGUAAAUUCUUAACAUCUUCAGCUUUAAUACCUUUUUCUUUCAUAGAUUUCUUUGCCUCUUGCAUAUCUUCAGGACUGAGAAAUAGAACACCUCUCUUCUUCGGAGUUGGUUUAGGAAUAGGUUCAAUAAUUGGCUCAGAAAUUGGCUCGGGAGCUAGCUCAGGAGGUGCCCAAUUAUUUUCGUUUGUCAACAUAUUGUUCAAUAGAAUUUCAGCUUCAUCCGGUGUUCUUUCCCUGAAAAGAGAACCAACACAACUAUCCAGGUAAUCUCUGGAAGCAUCGGUUAGUCCAUUAUAAAAGAUAUCAAGUAUUUCAGGUUUCUUAAGAGGAUCAUCAGGCAAAGCAUUAAGUAACUUGAGAAGCCUCCCCCAAGCUUGUGGGAGACUCUCUUCUUCAAUUUGCACGAAGUUAUAUAUUUCCCUCAAGGCCGCUUGUUUCUUAUGAGCAGGGAAAUAUUUAGCAGAGAAGUAAUAAAUCAUAUCCUGGGGACUUUGCACACAACCAGGAUCAAGGGAAUUAAACCAUAACUUAGCAUCACCCUUUAAUGAGAACGGAAAUAUUUUGAGUAAAUAAAAGUAGCGCGAUCUCUCAUUAUUAGUAAACAGGGCAGCUAUAUCAUUCAACUUAGUAAGAUGUGUCACAACAGUUUCAGAUUCAUAGCCAUAGAAAGGAUCAGAUUCGACCAAGGUAAUUAUAUCUGGAUCAACAGAAAAAUCAUAAUAAUCCUUAUCGGGAACACAAAUAGGUGAAGUAGCAAAAGCAGGGUCAGGUCUCAUUCUAUCUCUAAAAGAUUCUUUACUCCAUUUAACUAUAAACCUCUUAAGUUCAUAUCUAUCCUGGCAAGCAAGGAUAGCUGCAGAAGAUUCUGCAUCAAAAAGAUAACCUCCAGUAAUAGAAGGCAUAUUUUCAUCAUCACUCUCAUCAUUGUAUUCAGGUGCAAUAAUUUCUCUUUCUUUAGACCUAGCAAUUUGCUCAUCAAGAAAUUCACCAAGGGGCACAGUAGUAUCAAGCAUAGAAGUGGUUUUAUCAUAAGUAUCACGCAUAGCAGAAGUGGCAUCAUUAAUAACAUGCGACAUAUCAGAAUUCAUAGCGGUAGCAGGUUUAGGUGUCGCAAGCUUACUUAUAACAGAAGGAGAAUCUAGUGCAAGGCUAGAUGGUAGUUCCUUACCUCCCCUCGUAGUUGAGGGCAAAAUCUUGGUCUUAGCGUCUUUCAAGUUCUUCACAGUGUCCACCAGAUAUAAAUCCCAAGUGACUCAAAGAAUAGAGCUAUGCUCCCCGGCAACGGCGCCAGAAAAAGGUCUUGAUAACCCACAAGUAUAGGGGAUCGCAACAGUUUUCGAGGGUAGAGUAUUCAACCCAAUUUUGUUGAUUCGACACAAGGGGAGCCAAAGAAUAUUCUUAAGUAUUAGCAGCUGAGUUGUCAAUUUAACCACACCUGGAAACUUAGUAUCUACAGCAAGGUGUUUAGUAGCAAAGUAAUAUGAUAAUGAUGGUAAUGGUAACAAAAGUAAAGACAGCAAAAGUAAUGUUUUUGGUAUUUUGUAGUGAUUGUAACAGUAACAACAGAAAAGUAAAUAAGCGAGAACGAGUAUAUGGAAAACUCGUAGGCACCAGAUCAAUGAUGGAUAAUUAUGCCGGAUGUGGUUCAUCAUGUAACAGUCAUAACAUAGGGUGAUACAGAACUAGCUCCAGUUCAUCAAUGUAAUGUAGGCAUGUAUUCCGAAUAUAGUCAUACGUGCCUAUGGAAAAGAACUUGUAUGACAUCUUUUGUCCUACCCUCCCGUGGCAGCGGGGUCCUAUUGGAAACUAAGGGAUAUUAAGGCCUCCUUUUAAUAAAGAACCGGAACAAAGCACUAGCACAUAGUGAAUACAUGAACUCCUCAAACUAUGGUCAUCAUCGGGAGUGGUUCCGAUUAUUGUCACUUCGGGGUUUCCGGAUCAUAACACAUAGUAGGUGACUAUAGACUUGCAAGAUAGGAUCAAGAACUCACAUAUAUUCAUGAAAACAUAAUAGGUUCAGAUCUGAAAUCAUGACACUCGGACCCUAGUGACAAGCAUUAAGCAUAGCAAAGUCAUAGCAACAUCAAUCUCAGAACAUAGUGGAUACUAGGGAUCAACCCCUAACAAAACUAACUCGAUUACAUGAUAAAUCUCAUCCAACCCAUCACCGUCCAGCAAGCCUACGAUGGAAUUACUCACGCACAGCGGUGAGCAUCAUGAAAUUGGUGAUGGAGGAUGGUUGAUGAUGACGACGGCGAUGAAUCCCCCUCUCCGGAGCCCCGAACGGACUCUAGAUCAGCCCUCCCGAGAGAGAUUAGGGCUUGGCGGUGGCUCCGUAUCGUAAAACGCGAUGAUUUCUUCUCUCUGAUUUUUUUCUCCCCGAAAGCCAAUAUAUGAAGUUGGAGUUGGCGUCGGAGGGCCACCAGGGGGCCCACGAGGUAGGGGGGCGCGCCAGGGGGGGCGUCCCCCACCCUCGUAGACAAGGUGUGGGCCCCCUGGUCUUCUUCUUUGGCGAGGAUUUUUUAUCAAUUAUCCUAAGACAUUCCGUGGAGUUUCAGGUCGUUCCGAGAACUUUUAUUUUCUGCACAAAAACAACACCAUACAAUUCUGCUGAUAACAUCGUCAGUCCGGAUUAGUUCCAUUCAAAUCACACAAGUUAGUGUCCAAAACAAGGGCAAAGGUGUUUGGAAAAGUAGAUACGACGGAGACGUAUCAGUCUCCCACACCACAAAGUUCCCACGGUCAAAUCGUGGAUACUUCGAUCUCACCGGAGCAGCAAUUACUUUAGCCGCACCGGAAUACUCCGCCAGUUGCUUGGACUUGUCCUUCUCGUCGUCCAACAUGAUCUCUCGUUACUAGAAGAUCAACCUUGCUCUAGAUACCAAUUGUUGGCCCAGAUCCGACGCGGAGUACUUCCGGCGACGGCGAUAUGACCGACGACGAACGACGAUGACACACGACGCUCACUGACGAACUCGACGAAGUGCUUUACGUCGAGUUGCACCGCAGUACAAAGCUGGCCACCUGAUCCCUAAUUGAUCCUUGUACGUGGACGAGUACUUGUACUAUAACGCAUGAGCACUUCUAGCUGGAAUCGAUCAACUUGAUUGAUCGUCUAGCUAGCUCACGUAUACGGAGCAGCACAAGAAUCAAUUUGAUUGCCACAUGCACGUCUCGUGCGUGUUGUUUUCUUUGUAUUGCUUUUCACGGUAUAGCUUACAAGAGGUAUACACACGUAUAUAUAUAGUACAUAGGACCGAUCUAAUCUAGCCUACUCGGAUAGAUGUUGUCGGACGUCGAUAACUGCCACACGUGUGGCAGGAAAAGAAACGCACCACACGUCUUUAAUACAAAUAGAUUGCUACGUCACCGCAUGCAUGCAUGUGAAAAUCUUUUCGGAUUUUUAGUUUUUAAAAUGUUUUAUCUCUUAAAUGAAAAAUCCAAUUGAAGAUCCGUUUUCACCAUUGAAUCCCUCGCGACGAGAUCUUCAAAACUAGAUCUCAUAUCGAUAUAUUUCGGUGAAUUUUUUUGGUUAAAAGUUGUCAUGUCUAUUGCACAUGAAUUGACAUGAUAUUUACACUGAAGUUGCCAUGAUAUGUUUCAACUAUUUUCUUUUACAUUUAAAAGUAAAAUUUAACAUAUUAUAAAACGGAGAAUUAAGAAACUAGACUUGUCAUGCACCAUAAACUAAAAUUGCCAUGAUAAUGCACUUAAAUUGCCAUGGUUCAAUAAAAAAAUAUUUUCAUGAUCAAAGUACUGGAAUUGUCAUCAUCAAAAAACUAAAAUUGCCAUGAUCUACAAACUAAAAUUGUCACAUGGCAACUUUAGUUUAAGCACUAUGGCAACUAUAGUGUAAACAUCAUGGCAACUUCUUGGCAACAAUAAAAUUCGUGAAACAUAUCAACAUGGGGUCUAGUUUUGAAGAUCUCGUCGAGACGGAUUUAAUGAUGAAAACGGGUUUUUAGUAGGCUUUUUUAUUUAGGAGAUAAAACAUUUUUAAGCCAAAAACCAAAAAGAUUUCUGCUGAUGUCAUCUAUUCAUACGUGACAAAAUGAGUGGUGAUGGAGGCGUGUGGGCAAUCUGGAAAACGCCCACAAGUGUGGGCGUUAGUUUUUUCGAUGUUCUAAUCCUAAUACUAAUAUAGGUGACUCCUCCGUGUACGAGCCGGACACGGCAACUAAGAGUCGGGUUUAAUUCCAACAGCAUCUAAUUAUAUUGAUUCGGUAUUGUGGAUGUUGAUAUUUUUUCUUAUAAAUUUUCCCAAACUUUAUAAAACUUGACUUCAGACAAAUUUUGUUUGCAGACUAAAUGAAAACGAGGAAGUGUGUUUUUAAAUAUCCUUAUUGUAUAUCUUCAAAUAUGACCAGACGAUUCGUAUUCUUUUGUGUUGUAUAUACACGCGAGCGAGACGGUUCUCUAUCUUUGGCGUUGUACGUUUUCGUGUACGUACAUGCCCAACCAAAAUGACUGCUCCCUGGCCAGCUCUAUUCUGGUCAGGUUGUAUUAAUCACGCUCGCUGGGUCUGACCGGCUGAUCUGGACGGCCAACCGCCACCGAAACGGCCGGCCCACACGGUCGCCGCCGUGGUACAGCAAGACAACCAGGCAGCCCCCCUCGUCAGACACGGUCGGACGUACACACACGGCUCCGGCCUCCGGCCAUGGGACUGCUGCAUUAACUCCACUCUCUGAACCGUCGUCUCUCUGCAGCCGCAUCAGUCAGGCAAAUCACGAACGUUAAUGAAAGUCAUCCUUAUUUCCGAUUCCGAGACUGCAUUUAACUUUACACUCUGGUUAACAUACACCAGUAACAUACACAUAUCCUUAGACUGUGUUACUGUAUUCAGGCUAGUCAUAAUGUAUAGUAACUUAGACUAGUAACAUGCAUAUGUUACUAGUCUAUGUUAGCAUGUUACUAGUCUAUGUUACUACCAUCAUAGUGGGUAGUAACAUAAGUGUAGUGUCAUGCAAGUCUUCAUUUAUUAUGUUGUAGACUCAUUUUGCAUUGGGGUGCGUUAUGUUAUGGUAACAUAUUAUGUUACCACAAGCACCUCUCUCCUCAUUAAUUUCAUGCCACAUAAGCAUAUAUGUCUUGGAAUGUGCUAUGUUACUAUCUAAGUUACUCCCACUAUGGCUAGCCUCAUAGUGGGAGUAACAUAAGUGUGGUAACAUGCAAAGUUUCAUUUAUUAGGUUAUAGAGUAACAUAAGUGUGGUAACAUGCAAAACUUCAUUUAUUAGGUUAUAUAAACUCAUAUUGCAUUGGGGCAUGUGAUGUUACAGUAACUAGCUAAGUUACUAUAACUAUCUCUCUCCUCAUUAAAUCAUUGCCACAUACGCACAUUUGUUGAGUUGGACUCGAUGUUACUGCUGAAGUUACUCCCACUAUGGCUACUCUUAGGAGCACCACCUAUUUGGAAUAAACCGUAGGCAGUAGAUUCCUAAAUAUGUAGUCCACAUUGAAAUCUUAAAAAAAUAUUUUUAGGAAUGAGAGAGUAUUUGAAAUCGGCUUUGUCGGUGAAGCUGGAUUUAGAUUUGGGUCACUUUCAAUGCAGUUGCCUGAAAUAGUUCAAGUGUACUUCGGUGACAAUCAAUUCUGCCAAUGAAGCGAAUCCAUAGCUGCCUUGAUGUCAACUGAAACAACAUGGCCUUAAGUUGAUUGCAGUGAUAGUACUAGCAGUCUCCCUNNNNNNNNNNNNNNNNNNNNNNNNNNNNNNNNNNNNNNNNNNNNNNNNNNNNNNNNNNNNNNNNNNNNNNNNNNNNNNNNNNNNNNNNNNNNNNNNNNNNNNNNNNNNNNNNNNNNNNNNNNNNNNNNNNNNNNNNNNNNNNNNNNNNNNNNNNNNNNNNNNNNNNNNNNNNNNNNNNNNNNNNNNNNNNNNNNNNNNNNNNNNNNNNNNNNNNNNNNNNNNNNNNNNNNNNNNNNNNNNNNNNNNNNNNNNNNNNNNNNNNNNNNNNNNNNNNCACCUCCAUCCUGGGCGCGACGCGGGCGCCGGGCGUCGCGGCGCGGCGGCGCACGGGGUCGUGGUGGGCUCCAGUGUUCCUGUCGGGCUUCGGGCGGCGUGGUUGGUGGCAGGGCGUGCGGUGGUAGCUGCGGCGGCAAGGAUGGCAGGCCAGUCUGCGCGGUGGCAGCUGCUCACAGCGUGGGCUGGGAGCGGCAUGGCGGGUGGUGCCUCCUGCGGCGAGGGCUACGGGCGGCGCGACCCGGCGGUUGCUGACAGCGAGGGGGCCGGCGCAACAACGGCUUGGUGGCGGUGGUGGCGGAGCGUGCCGACCGGAUCUGGCGAUUUCUGGUGGGCGGCGCGUGUUGCGGCACUAGCUGGCGUGGCUGCUGCUUCGGCUGUGGGCGAUGGCGGCGAGGCGGCUCAGCCCUCUGGUGGAGGCUUCCAUUCGUCGCGCCGGCACCGCGACAGCUCGGCAGGUUGCCUGCGGCGACAACUGGAUUUUUGGCGUCAGUUCGUUUGUAGGCGGCCUGGUUCGACCUUCGAGCCAUCUUCGCGGCGUCUGGUCGCUAUCUUCAUCAAAGGGCUGGCCCUCCCCCACUGCGGUCCAUCACUCGUCUCGCACCCGACAACAGGACCGAGCUCGUCUCGCGCGCGGCAACAGGACUGACCUUGUCUCGCGCCCGACAGUAGGACCGAGCUCGUCUCGCGCCCGGUGCCGCAGAACGGGUCGAUGAAGGCCAAGUUUGGCCGGCCUAUUGAGUCUCGGCACUAGGGGCCAUCCAUGUGCUUUGGUUGGGGUAGCGGCGGAUCUCGGUGAGGUGGUGUCAAGGUCUUCGAUGCAGGGGUGGCGGCCCUGAUGGUGGUUCCGCGGUGCUCAUGGGCAAAGCUCGUGGCUUGGUGUUGCCCGGUUGCCACGGCCGUGUGGGUGGCAUGGUAGCCGGGGUGUGGUGUUCAGUGGCGUGAGUGGUGGCUGGGGUGAAAACCUACUCUAUCUUCGGACGGACCGGCGGCGGCGAAACUCGUUCCCUUCUUGAAGGCGUCGUCGUGGCACUCAUUGCCUGUCGUGUUGCUCUAGGGGAAACUCUGAUCCUCAGAUCGCGCGCUGACGGCGCUUCGGUGUCGUUCAUUUUCUGAAGGCGCCGCCUUGGAGCGCACAGAUCGUCAUAUGCGGCUUCACCUCUUAGUGUAGUGCUUGGGUUGGUGAUGCUGUGCUCAAUGCUUAUGUAUACUGCAUUGGGUGCGUGUGUGCAUGUGUUGUGAGGGUGUGCGCUUGUAUCGGGUGUUGUCGAUCAUUUCUUUAUAUAUAAAGCGGGGUGAAAGCCUUUUUUGGUAAGUUGACUGCAGUAGUCCCCCCCCCCCACACACACACAUCCGGUGCCUCACCUCCGACGAGUCCUUGUCUGAGCCCUCACCGACGACACCGUCGUCUCGCUUCGGUUCUGUCAAAUCCAACGAGUAGUCCUUCGAGAUCAUAAUGGGAAGUUCGUCGCUGCAGCAAAUGAUUUUUUUUUAUGACUCUGGUUUGCUAUAGCAGUUUCUCCCUAAAUAAUUUGUGCUAGUUGGCGUACUCACAAAAGAAGAAGAAAUCUCGCAAUUGUUGCCCUAUAUUUUUGGGAUCAAAGUAGUCAUGUACAUUCCUUCAUGUAGAAAUACCCCAAGAAUAAAAACAGUGGCAAGAAUUGUUAAGAUGAUUCUAUUCCUGUGACAGCACAAGCAUACCCCAAGAAUAAAAACAGUGGCAUUAAAAAAAAGAGCUCACAGCCUCUAUAAAAAGAGGUGCCCCACGUACAACGGGAAUGGUCACUGGCUUUUCUAUACUACUAUUAAACAAGCGAACAUUAUCUUUUCUAAACGCAUCCCGUCAAGUGUACACGCAACAAUACAGACUAAUUGGAGCCUCACGAUUAGUCCCAUUUGUUUAUAUCUACUCCCUCCGUUUCAAAAUAGAUGACUCAAUUUUGUACUAACUUAGUACAAAGUUGGGUCAUCUAUUUUAGAACGGAGGGAGUAACUGUUAACACAACAACUAACUCUCACCAAAGUAGAUUUAGCAAUUUAAGAGGACGGACGAAAACUCUGCGAUCGGCAUCCGCUGAUCCCACUGAUCCAUCCGCUCCGCUAAUCCCUCCGUCAUUUCCUCCCCUUCCGCUCCGCUAAUCCCUUCAUCACUUCCUCCCCUGCCAAAAAUCCCUGCCGUUGGCGUCCCAUGGAGGCAGGCACGCAGCCUGUACGCGCCGGUCAUCGCCACCGCUCCUCUGCUCCGCCGGCCGUCCACGCCCAAACCAUGCCUCCUGCCCUCCACAUCUCCCCACACGGCACCGCCUCCGCCGGCCCUCCACGGGCCUCUUCGGCGCCCAACCACCCGCGGGCCUCUUCGGCGCCCCUCACCCGCCGGCCACCGCCCUCCCAGUGGUCCCUCUCACCGCCCCCUUCUCGGUGCCCACCAGCCGUCCUCCCGGCGCUCCCCACUCCACCACACGAAGACAAAGUCGAGACGGCACCAGGUGCCAGCAUCGCCGGCUCGCCGCACUUCGCUGGCCAACAAUCGCCACGGGCGCUCCCUGAUCCCUUCGCGCGGCAACAGCAACGGGUGCCCCAGUCCCCUCCAUGCGUCCGUGCACUCCGCCUGGGAGUUGCUCUAUUCCCAGGUAUGUUUGGCCAUGCCGACGGCCAUGACGCGUGAUGCUCUAUGGUUAGGAACGACUUACUUUGCAUGAACUGCUUAGCUCGUGAGUUUUGCAUCAGCCGCUUAGAGCAAGGCCAUGUGCGUAUUAAUUCAUCUCAAGCUCUUGGGGAUCGUUCUUCAGUAAAACAAAUCUGUACUAGAUCGCGCUUCAGUUUAAUUGGUGUGGCACAACUAUUCAUUUCAGGAGAGUCAAGACUUCUAUCUCAUAAGAUAUUCAAUGGAUAUUUUGUGAAACUAUUCUACCUCGGUGUUUGUCCAGAAGAAACAAACUCAUGUGAGUGAUAUUCAGUAGCCUUAUAGUAGCUAUUUGUGAGUGAGUUUGCCUGCAUAAUGUUAAUUAUGGCUUUCGCAGGUUCAGGAAGAGCUAUUUUGUGCACAUGAGUUGCUAUUGGCAGUGGAAAGAUUGUCUAUGUAGAGAGCUUAGAGAAAAAAGUGAGUGGUUCAAUUUUAUGUGAUGGGAAUGUUCACAAGGCAUCUUAAUUUUUGGAGAGAUAUAAACCCAUAAAGAAUUCAGAAUUGUGCUUGUUCACAGCUUUCUUUCAGUGAUUAGUAGUUGAUUUGCUUUGCAAAACAAUUAUAUUAUAGGUUAACUUGUCUAUAUAUUGCUUCACAUUUGUGUGUUUUAAGGUGAAUUCCGUACAGAUUGUGGUAGCUAGAGCAGGUGAAUGUCCGUGGCUGCUAGCUACAAGCAUCAAGUAAUCGUACCAAGAUUGCUUGGGUGUCGUGGUCCGAUAAGCAUCAAACAUUUGUAUGCCGAUUGGUAACAGGCUGAUUUAGAGUGGAUAAUCUACCGGUUUUGGGACUGACUUCAACAAGUAAAAAUUUAUGGGUAGUCAAGGUAAAUACUCACCCAAAGGGCAACAAAUUGGUUAUCGUUUUAACAGCAACUGGACAAAAGGUCCAUUUUCAAAGCAUUGUUUGAACUGGAAUGGUCGAUUUCUUUCUGCAGAAUAUAGUGCUGGUUUUAAUGGAUAAGAUGUCUUGGUAUUUUUUUUUAGUGAGAAAUGCAUCUUGGUUCAACCUUUCAUUUAUGUUUUCUGAACAUAGGUCAUGAUUCUGAACGAAGAGAGUGGAUCUUGAAUAGUAAAGAUGGUACUGCCCCAUAUAACUACAGUGCAAUUAUACUGGAGCAUGCAGGUUCAUCUUUGUUCAGUUAUACUGUGCAAUCUAGGUUCAUCUUUGUGCAGUUAUACUGCCUUCGUGUCCUAUAACUACUGGAAACUACGACCACAGUGCAGUUAUACGGGAACCUAUAACUACUGUGCAAUGUAGGUUGUUCUUUGUGCAGUUAUACUGCCUCCUAAUCCAACCUUCACUUUGUUGAUCCUGAAGCAUGAAAGCACAUUAUGUAGUAUGAUCUGCAGCCUUUUCAGCACUGUUUUUAUUUUUCCUUUUUUCUCUUUUUUCAUUUCCAGUUCUUGCUCUCUAAGCCGGUUCUCAGCUAAUGUACGGUUGUCCCCCCUUCUUAAUGCAAUGGCCGAACUACUUCUUGUUAUGGUCAAAAAAUCAAGUAAAAAGACAACAUCUUGAUUUGACUCUUAUAAAAUGAAAUAAAAAUAUUCAUAUUGAUGACCAUUUCUUGUAGCAUUGUUGAUGUUCUUUCGUUUGCCGUUUUAUGUUUUCACAGUUUGAUGAUGGUAUUUUUUGUGGUUAGAUUUAAAAGAUAUCAAGAAUGAAGAAUGAUGUUCUGGAUCUGUGCAAUGAUGACAUUAACAGGGGAAUUGCAUAAAUGGGGUAAUUCAAUUUUUGAUUUAGUCACUUGCAAAACUAGGUAACAGAACUUUGGACUAUCACAAUACUAUUGCUUUGAUAUUGAUUUGUCAUCGUCAGUGUCGAUGUGGGGCGUAGGAGGCACAGAGAUGAUGCUGAUCGCCAGCGAUUAGCAGUCGAGGAGCGGUACCCCGGCCUGCGCCUGAGCUACAAUAGCAUGUUACCAUUGAUAACAUGAGCUAUUGCUAAUGGUCUGCUGACUAAUGUACUGACAACUUGAAAUCAUCUUUUCUUUAAACUUAGUGGUAAUUUAUCAAGGAAAGAUAUAUAUUUGUUGGUCAGUUGCUCAGUUCCAGGGAUGGAAUCUGGCUUGCUUGCUGCUUUGCCAUAAGCCGCUUUUGUUUGCGACUGAAUUUAGCUCAUAAUAGCUCAAAAUGAAAGAAAAAAGUCGUUUUAUAUUGUGACAAAUAUGCUACCAACUUUUAUCUUAACAUUUAUUGUCCCUUUUUUUUGUUGUUUUUAUUUUUAUCUCUCUACUUUCCGGUUGCUUCCAAGCUUUACUUGAAGAACUAAUAUUAAAUUGUGAAUUCAUUUGAGACCCUGCCAUCUUAUAGUGGAGAAUCUAUAAGCGAGUGUUCAUACCAUGUGUCUCUUCACACUUACAUUGUAAGAGUCCUUGGAAUUGUAUAUCUAUUCUAUCUGAGUGGUAAUAGAUAUAGAUGUUGCUGAUGUAUUUAAUCUCAGUACAUUGUAGGAGAUCUCAUCGAGAUUUAAACUUGCAGAGUUUAUCGAAUGUAUCCAAAUCAUUGCACGUAUAUGUGGAUUGAAAAUUUAAGCUUUAAAGUAUUCAAAUUUUGAAAUCUAAUAAAACGUGUAUUGCACGUGCACGCUUACNNNNNNNNNNNNNNNNNNNNNNNNNNNNNNNNNNNNNNNNNNNNNNNNNNNNNNNNNNNNNNNNNNNNNNNNNNNNNNNNNNNNNNNNNNNNNNNNNNNNNNNNNNNNNNNNNNNNNNNNNNNNNNNNNNNNNNNNNNNNNNNNNNNNNNNNNNNNNNNNNNNNNNNNNAAAUAUUCACCCCAAUGCAAAAAAAUCGGUGGAUGAACCCCAAAAGGUCGGAUGAAGGCCUCCUAGGGGCGCAAUGGGUGGAGAUGCUCUAAGUACAUUCAGAUCCAUAAGCGUGAAUCUACCAAAUUAAUUAAGCACCGAGAGGAGGAAGGAGGGCAGCAAUACCACUACCUAGAUCUAUAGACUCCUGUGUAGUGUAGGAUCGCCGCCGGCCGCAGCGCGGCCGCGGCUGGCUGGAUCGGCCUGGAAUUUCCUAUUGGUCGUUCACUGCGGCAAAAUGCGGGCGCUUCGCACAGGGGGAACAACCGAGCGACGCUGCCUGGGCUGGCCCACUUAGAUACGUUACCAACUGCCCAAUCCGGUUUUGUGAACCUUCUAGAAGGUUUCCUGAACCAGGUUUUCGUUGCUUUCAUCGGUUUUUCCUUUUUUUCUUUGUUUUUCUGUUUCUUUUUUUCUUUUUCUUUUUUUCUUCUUUCUUUGUUUUUCUGUUUCUUUAUUUCAUUUUUUUCAAUUCCUUUUCUUCUCUUUCUAUUUCCUUUUUGUUCUUCAGAUUUUCAAAUUCCUUUUUUUUUCUUUNNNNNNNNNNNNNNNNNNNNNNNNNNNNNNNNNNNNNNNNNNNNNNNNNNNNNNNNNNNNNNNNNNNNNNNNNNNNNNNNNNNNNNNNNNNNNNNNNNNNNNNNNNNNNNNNNNNNNNNNNNNNNNNNNNNNNNNNNNNNNNNNNNNNNNNNNNNNNNNNNNNNNNNNNNNNNNNNNNNNNNNNNNNNNNNNNNNNNNNNNNNNNNNNNNNNNNNNNNNNNNNNNNNNNNNNNNNNNNNNNNNNNNNNNNNNNNNNNNNNNNNNNNNNNNCAUAAAAUGUUCAGUUUUUUUAAAAUUGUUCUCAAAAUUCAAAAAUUGUUCUCGUUACACAAAAAAGUGCAAAACUUUCGAACUUAAUAUAAUGUAUCGAACUUCAACUUUUUUGUUCAGGUUUUCAAAAAAUGUUUGCACUUCCAAAUAUAUUCGGGAUUUUUCAAAUUUGUUCUCUGUUUCAAAAUUUGUUCUUAAUAUUCAAAAAAUGUUCGUGCUUUAAGAAAUUGUUCGUGCUUCCAAAUUUGUUCUACGUUUCAAAAUUUGUUCUCAAGAUUCAAAAAAAUGUUCAUGCUUUUAAAAAAAAUCCGCGCUUCCAAAUUUGUUCUCUGUUUCAAAUUGUGUUCUCAAGAUUAAAAAAAUGUUCAUGCUCUAAAAAAUGUUCAUGUUCAAAUUUUGUUCUCAAAUUUCCGCACUGACAAAUUUGUUCUCCGUUUCAAAAUUUGUUCUCAAGAUUAAAAAAUUGUUCGUGCUUUAAAAAAAUGUUCAUGUUCAAAUUUUGUUCUUGAUUUCAAAAUUUUGUUCUCUAAAUUCAAGAAAUGUUCGGCAUUUUAAGAAGUGUUCAGUUUAUCAAAAAAUUGUUCAAGCCUUUUAGUUUUUCUUCUAAAAUUUGGAAAGUGUUCUCUUUUUAAGAAACACCUUUUCAAAAUAAUUUUCGUGUUAGGAAUUUGAGAAAAUGUUCGGGUGUCCAUUAUAUUUAGCUCCGCACGGCGUAGCAAACCAAGAAAGCUUGUCUAUCGCGAUGGCUAUGCUCAUGCAUACAUAGAUGGAGGUCUCUAGUUUGAUCCCUCUCUUGAGCAGAGGUUUUUGGGAUUUUUACAAUGCGUUGCGUGAAUGGGCCGGCCCAGCUGGAGACGCGCCUGUGCGUCCGCUCGACAAUUUGCCGCAGCGAGCGGCGCAUAGGAGCUCUCGAUCGGCCCCGUGUGCGUAGUGAGUGAUGUGGUGGCGACCGUGUAGAAAUGGGCCGUUGUAGGGCCAGGACGUCUCGGUCUACCCUGCUUCAUUUUUCUUUCGAAUUAACCCAUGAUCCAAAAUCCAGUUUAACUGAAAAAAAUAGUGCGCUUGAAAUAACUGAAAAAAAAGUUAAAGAUAAACAAAACAUGAUAAUCAAACCAUCUCUCGUGGUAUAGAAGGGUGGUUCUCCUCAGGUUGUCACAGAGGUAACUAAGGCAAGCCAAUUCAUUUCUCCAGUUGGUGUGGUUUUCUUCGCGUCAGGUUACGGUGUAUGACAGUAUGAGUACUUUUAGAUGGUUAUUAAGGAGAAGCCUGCCUUCAGCACCGGAGGCACGAACUAUGCGAUAACGGUGAAUCCGAAUGAGGAUCUCCGACUAAACCUUGUCUUCUUUGCGAUUUGGUACAUCCCGGGCAUCACCCAUGCCGUCAAUGCGGUUACGGGUCUCUUCUCCUAAGUAUAUUAGAUCAUGUAUUACAGAAGAAAAAAAUAGACCACGGAGAUUCAGAACAGCCAAAGCCAACUGUUACAGAAGUUAGAACAGUUGGUGCUUCUAUGUUUAAUAAAUAGACAAAGAUUUAGAAGAAUUUCUAUAGUGGGGGAAAGGGUGAAGAGAACCUAUGAUGAGUCUACUCUACCACAUCUUCCCCCUCUACCGAAAAUAGCCAAAGGAAGGAAAGCCAUAAAGAAGCUAACGAGAAGAAAGCCAGCUAUUCCUCUGUACAUGGUCAGCUGCAGUGAGCAGCAUUGAAACAGUCACAACUUCAGUAGUGGAGUAGUUCCUACUGAAAUGCCCUCUGAAUGUAUAUGCAAUGAGCAAAUUAGUUCAGCACAUGUGCGCACGAUAUUCAUUCAAUUCACUCCACAUGUUCAUAAAAUCUACACCACUAGUACUUACUCUGUAGAUUUCCAAAUUAAGCGAGCAUAAGCUCGAUAGUAGUUGAUCGGCCGAUAAGGCAAGUACUACAUACCAUUCACACGAAUGGCACACAUAGCCAACAAUCUAGUACAUCACAUAACAGCAGUUUGGUGCACCUAAUGCACAAAAGAUGCUUACUAACUACAGAGCUGAUAGCAUAAUAGGUACAGCAUAACAUAAUUCAUCCUCACACCUUUAACCGGCCAAAGCUGGAAACUUGCCAUAGUACGGCACAUAGAAUAGACUGAGAUAUAGUUUAGUGAAUCUUCUUGGAAUCUUUUGAAACUGUGAGCCUUUUCCAGUGCUGAUGCUAACCGAGAUGAUCUUAUCAGCAAUUUCGUCAUCAAGGAUAACCAGCUCCCUCUCCAGGUUAACAGUCCUGAUGUCAUAAUCGAAAUGCCAAUAUCCAUCACUGUGAGUGCGGAGUAACAUGUCCCUCCCAAAUACAUCGACCAUACUCAGACGAUGCUUCACUACCCACCUGUCGGGGCCUUCCAAACUCCAAAUCCGUAUCGCACAGCCAUCUAAUUCUUGUUUCGCAUAGCACAAGACGCCUGAGGACUGGCUAAGACGGCCGUUAUAACAGCAAAAUAUGUCCGUCCUAUCUGGAUAUCCUGGCAGCUGAAUGAACCUAUGGUUGAGCCCUUGUGUACAUCUGUCAGGUGCGUCUAGCGCCAGGAUUUUAUUCAAGAUGAAGUGCUUCAGAUACAACACCCCAUUUACAAAGAGAGAAUCACCUUCAAAUGGAUCUCUAGUUUUCCAAAGACAGCUAGACCAUGUGGAAUCCUUAGAGAAAAAUACCUUAACUUCAGUGUUGAUACAGCUCAUGACCUCGAUAGACUGGAAUUUGAAGACAUAGAAGUGUUCAGACCAUAAUGGAUCGAAACACAACUCAAAUGCAAUAUUGGAGCGGGCCGGGCCAGGUUCAGUAUCUGGAAGUGCCAUCCACUCUUGAGUUGCUGGAUUGCACACAAUAGCAUUGGAAAUUUCUUCACUUCUAAUUUUCUGAUAACAAAGAAGUAGGCCAUUGCAGCAACCCCGAAGCUGUAUUGGGUACUUAUAACAUGGCACAAAGCUAAGUGUUGUGUCAAUUUCCUUGUCACCUGAGGGCAGUCUGGCGAGAUGGAUGGCACUGCCAAGAGGGGAGGCAACUCUGCCACGCUCAAAUUUCUGGUACAAGAGGCCAGCGGGAGUUCUUGGGAGCUUUUGCCGAUAGUAUGGAUGAGAUGAGAGGGCAAGCCAAGACUUGCAGACACAUUUGAUGCGGCACAAGGACUUUAGCGGCAGUCGAGACAGGAUGUCUACUACCAGCUCAUCAGGUAGUACACAUGUGGACAUCCCCAAUCUAGGAUCUGAACUUAUCUGCAUCAAAAGAAAAGAAAAAAUUAGAUAAUGUAAAACUGGGAAACAAUAAAGUAUGUGUGUAAACAUCAUCUGAACCCAAAAAUUAAAAUCCAGCAAAGUUUCACCCUCCAAAAAACAAUGAAUGCACAUUUUUCUGUUGGUCCCAAUUGAUGCUUGAAUUAGUAAACGAGUGGCUGUUGAAACGUAUGUGAUCAUGUUCAUCUUAUGACAAUGACACCAUUGUGUAUAUGAAAGAACAUAUUUGGUAUGGACUUAUGACCUGUACUGAGUGGGUCACAGGGAUUCAAUGUGAAAGAACAGAUUUGGUAUGGGCUUAUGGCCUAUGCUACGUGGGUCACAGGGAUUCACCGUUUGGUUGACACAGGGAUACUGCUAUAUAGUAGUUAUGUGCAAGAUAAAAUAAAAUGACCAAGUUUUUCCAAUGCUUACAUCGCCAUCCAUCCUUGGAAAAAAUGUGAUCUGAUAAAAUCUAUAAUCCUAAGGACCUAUCAGACACCGUGAGAAGCUGAGACAGGUGCUAACUCGAGAAAUAAGCCAGGGCAAGUCAAGAAUAUCAUGUAUCCAUCCUUAGUGCGACUGACCAACAGAAACGAACUCAUCAGACAUCAGAUCAUGUAUAUGCUCCUAACCACGACUUCCUUUGGCAUCACGAAGACGACAGGAUGAGGGAAAUCCGUCAAUUUACAGGAUGGCACACCAACUGGCGAAACGGAUGGCGUUGAGAUCUAGGUUGCAUCUGCGAUGAGCUCAGAUUAGAAACAACACAUGAGGACAAACAUGCGGCAUAGACACCGAGGAGAGGAAGAGGAACGGGAGCUCACCGCAUAAUGCUUACUUCGGGUCGUCGGCGAGUACGGUCGGCCAGGCGGCAAGCGAAAACGAGGCUGCGGAGGUGAGGCAGCAACGCAGGAUUUGGAGGUGGGCGCAACGUAGUGCCUAGAGAGAAGGGGGAUAGGAGAGGAUGUGUUGAAUCUGAAUCAAGGAAAGAAGUAAAGCGAGUGCUCGAGGCCCCUCUAGAGAUAAAGGGAUAAGGGAAAGCACGCGGGACCACAUUGACACAUGUUUUGCAUGUGAGGUGGCUGACGCCAGCGCUUUUGUCACCCCACCGAACAAAAUUAUUUUCAUUUAGAAAAAUAAUACUAAUCUCACUUGAAAACAACGUUGGGAGUCGCUAGGGUGAUAUUUUCUCCGUCGGCUAUCUCUCCAGCCAUCCAUUGUACUUAAAAUGGUAAUUUUUGGAUCCCUAUCGUUGUAACAUUAAACACCCAAAUAUGAAAUAGUUAGAAUAUUCCCCCCCAUGAACCCAAAAUUUAUUCAUAGAAUUGCAACAUUUAAAACAUGCCCACAAAAAAUAUAGGACAUAAAAAAGGGUCAAAAUAGCAUGAACACGGGCAACAUGAAAAAUCAAUGUAAGAAUAUACAAGCACAACAUAUACAAUAACGAAGAAAACAUUUGUAACAUAAUUGCAAUCCCUUUGUGACAGAAGUUUGGAGUCAUUUACAAAAUCUCGUUCAUGUGUAUGCAGUAAACAACCUAUGCACAAAAAAAAUCCGCUUAACGCAUGUCCGACCAACUGAAAGGAUCAAAGUCUCAAAGAUAUCAAGAGGGGUAUUGAAUAGGCAACUAAUUUUUUACAAAAUCAUUGAUUUUAGGAAGUGUGGAAUUGGACCACACAAAGACUACAAUAUUCGCUCGAAGUUUAAGUCCUUGGGGUUCUAAUCUCCGUUGGAGAUACGUGGGACACCAAGGCACCAACAACCACAGAAACAUAGUGUUACUCUCCUUGAGCUUUGGCCACGAAUCCAAGCUCAACCACUAAGAGCAGAGCUUGAAGUAAUUUUCGGCCUUCACAAACUAUCCUUGGAAUAAUCCACAGCAUGGAAGAUCUCAGGAGACUCCAACCUUCUAAGAGUCCCCAGAAAUGCCACAGAAGUUGAACAGUUGACGCUCCUAUGUUUAAACAGACAUUUAGAAGAAUUCUACAGUGAGGGAAAGGGUGAAGAGAAAAGGAACGGAAAGCCAGCCUGAUUCACCUACAUUCUGGACAAGUCAAAGAUGGACUGCAGAGGAUACACAGACCUAAACAAGGCAUUUUGUACAUGGUCAGCUGCAGCCAGCAGCAUUGAAACAGUCACAACUUCAGUAGUAGUUCCUACUGAAAUGAUAAGUUUUGUGCAGCUUCAGUAGUAGUUCCUUCAGUGAACAGCAUAAGUUAGAUAAUAGUUGACCGGCCGAAAAGACAAGUACUACAUACACUACAUACAGUUCACACGAACGACACACAACCAACAAUCUAGUUCGUAGGAAUAGGAUUUUAUUUUUGAUGGAAGGCCCAUAGGAAUAGGAAUUCGGUUGCCUAAAACAGAGAGAGCGAGAAAGAUGGGCUCGAUCGGAUAUGUUCGUGACAUCCCCUACCAUCCAGCUUCUGCGUCCACUAUGCCCACGACUCAGCUCCACAUCAUGCUUGAUCCAAUAAUAAUCACGUAAGGCUGGCACACAAAAGUUUGUGGGCUCAUGCACCUCCUACCUUAUUUGCAUGGGGCUAAGAAAACGGUAAGGAAAAAACAAUAAAGAGGUGCACAAGGUCUCGCACCGGACGUGUCGUGAGCUUCUGCCUCCCGGAAGACCUGGCGCGUGCACGUUGCUGCUGCCACUGGUGUGCCGUUCGUGGCCGCGACAGCUCGUUCCUGUGCCUCCCGGUCGCCGCGCAGGAGCUCAUGACAACCUCCUCCACGUCCCGCCGCCAUGGUCACCACAUCGCCACUUGUCGGCCGGUCCUCUCGGUCCAGCCCAUGCUUUUUGCUGGUCCGGUCCCUGAAAACAGGACCGCUAGGUUGGUCCGUCCGGUCCGAUCCAGCCCGCUAGCGGCCAGUCCAAACGGUGGCUCGGUCAGGGACCGGACCGGACCGACCAUGUCCACCCUAUAAGGGCUCAAGAUUAUCUCAAAUUUGCAGACAUAGAAGUGCUGAGACUAUAAUGAUCAAAACACAACCUGAGAACAGCAAAUAUCUGGAAGUACAAUCCACUCUUUAGUUGCUGGAUUGCACACGAUAGCGUCAUAAAUUUCAUUAUAGUGCGUAUCACAAUGAUAACAAAGAAGUAGGCCAUUGUUGUAGUCCUUAAGCUUGAGAUCAACAUAGCACAAAAUCAAUAUCCCUAUCACUCGAGGGAAGUCCCGCCAGAAGGAUGGGAGUGCCAUGCUCACCUUUUUGGUAGAGGAGACGGACAGGAGUUCUUGGGAGCUUCUGGCGGUAGUGCGGAUCAGAUGAGAAGGCAAGCCAAGAUUUGGAGACACAUCUGAAAUGGCAAAAGGACUUAAGCGGCAGCCGAGACAGGAUCUCCACCACCAGGUCAUCAGGUAGUACAAUUGUGGUCAUCCCCUAACAAGGUUAUCUCCUAUGAGUUUUUGUUGUUGUUGAAAACACUCCUAUGAGCUUAUUUAGCAGAUGAACUUAUAUCUUCAUCAAAAGAGAAGAAAGUAAAUGAUAUAAAACUGAGGAACUUAGUGUUUAUCCAGAACUACAAGAAGUAAUGAUGCCCAUAAUUUAACGAUUAACCGGAAUGAGCAAAUUACUGGAUUGUAGCUGAGACCAGCACUUGAUAAUUGGUAAACAUUGACUCCAUGCCCAAAAUAUGGAUGUAGGAUUGUGGAUGCCAUUUGAACUGAAAUACUAUACAACUUUCACACUAAAAACCAUGACUAAAUUUUUUGUUGUUGGUCCCCUUCUAACGAUAGCUUUUGCAGUUUACACCAGAAUUUGUAAAUGUGGAUUGAGGAAAGUUUUGAAGCAUAUUUUCGUACGGGCUUAUGGCGUUCGCUGAGUGUGUGAGCGUGGGUCACGGGGAUUCAUAGUUAUGUGCAAUUGUGCAAACAAUAAAAUUACUAAGUUUUUUCCAAUGAUUGCUUUGCCAUCCAUUACAUAACAAGCCAGCAACAAUGAAAUCAUAAUGCAGUGCGUUGCUUAAUGCGCUGUGAAACAGAAAGUUAUCUGAUAAAAAAGUGAACAUAAUGAACCUUCAGGAUCUAUAAUCUUAGGGACCAACAAAAAAAAUAGUAAUGGUGCAAGGGCAAAUAUAAGCAACUCGUGAGAUAAGCAAGACAUCAGAUCAGGUGUAUGUUCCAAACCUCGAUUUGCUUUCGUGGCACGAAAUCGACAGGAUGAGGGGAAAUGAGAAAGCUCCAUGUAUUGAAAGCUCCAUGUUACUCCAGAUGUUCAUAACAUCAACAAGAUAUAGCAAUAUGCAUAUGCUCUGCAACUUUCCUACACUACGCUAGCAAUACAUAACACAUAACGAAGCCAACAAUCCAUGGAGCUUUCUCAUUUCCCAUGGAGUUAUUAAGACCAGAGAAGUGCCAAAUAGAUGAACAUAACAGAUACCGAAGCCAACAAUCCGGAACAUACAUAACAGCUGUUUGGUACAGCUAGUGCACAAAAGAUAUCAGGAUGAGGGGAAAUGCGGACUCACCUGCUUGGGGGAGAGGAAUCCAGGGUGGCGGAACGGCCGUCGUGAGAGUCAGAUUGCAUCUGCACGACCUCAGAUCAGAAACGACACAUGACAUGAGGAUAACAUUCAGCAUAAAGCAUCGACGAGAGGAAAAGGCACGAGAGCUCACCGCGUAAGCCGGCAAGCUGGACGUUGCCGGAAGCAGCGGUAGUGCCGGAGAAGGGUCUCGCCGCCGCUCUCCGGAGAAUGGGGAUUCACCGCUACUUGGGAGAGACUCGUAGUGGGAAAAGCAACGACAGUAUUUGGGCUGAGGCUCUUACUGGGCUGGGCCAAGUCCCUCAUAUUCGAUUAUUUUUUUCUACACAUUCGGCGACUGAACUAGAGACCUCCGAGAGCAACUAAUUAACGAGCGCUCCUUUGGAAGCCUCGUAACGAUCAGCACAACUUGGUGCGCUCUCAGCGAUUCGCCACGUGCCGCGCUCUGAACGCUCCCUCCAGAUUUUAUUUUUUAUAUUUUUCCGCACGCGUUUUUGGCUUUUUAAACGGUUUUUUUCAGGUUUUUUCGAUGUUUUGGUUUUCCACCGGUCUUCCCUAGCUUUUCAACAAAAAAAAACAAUUUUAAAAAAAAAUUGCGCAAAAAAACGUGUUUUCUUUUUUCUUCCUUUCCCGAGAGUCAUGGUUUUAUUCCCGUGAGAGGCACGACCGUGCCUCUUGGAAACGAAAAAAAAGCGUUUUCUAUUUUUUUUUCCUUUCGCGAUAGUCAUGGUUUAGCUUCCGCGAGAGGCACGGUAGUGCUUUCGCGAGAGUCACGGUCGUGCCUCUUGGAAAUAGAAAAAAAACGCGUUUUCUAUCUUUUUUCUUCGCGAGAGUCACGGUUUUGCUUCUGUGAGAGGCACGGUUGUGCUUUCGCGAGAGUCACGGUCGUGCCUCCUUAGAAACGAAAAAAAACGCGUUUUUUUAUUAUUAUUUUUCUUUCGCGAGAGGCACGGUUGUGAUUUCGUCAGAGGCAUGGGCGUGCCUCUUUUGAAAAGGGAAAAACCCAUGCUCCCGGUUCGGUUUUUCCGUCCGGUUUUUUUUGUCCAACUUUUUUCAUGAAAAAAAUUCGUCAAAAUCUAUCAACAUCGGAUCUAGUUUUGAAGAUCUCGAUGCGAGAAAUCCAACGGUGAAAGCGGUUCAAGAUUUGGACGCAUGGUUUAAGAGAUAAAACCUUUUGAAUAAACGGAUCUAUGAAAAGAGGAAAAACUCCCAGGUUACGACAAGUGGCGCACAUGCAACGCGCCACUUGUCGCAACCUGAGGAAUUGGAAUGAUCUUCGUAAUGAGUACUCCUUAACUAGUGAUUUCGGAGACCUCCUAUGUGCUGCUUACUGCGGCAAAAUGAUGCAGGUUCGCACAGGAGACGAGUCACCUGGCCAGCCCAUUCGCUACCCUUGCGGAACGAAAAAUAGCAACAACAAAAAAGACAUGGUGAAAGCAGUUUGAGAUUUGGACGCACUGUUUAAGAGAUAAAACGUUUUGAAUAAACGGAUCUAUGAAAAAAGNNNNNNNNNNNNNNNNNNNNNNNNNNNNNNNNNNNNNNNNNNNNNNNNNNNNNNNNNNNNNNNNNNNNNNNNNNNNNNNNNNNNNNNNNNNNNNNNNNNNNNNNNNNNNNNNNNNNNNNNNNNNNNNNNNNNNNNNNNNNNNNNNNNNNNNNNNNNNNNNNNNNNNNNNNNNNNNNNNNNNNNNNNNNNNNNNNNNNNNNNNNNNNNNNNNNNNNNNNNNNNNNNNNNNNNNNNNNNNNGGAGACCUCCUAUGUGUUGCUUACUGCGACAAAAAUGUUGCAGGUUCGCACAGGAGACGAGUCACCUGGCCCGCCCAUUCGCUACCCUUGCGGAAUGAAAAAUAGCAACAAAAAAAAGACACGGUGAAAGCGGUUCGAGAUUUGGACGCACGGUUUUAGAGAUAAAACGUUUUGAAUAAACGGAUCUAUGAAAAAAAGGAAAAACUCCCAUAUUACGACAAGUGGCGCACAUGUAACGCGUCAAUUGUCACAACCUGAGGAAUUGGAAUGAUCUUCGCAAUGAGUACUCCUUAACUAGUGAUUUCGGAGACCUCCUAUGUGCUGCUUACUGCGGCAAAAUCGCUGCCCUUGCGGAAUGAAAAAUAGCAAAAAAAAAGACACACUACGUAGGGAUUGAACUCACGACCUUCUAUAGAUGCUCGCUAUGCGCAAGCCACUGCGAAACACACACUAUUAUGUAAAAACUGCAGCGCGAAACUUAAAGAACUAGGCAGCCAUGAAAAUAAAACAAGUUCACGAAAUUCCAUAGAAAUGAAAUUUGUGGGCAACAAAUCGAACUCUUCUCCUCAAGCCAGGGAAGCUAGUCCAUAGCCACUGUGGUAAUUCCCAUACAUUUUUUAAUUAAUAACAAAAUUUAACCAUGUCAACAUUUUUUUAAUUUCCGAUUUUUUUUAAAUGUGAACUUUUUCCUAAAAAAAAGAAUUUUUGGUGUGGGAACCUAAUUUAAAAAGUUGAACAUUUUUUGAAUUACUGAACUUUUUUUAAAUGAGCGAACAAAAUUUGAAAAACAGGAACAUUUUCAGUAAAAAUGAAUAAAAUUUGUAAAAAUGAGAACAAAAAUUAAUAUUCUGAACAAAUUUUGAACUCUAAACUUUUGAAAACACGAACAACAUGAACAAAUUUGAAAAAAUGAGAACAAAAAUUAACAUUUUGAACAAAUUUUAAGAACAAAAAUAAGAUUCUGAACAAUUUUUAAAACACGAGCAACAAUGAGAACAAAAAUUAACAUUCCGAACAAUUUUUGAACUCCAAACUUUUGAAAACACGAACAACAUGAACAAAAUUUGAAAAAAAAUGAGAACAAAAACAAACAUUCCAAACAAAUUUUCAGAACAAAAGUAAGAUUUCAAACAAUUUUUGAAAAAGGAAACAAAAUUUGUGACUUAGAACAUUUUUGAAAUUUCUGAACAAAUUUUGAAAAUGCGAACAAUUAUUGAGAUUCUCAUCUUUUCCGAAUUUUGUGCAUUUGAAAUAAAACUUGAAAACAGGAAAUAUUUUCAUUGUUUGUAACAAAAAUUUGAAAAAUGUAAUCAAUUUUGAAAAUUAUGGACACUUUUUGAAAAAGGAAAAUAAACUUGAAAAAAAGAAAGAGAAAAAUAAAAAUGAACAGAAAAAGAAAAAGUAAAAAAGAAAAAGGAAAAAUAAUAGAAAGCCGGAAAAACCAGAAAAGAAUCUAAACAACAACAAAAACCCGGUUUAGGGAACCUUCUAGAAGGUUCCCAAAACCGUUUGGACGGACUGUGUGUAUUUGGAAGUGGGCCGGCCCAUGUUUUGUCGUUGGCUUGGCUGCUCUAUGCGAUCGCCUGACACUUUGCCACAGCGAGCAUCCAAUAGGGUUUUCCACUGAACUAGGCGGUCUAUCAGCGAAACUGCACAAUAGAGGACCUUCAACAACAACUAUCCAAGUUUUCUAAAAAAAAUAGCAACUAUCCAAGAUAUCAAGGGAAGAAUGCUUGAUUUUGCUUCGGUGGAUUUCAUCCAUGAGAAGCGAGAGUUGAAUCUUGAAUCUCAUAUAAAUUAUUUAAAGCAUCAACUGCUUUCGCUUUUGGCCAUCAUGUGUUGGCUUUCUGAUUUACCAGACAUCAUUUGUAUCCCUGAACUUAUUCCUAGAUAAAUAAAGUUGCUUGACCACCGGAAAAAAAACCCAGCGAAACUGCACAAUAGUACAACGUCAUUCGAGUUCGAGUAUUUGUUAAGCCUACUAGUAUUGCUAUAGGCAAUGAGGGAUGGGUUGGAAUUUGUUUCCCUCGGUUUUAAUCGUCUUGAAGCAGAAUCAGAUUCUUCACAAGUAAUUGAUUUCUUUACCUGGCGGACACAAUUGUGGGAUGCAGCCUCGGCAAUAUUUGUGGAGUGUGUGGAUACGGUGUCGAUAAUUGAAAAGGUCAUGUUUAAGCAUUGUUUACGAACUGCUAAUAAGGCAGCUCAUGUGCUAGCGAAUCAUAAUUUUUGUAAUAAGAUGUCUUUUACUUGGUUAGACGAACCGCCUGAUUUUGUUAGCAGUGCGGUCGCGAACGACGUAACCCAGUUUGAAUUUUAAUAAAGCUAGUCUGGAUGGCCUUAUCCUCGGAAAAGAAACCAAUAUUGCUAGAUUUUUGCUUGAUUUAGCUCGACGUCAUCACAUGUGUGGUUUCUGGAGCCUCCGGACUAUGUAAAACUUUCUGUUACUGAUUAAUAAAGUCUGGUGUUUUGCUCAUACAAAAAUUUAUGAAGCCAACAAACUUCGGCAAGAGUAAUUAGUCAAGGGGUCCUCCUUGCGAAAUGGCCCACCAAAGCGGUUUGUUCUUGGUUUCCCUUUCAGUUUUGGGUUUUGUAACUUUUGCACUUUGCCCUUCAUACUAUCUAGGUUUUUCGCUUUUCCCUUCCACGCGUGACACGGGUAAAAAAUAGACGCCAAAACUUUAGCCAAAAAUUGGCGUGCGUAGCAACAAAAGUAGAAUACAGCUACCAAAAAUCCCCCUUUUCACUUUCUUUUCUGAUUAUAUUUCUGGGAGAUGGAGUUUUAUGGGGUAAUUAUGGGUGUGGGGGCUUCUAAAAACUAUCAAAUGAUAGCUUUCAACUAAAAAAACAAGUUUCAGUAAUAUUACAGUGCCUGCAGGCGCAAUUCCUGCUCGCCUCCAGCUCAUUAAAAUUUCAUAUACAUCUUGAAGGGGGGUCAUAGGUCGAUGUGUGUGUUCUUCGACAACGUGUUUAUCAUAAUAACCGUGUGCUUCCGACUUCGCUGGUAGGCGAUCCCGGUUCAAAACUCCUCUCCCUUUGAUCUAAUCCUUAAAGUUCAAAACGUGUCUCACUUCCCUGCCCAUUUCCUCUUGGAUGCUCAUGAUCAUCAUCAUCACAACAUCUUCGUUCGACUCCGACGAAUCUAAGGACUCCUUUUGCAUUACUUCAUCAAGCUCCGUGUUUCCAUACUCCUCAUCUGACGAACCAUCCGAAUUCAUCAUUUUCCUACAAAAGAAUCACAAAAGAACUGGUUGGACAAUUUUUCAAACACACAGAGAGCAAGGUACAGUCCAAGAAUAGCCGAUGACAUAGGCGAUGGAUCAAUGGAAUGUCCAUGAUGUCAGUAUGCUCAAGAAGCUGUGGUCACAGACCAUGCCACCAGCGAAUGGAUGAAGCAAGAGGAGGGCAUCCUUGCCUGCAAGUAGGGAAUCCGUAGGAAUAUUGAAGGAGGAUACCAUGACCAAACUCCUUGGAUGGCCUCCGAACUGUACCUGAAGAACUCAUCGGCGAAGCAUGCUAGCUGCUCGAAUCUCCGCACUGUCUCGGCAAGGGGGGUCCUACUGGACUUCACGAUGACUGAAACAUUAGCUCAUUUGGUAACAACCUAACAUAUGAGAGCUGGCUGCUGCUAUGCCGAGAGACUGAAACCUGGCAAGAUUACAAGAGUGCUCCCAGCCAUUGUAUAGAAAGCACACACUGCAUCACACAUCCUUUUACCCAAAGCUUCAUGUUACUAUGCAGGUUUCCUAAAUUAUACUAGCAUAAGUAAGACCAGUGUUAACAGGAGAAAUGAGAAGUGACAAUUAGAUGAACAUACAUAACGGCUGUUUGGCACAGCUAGCGCACAAAAGAUACCUAGAGAUUACAUCAUCCAUCGGGUAAAUAUUCUAACAUUUGUCUUGAGCUCCCUGAAGCACAGAAGCUGGAAACUUGCCAUAGUAUGGCACGUAGAGUAGACUUCGAUAGAGGUCAACAAACCUUGGAAUGUUUAGAAUCUGCGAGCCCUUUCCAGUACUGAUGCUAUAUGAGAUGAUCUUAUUAUCAGCAAUUGUGUCAGCAAGGAAAACUAGCUCUCUCUCCAAGUCAAAUGCCAGGAUUUCAUAAUCAAAGUACCAUAAUCCUUCAUUGUUAGUAUGGAGCAUUAUGUCCCUCCCAAAUACAUUGUUCAUAUUUAGACGAUGCUUCACCACCCACCUAUCAGAUUCUUCCAAACUCCAAAUUCGGAUCAUGCAACCAUCCAAUUCUUGUUGUGCAUAGCAUAAGACUCCAGAUGACUGCCAAAGACGCCCGUCAAAGCAAUAAAACAUCUGAUCUACUCCAUAUGGAAACCCUGGCAACUGAAUGGUCCUAUGAUUGAGCUGCUGUGUGCAUGUGUCAGGUGCAUCGACUGCCAGAAGGUAAUGCCUCCAUAAGUGCUCCACAUACAACACCCCAUUUACGAAGAGCCAAGCACCAGUAAAUGCAUCACUAGUUUCCCAAAGACAACUAGACCAUGUGGAAUCCUCGGAGAAAAAUACCUUAACUUCAGUGUCAUAUCCACCAUUUGGGCUCGAACUUGACUCAAAUUUGAAGACAUAGAAGUGUUGAGACCAUAAUGGAUCAAAACACAACCUGAGAACAGAAAAUGAGACGGCUAGUCCAGGUUCAGUAUCUGGAAGUGCCAUCCACUCUUUAGUUGCUGGAUUGCACACGAUCGCGUCAGAAAUUUCUUUAUAGUACGUAUCACCAUGAUAACAAAGAAGUAAGCCAUUGCUGCAAUCCUGAAGCUUUAAGGGAUGCUCAUAACAUGGCACAAAGCUAAGUGUUGUGUCAAUAUCCCUGUCACUUGAGGGAAGGCCCGCAAGAUGGAUGGCAGGGUCAUGCUCUCUUUUUUGGUACAGGAGACCGACGGGAGGUCUGGGGAGCUUCUGGCGGUAGUGCGGAUCAGAUGAGAAGGCAAUCCAAGACUUGGAGACACAUUUGAAACGGCAAAAAGACUUAAGCGGCAGCCCAGACAAUAUCUCCACCACUAGGUCAUCAGUUAGUACAGCUGUGGUCAUCCCCUGCCGAGGUUCUAUAUCUCCUUUGAGCUUAUCUAGCAGAUGAACUUAUAUCUACAUCAAAAGAGAAGAAAAUAGAUGAUAUAAAACUGAGAAACUUACUGUUUAUGCAGAAGUGGAAGAAAUAGUGAUACCCAUAAUUUAACGAUUAACGGAAGCUCAGAUCAGCACUUGAUAAAUGGUAAUCAUUGACUCCAUACUGGAAAUAUGGAUGUAGAAUCAUCGAUGUCAUUGCACAGAAAUAGUAUCCAACUUUCACACUAAAAACCAUGACUGUUUUUUGUUGUUGGUCCCCUUCUUACAAUACUUUCGUGGUUUAUUCACACCAGAAUUUGCAAACGAGUAAAGUUCUGAAGCAUAUUUUCGUAUGGGCUCAUGGCCUAUGCUGAGAGGGUCACGGGGAUUCACCGGUUGAAUGACACAGGGAUACUGCUAUCUACUCCUAUGUGCAAACAAUGAAAUUACUGCGAGUUUUUCAUCAGAUAUCAGAUCAUAUAUUCAUAUAUAUGCUCCAAACGGCGACUUCCUUUCGCGGAAUGAAGGCGACAGGACGAGGGGAAAAGCGGACUCACCAGCUAGGGCGAGGGACGGCGGAACAGACGGCGGUGAGAUCCAGGUUGCAUCUGCAACGAGCUCGGAUCAGAAUUCAGAAACCGCACACGAGGACAAACAUGCGGCGUAGGCACCGAGGAGAGGAAGAGGAACGGGAGCUCACCGCGUAAUGGUUGCUUCCGGUCGUCGGCGAGUGCGGUCGGCCAGGCAGCAACCGGAACGAGGCUGCGGAGGUGAGGCGGCAGUACGGGGAGCUUGACGCUGCAGCAAGCAGCGGUCGUGCCGGAGAAGGGCCUCGCCGCGGCUCGCCGGAGAAUGGGGAUUCGCCGCUAGUUGUCCAGAUUGGGAGAGAGUGGGAUCACAUUUGGGCCGAGGCUGCUCGCUAGGGCAAAGGAAGAAAGAGAGCCUCUUACUGGGCUGGGCCUAGUCCCUCUCGUUUUUAUAUUUGCCUCAGCUCUCUACUACUACUCUGAUAUGCGAGCGGCGAUCCCUCAAAAAAAAAAUUGAUAUGCGAGCGGCUUGGAAUCCAGCAAGUGAGGUGCGGUGGCGCAAGAUUGAAAAUAACAUGUUUACAGUCCAAUUUGGAUGCCUAGGAGAUUUUUAUCGGGGACAUCCGGAUGCCUAGGAGAUUGAAAAUAGCCAUUGUGCUUACAAAUUCGGUCACUGGAUGGCACAUGUCCCACAGCCUAACGCGUAUUUUUUGAAUUUUCUUACUUUUAAGAGGAAUCUCUAUUUCCGAUCAUGUCAUCAUCUAGCCCCAUUCAACGUCUUGGAAGUGGACUAGGAUCAGGUGACUUGCCUCUUGGCAGUCACGCUGUAACAUGCGCCUGUAAGUCCAACAUAUGUAGCUUUGUGUGCCUGAUCUUGCUGAGUUUUUGUUCUUUUCUUUUUCUAGAGAUUGAUUUAUGGUUGACUUAAAUCGCUGAAGUCUGGGCCGUCUUUGGCCUUCAAUGAACGUUGGAUUUAGAGUAUCUCCACUCGUUCGGCCCUCCAGUGCAUAGGCCGACGCCUUUUCGUGCAUCCACCCGGCGAUUUUUAGACCCUGGGGGCAACUAAGGCCCCAGCCACGCCCCCAGGUGCCGCCCCCCAGGGCCCCAGCCAUGUGCCCCAUAUUCAAACUUGAUCGUUCCCGCUUCAAAAAAAGGCCUGAUCCGGCGAUCAUCGCAAUAGUUCAGCGAUCAGUGCCACAGUUCAGCGAUCAAAUGAAAGGAUAGCCAAUAGUUCGGCGCACAAAAAAAGGAAGGACGCGAAUGGAAUGCAUCAAACAUCGAGGUCGCCCUCCGGUGUCGUCAUCUGCGUGCGCGGGCUGGGAGGAGUCGGCACGGCUUCUGGACUAGUCGGCGCGGCUUCUGUGCUGCUGGGCGUCGCGGAUGCAUCAUCAGUCGGGCUGGGCGGUGGCGUUGGCGUCGGCGUUGGAGUCGCCGGUAUCUAGUUCAGGAUGAGGCCGCGCUCCACCAGGAACCACGCCUUGAGCUUCUCGUCGCCGCUCUGGAGCAUGUCAGCGCCGCCCAUCAAGAAAGCCAGGUCGUUGUUCCUCUUCUUGGCGUCUUGAGCUUUGAGCUUCGUGGCAACGUUGGUCCGGAGCAAGUCGAGUUUGACGGCGUUGUUCGUCGUCAAAGCAGCCCACCGCGCCUCAGAUUUCUCUUCUCGCUGGGCAGCCCUGGUCUUGGCGUCGGCGAGGCAAUGCUCGAUGGACUCUUGCACGCGUGCGGCAGCCGACUCAGCGUGUUUCACCUUCUUGGCCCCUUUGUUGCCGUCCGGGCGCCCGUCGGCCGCGCCCGGUGUCGGCGCGUCCAGCUUAUACGUCUCCUUGGCCUUGACGAGGGUGCACCGGAUAUCCGCCCACUUCUCGCACUUGUCGAUCCGUUUGAAGACGUGGAGGUACUUGAACUCUUGGUCACUGUUGUCGUCGCGGUACAUGGCGAACAUGCGCAACAGCUGCGGCGAAGAGCGAGCAUCAGUCGACGCGGGCGUGCAAAUGGGCGCGUGCAUGGCGAGAGGAAUAGGGAGAGGGCGGCGUGCUGUACCUGAUCCUCGACGCUGGUGCUGCUCUCCGGGCGAGCUGCGACCUCCUCGACGAUCCCAUGCCAUUUGUCGCACGCUGUUUGGAUGAGCCCCAAAUGGUUCCCCAUCGCCUUCGACCCCCGCUGCAUGUGGACGCUUUUGAGUAGGGGUCGACGAGCUUGCGCUCGUCGAACUCAGCCUUUAUGCGGUACCAAUAUGUGUCGAUUUUCUGGUUCGUGCCGGUGAUCGGGUCGAGGCAGAUAACUUUCCACGCUUCGGCGAGGCACUCAUCUUCCUUGGUCGCCCACUUGAUGCGCGGCUCGCCGGUCUUGGCCGCCCCUUUCUUCUUCUUCUUCUUCUUCUUCUUCUUCUUCUUCUUCUUCUUCUUCUUCUUCUUCUUCUUCUUCUUGCCUUUCCUCGUCCGCGCCGGCUCUUCCUCUUCCUCCUCCUCCUCCUCCUCCUCCUCCUCCUCCUCCGGCUCUUGCUCGCCGUAGUCGAGCUCGCCGUCCAUGUCGUCGAGAUAAAUCGAGCCGUCUUAGGUAGUGAACCCAGGGGAAGCGGCGGCGGCAGCCGAGCCGGCUGCGAUGAUGUCUUCCAUGUCGGCCUCUGUCGCGUCGGCGUCGCCAAGAUGCGACGAGGAGGAGGCUUGCGAGUAGAGGCCGCGACGGAGAAGUGGCGUCAGGGAGGCGGCGUAGUCCGGUGACGAGUACGUGUAUGGAGGGUACUGUUGGAGAACGUUGCAGAAAACAAAAAAUUUCCUACGGUUUCACCAAGAUCCAUCUAUGAGUUCAUCUAACAACGAGUGAUUAGAUACAUCUACAUACCUUUGUAGAUCGCGAGCGGAAGCAUUCAAAGAACGGGGAUGAUGUAGUCGAACAUGACGUCAUCCAAAUCACCGGAGAUCCUAGCACCGAACGGACGGCACCUCCGCGUUCAACACACGUACGGAACAGCCACGUCUCCUCCUUCUUGAUCCAGCAAGGGAGGAGGAGAGGUUGAGGGAGAUGGCACCAGCAGCAGCACGACGGCGUGGUGUUGAUGGAGCUGCAGUACUCCGGCAGGGCUACGCCAAGCACUAUGGAGGAGGAGGAGGUGUUGGAGAGGGAGAAGGAGGCAAACCAAAGGCCUGGGUGGUUUUGCUCCUCCUUUUCCCCACUAUAUAUAGGGCCAAGGGAGAGGGGGAGGCGCAGCCCUUGCCCCUUCCUCCAAGGAAGGGUGCGGCCAAAGGGGGGGAGGAGUCCAUCCUCCCCAAGGCACCUUGGAGGUGCCUUCCCCCUUUAGGACUCUCCCCUUUUUUUCUUCUCUUGGCGCAUGGACCUCUUUGGGCUGGUGCCCUUGGCCCAUGUAGGCCAAGGCACACCCCCUACAGCCCAUGUGCCCCCCCGGGAUAGGUGGCCCCACCCGGUGGACCCCCGGGACCCUUCCGGUGGUCCCGGUACAAUACCGAUAACCCCGAAACUUGUCCCGAUGCCCGAAACAGGACUUCCCAUAUAUAAAUCUUUACCUCCGGACCAUUCCGGAACUCCUCGUGACGUCCGAGAUCUCAUCCGGGACUCCGAACAACCUUUGGGUUACUGCAUAUACAUAUCCCUACAACCCUAGCGUCACUGAACCUUAAGUGUGUAGACCCUACGGGUUCGGGAGACAUGUAGACAUGACCGAGAUCGCUCUCCGGUCAAUAACCAACAGCGGGAUCUGGAUACCCAUGUUGGCUCCCACAUGCUCCACGAUGAUCUCAUCGGAUGAACCAUGAUGUCGAGGAUUUAAUCAACCCCGUAUACAAUUCCCUUUGUCAAUCAGUAUGUUACUUGCCCGAGACUCGAUCGUCGGUAUCCCAAUACCUUGUUCAAUCUCGUUACCGGCAAGUCACUUUACUCGUACCGUAAUGCAUGAUCCCGUGACCAGACACUUGGUCACUUUGAGCUCAUUAUGAUGAUGCAUUACCGAGUGGGCCCAGUGAUAUCUCUCCGUCAUACGGAGUGACAAAUCCCAGUCUCGAUCCGCAUAAAACAAUAGAUACUUUCGGAGAUACCUGUAGUGCACCUUUAUAGUCACCCAGUUACGUUGUGACGUUUGAUACACCCAAAGCACUCCUACGGUAUCCAGGAGUUACACGCUCUCAUGGUCAAAGGAAGAGAUACUUGACAUUAGAAAAGCUCUAGCAAAUGAACUACACGAUCUCACGCUAUGCUUAGGAUUGGGUCUUGUCCAUCACAUCAUUAUCCUAAUGAUGUGAUCCCGUUAUCAAUGACAUCCAAUGUCCAUAGCCAGGAAAUCAUGACUAUCUGUUGAUCAACGAGCUAGUCAACUAGAGGCUUACUAGGGACAUAUUAUGGUCUAUGUAUUCACACGUGUAUUACGAUUUCCGGAUAAUAUGGUUAUAGCAUGAAUAAAGACAAUUAUCAUGAACAAAGAAAUAUAAUAAUAAUGCUUUUAUUAUUGCCUCUAGGGCAUAUUUUCAACAGUCUCCCACUUGCACUAGAGUCAAUAAUCUAGUUACAUUGUGAUGAAUCGAACACCCAUGGAAUUCUGGUGUUGAUCAUGUUUUGCUCUAGGGAGAGGUUUAGUCAAUGGAUCCGCUACAUUCAGGUCCGUAUGUACUUUACAAAUCUCUAUGUCUCCAUCUUGAACAUUUUCACGAAUGGAGUUGAAGCGACGCUUGAUGUGCCUUGUCUUCUUGUGAAACCUGGGCUCCUUGGCAAGUGCAAUAGCUCCAGUGUUGUCACAGAAGAGCUUGAUCGGCCCCGACGCAUUGGGUAUGACUCCUAGGUCGGUGAUGAACUCCUUCAUCCAAAUUGCUUCAUGUGCUGCCUCCGAGGCUGCCAUGUACUCCGCUUCACAUGUAGAUCCCGCCACGACGCUCUGCUUGCAACUGCACCAGCUUACUGCCCCACCAUUCAAAAUAUACACGUAUCCGGUUUGUGACUUAGAGUCAUCCAGAUCUGUGUCGAAGCUAGCGUCGACGUAACCCUUUACGACGAGCUCUUCAUCACCUCCAUAAACGAGAAACAUUUCCUUAGUCCUUUUCAGGUACUUCAGGAUAUUCUUGACCGCUGUCCAGUGUUCCUUGCCGGGAUUACUUUGGUACCUUCCUACCAAACUUACGGCAAGGUUUACAUCAGGUCUGGUACACAGCAUGGCAUACAUAAUAGAACCUAUGGCUGAGGCAUAGGGGAUGACACUCAUCUCUUCUAUCUCUGCUGCCAUGGUCGGACAUUGAGCUGAGCUCAAUUUCACACCUUGCAAAACAGGCAAGAACCCUUUCUUGGACUGAUCCAUUUUGAACUUCUUCAAAAUCUUAUCAAGAUAUGUGCUUUGUGAAAGACCUAUGAGGCGUCUUGAUCUAUCCCUAUAGAUCUUGAUGCCUAAUAUAUAAGCAGCUUCUCCAAGGUCCUUCAUUGAAAAACUCUUAUUCAAGUAGGCCUUAAUGCUGUCCAAAAGUUCUAUAUCAUUUCCCAUCAAAAGUAUGUCAUCUACAUAUAGUAUGAGAAAUGCUAUAGAGCUCCCACUCACUUUCUUGUAAACACAGGCUUCUCCAUAAGUCUGUGUAAACCCAAACGCUUUGAUCAUCUCAUCAAAAUGAAUGUUCCAACUCCGAGAUGCUUGCACCAGCCCAUAAAUCGAGCGUUGGAGCUUGCACACCUUGUCAGCAUUUUUAGGAUCGACAAAACCUUCCGGCUGCAUCAUAUACAAUUCUUCCUUAAGGAAACCAUUAAGGAAUGCCGUUUUGACGUCCAUUUGCCAAAUUUCAUAAUCAUAAAAUGCGGCAAUUGCUAACAUGAUUCGGACGGACUUCAGCUUCGCUACCGGUGAGAAAGUCUCAUCGUAGUCAACCCCUUGAACUUGUCGAUAACCCUUAGCGACAAGCCGAGCUUUAUAGAUGGUCACAUUACCAUCCGCGUCUGUCUUCUUCUUAAAGAUCCAUUUAUUUUCUAUGGCUCGCCGUUCUACGGGCAAGUCAGUCAAAAUCCAUACUUCGUUUUCAUACAUGGAUCCUAUCUCGGAUUUCAUGGCUUCUAGCCAUUUGUCGGAAUCCGGGUCCGCCAUUGCUUCUUCAUAGUUCGAAGGUUCACUGUUGUCUAACAACAUGAUUUCCAAGACAGGGUUGCCGUACCACUCUGGUGUGGAACGUGUCCUUGUGGACCUUCGAAUUUCAGUAGGAGCUUGAUCAGAAGUAUCUUGAUCAUUAACUUCCUCUCUAACCGGUGCAGGCACCUCAGGAACAUUUUCUUGAGUUGCGCCAUUUUCCGGUUCAGGAGGUAAUACUUCAUCAAGCUCUACUUUCCUCCCACUUACUUCUUUCGAGAGAAACUCUUUCUCCAGAAAGGACCCAUUCUUGGCAACAAAGAUCUUGCCUUCGGAUCUGAGGUAGAAGGUAUACCCAUAAGUUUCUUUAGGGUAUCCUAUGAAGACGCAUUUUUCCGACUUGGGUUCGAGCUUUUCAGGUUGAAGUUUCUUGACAUAAGCAUCGCAUCCCCAAACUUUUAGAAACGACAGCUUAGGUUUCUUCCCAAACCAUAAUUCAUACGGUGUCGUCUCAACGGAUUUCGACGGAGCCCUAUUUAAAGUGAAUGCGGCAGUCUCUAAAGCAUAGCCCCAAAAAGAUAGCGGUAAAUCGGUAAGAGACAUCAUAGAUCGCACCAUAUCUAAUAGAGUGCGAUUACGACGUUCGGACACACCAUUACGCUGAGGUGUUCCAGGCGGCGUGAGUUGUGAAACUAUUCCACAUUUUCUUAAGUGUGUGCCAAAUUCGUGACUCAAGUAUUCUCCUCCACGAUCUGAUCGUAGAAACUUGAUUUUCCUGUCACGUUGAUUUUCAACCUCACUCUGAAAUUCCUUGAACUUUUCAAAGGUUUCAGACUUGUGUUUCAUUAAGUAGACAUACCCAUAUCUACUCAAGUCAUCAGUGAGGGUGAGAACAUAAUGAUAGCCACCGCGAGCCUCAACACUCAUUGGACCGCACACAUCAGUAUGUAUGAUUUCCAAUAAGUUGGUUGCUCGCUCCAUUGUUCCUGAGAACGGAGUCUUGGUCAUUUUUCCCAUGAGGCAUGGUUCGCACGUGUCAAAUGAUUCAUAAUCAAGAGACUCUAAAAGUCCAUCUGCAUGGAGCAUCUUCAUGCGUUUGACAGCUAUGUGACCAAGGCGGCAGUGCCACAAGUAUGUGGGACUAUCGUUAUCAACUUUAUAUCUUUUGGUACUCACACUAUGAACAUGUGUAGUAAUACGCUCGAGAUUCAUUAAGAAUAAACCAUUGACUAUCAGAGCAUGACCAUAAAACAUAUCUCUCAUAUAAAUAGAACAACCAUUAUUCUCAGAUUUAAAUGAGUAGCCAUCUCAUAUUAAACGAGAUUCUGAUACAAUGUUCAUGCUCAAACUUGGCACUAAAUAACAAUUAUUGAGGUUUAUAACUAAUCCCGUAGGUAAAUGUAGAGGUAGCGUGCCGACGGCGAUCACAUCGACCUUGGAACCAUUCCCGACGCGCAUCGUCACCUCGUCCCUAUCCAGUUUUCGUUUAUUCCGCAGCUCCUGCGGUGAGUUACAAAUAUGAGCAACGACACCGGUAUCAAAUACCCAGGAGUUACUACAAUUACUGGUAAGGUACACAUCAAUUACAUGUAUAUCAAAUAUACCUUUGGUUUUGCCGGCCUUCUUGUCCGCUAAGUAUUUGGGGCAGUUCCGCUUCCAGUGACCACUUUCCUUGCAAUAAAAGCACUCAGUCUCGGGUUUGGGUCCAUUCUUUGGCUUCUUCCCGACAGCUUGCUUGCUGGGCGCGGCAACUACCUUGCCGUCCUUCUUGAAGUUCUUUUUACCCUUUCCCUUCUUGAACUUAGUGGUUUUAUUGACCAUCAACACUUGAUGUUCCUUCUUCACUUCUACCUCUGCUGAUUUCAGUAUAGCAAAUACUUCAGGAAUGGUCUUUUCCAUCCCCUGCAUAUUGAAGUUCAUCACAAAGCUCUUGUAGCUUGGUGGAAGCGACUGGAGGAUUCUGUCAAUGACCGCAUCAUCCGGGAGAUUAACUCCCAGCGGAGUCAAGCGGUUAUGUAACCCAGACAUAGUGAGUAUGUGCUCACUGACAGAACUAUUUUCCUCCAUCUUACAGCUGAAGAAUUUGUCGGAGACUUCAUAUCUCUCGACCCGGGCAUGAGCUUGGAAAACCAUUUUCAGCUCUUCGAACAUCUCAUAUGCUCCAUGUCUCUCAAAACGCUUUUGGAGCCCCGGCUCUAAGCUGUAAAGCAUGCCGCACUGAACGAGGGAGUAGUCAUCGGAACGUGCCUGCCAAGCGUUCAUAACGUCUUGUUCUGCAGGGAGGACAGGUGCGUCACCCAGCAGUGCUUGUAGGACAUAAUCUUUCUUGGCAGCUAUGAGGAUGAUCCUCAGGUUCCGGACCCAGUCCGUAUAGUUGCUGCCAUCGUCUUUCAGCUUGGUUUUCUCUAGGAACGCGUUGAAAUUGAAUACUACAUUGGCCAUUUGAUCUACAAGACAUAUUGUAAAGAUUUUAGACUAAGUUCAUGAUAAUUAAGUUCAUCUAAUCAAAUUAUUAAUAAACUCCCACUCAGAUUAGACAUCCCUCUAGUCAUCUAAGUGUUACACGAUCCGAGUCGACUAGGCCAUGUCCGAUUAACACGUGAGACGGACUAGUCAUCGCCGGUGAACAUCUUCAUGUUGAUCGUAUCUUCCAUACGACUCGUGUUCGACCUUUCGGUCUUUGUGUUCCGAGGCUAUGUCUUCACAUGCUAGGCUCGUCAAGUUAACCCUAAGUGUUUUUGCAUGUGUAAAACUUCUUACACCCGUUGUAUGUGAACGUAAGGAUCUAUCACACCCGAUUAACACGUGGUGCUUCGAAACGACGAACUGUAGCAACGGUGCACAGUUAGGGGAGAACACUUCUUGAAAUUUUUGUAAGGGAUCAUCUUAUUUACUACCGUCGUCCUAAGUAAACAAGAUGCAUAAAACAUAAUAAACAUCACAUGCAAUUAUAUAAAGUAGUGACAUGAUAUGGCCAAUAUCAUAUAGCUCCUUUGAUCUUCAUCUUCGGGGCUCCAUGAUCAUCUUGUCACUGGCAUGACACCAUGAUCUCCAUCAUCAUGAUCUCCAUCAUCGUGUCUUCAUGAAGUUGUCACGCCAACGACUACUUCUACUUCUAUGACUAACGCGUUUAGUAAUAAAGUAAAGUAGUUUACAUGGCGUUCUUCAAUGACACGCAGGUCAUACAAAAAAUAAAGACAACUCCUAUGGCUCCUGCCGGUUGUCAUACUCAUCGACAUGCAAGUCGUGAUUUCUAUUACAAUAGCAUGAACAUCUCAUACAUGACAUAUAGAUCAUUCAUCAUUCAUCACAACUUUGGCCAUAUCAUAUCACAAAGCACUUGCUGCAAAAACAAGUUAGACGUCCUCUAAUUGUUGUUGCAUGUUUUACGUGGCUGAAGUAGGGUUCUAGCAAGAACGUUUUCUUACCUACGUGAAACCACAACGUGAUUUGUCAACUUCUAUUUACCCUUCAUAAGGACCCUUUUCAUCGAAUCCGCUUCAACUAAAGUAGGAGAGACAGACACCCGCCAGCCACCUUAUGCAACUUGUGCAUGUUAGUCGGUGGAACCGGUCUCACGUAAGCGUACGUGUAAGGUUGGUCCGGGCCGCUUCAUCCCACAAUACCGCUGAAGCAAGAUAAGACUAGUAGCGGCAAGAAAGUUGACAAAUCUACGCCCACAACAAAUUGUGUUCUACUCGUGCAAGAAGAACUACGCAUAGACCUAGCUCAUGAUGCCACUGUUGGAGAACGUUGCAGAAAACAAAAAUUUUCCUACGGUUUCACCAAGAUCCAUCUAUGAGUUCAUCUAACAACGAGUGAUUAGAUACAUCUACAUACCUUUGUAGAUCGCGAGCGGAAGCGUUCAAGGAACGGGGAUGAUGUAGUCGAACACGACGUGAUCCAAAUCACCGGAGAUCCUAGCACCGAACGGACGGCACCUCCGCGUUCAACACACGUAAGGAACAGCCACGUCUCCUCCUUCUUGAUCCAGCAAGGGGGAGGAGAGGUUGAGGGAGAUGGCACCAGCAGCAGCACGACGGCGUGGUGUUGAUGGAGCUGCAGUACUCCGGCAGGGCUACGCCAAGCACUAUGGAGGAGGAGGAGGUGUUGGAGAGGGAGAAGGAGGCAAACCAAAGGCCUGUGGUGGUUUUGCUCCUCCUUUUCCCCACUAUAUAUAGGGCCAAGGGAGAGGGGGAGGCGCAGCCCUUGCCCCUUCCUCCAAGGAAGGGUGCGGCCAAAGGGGGGGAGGAGUCCAUCCUCCCCAAGGCACCUCGGAGGUGCCUUCCCCCUUUAGGACUCUCCCCUUUUUUUCUUCUCUUGGCGCAUGGGCCUCUUGGGGCUGGUGCCCUUGGCCCAUGUAGGCCAAGGCACACCCCCUACAGCCCAUGUGGCCCCCCCGGGAUAGGUGGCCCCACCCGGUGGACCCCCGGGACCCUUCCGGUGGUCCCGGUACAAUACCGAUAACCCCGAAACUUGUCCCGAUGCCCGAAACAGGACUUCCCAUAUAUAAAUCUUUACCUCCGGACCAUUCUGGAACUCCUCGUGACGUCCGGGAUCUCAUCCGGGACUCCGAACAACAUUCGGGUUACUGCAUAUACAUAUCCCUACAACCCUAGCGUCACUGAACCUUAAGUGUGUAGACCCUACGGGUUCGGGAGACAUGUAGACAUGACCGAGAUCGCUCUCCGGUCAAUAACCAACAACGGGAUCUGGAUACCCAUGUUGGCUCCCACAUGCUCCACGAUGAUCUCAUCGGAUGAACCACGAUGUCGAGGAUUUAAUCAACCCCGUAUACAAUUCCCUUUGUCAAUCGGUAUGUUACUUGCCCGAGACUCGAUCGUCGGUAUCCCAAUACCUUGUUCAAUCUCGUUACCGGCAAGUCACUUUACUCGUACCGUAAUGCAUGAUCCCGUGACCAGACACUUGGUCACUUUGAGCUCAUUAUGAUGAUGCAUUACCAAGUGGGCCCAGUGAUAUCUCUCCGUCAUACGGAGUGACAAAUCCCAGUCUCGAUCCGCAUAAAACAAUAGAUACUUUCGGAGUUACCUGUAGUGCACCUUUAUAGUCACCCAGUUACGUUGUGACGUUUGAUACACCCAAAGCACUCCUACGGUAUCCAGGAGUUACACGCUCUCAUGGUCAAAGGAAGAGAUACUUGACAUUAGAAAAGCUCUAGCAAACGAACUACACGAUCUCACGCUAUGCUUAGGAUUGGGUCUUGUCCAUCACAUCAUUAUCCUAAUGAUGUGAUCCCGUUAUCAAUGACAUCCAAUGUCCAUAGCCAGGAAAUCAUGACUAUCUGUUGAUCAACGAGCUAGUCAACUAGAGGCUUACUAGGGACAUAUUAUGGUCUAUGUAUUCACACGUGUAUUACGAUUUCCGGAUAAUACAGUUAUAGCAUGAAUAAAGACAAUUAUCAUGAACAAAGAAAUAUAAUAAUAAUGCUUUUAUUAUUGCCUCUAGGGCAUAUUUCCAACAGGUACUGCACGCUGGCGAACGCGGGCGAGGGCGUGCGCUGGACCGGGCGCCCAUGGGGGAAGGUGAUGUUGGGGUUGAAACCACCGUGGACGUCGCUGUUAGCAUAGCCCGGCGACGGCGUGCUCCAUGGGUGUGGCGACGACGAGAAGUCGGCCGGAGAUCCGACGCUUUGCUGGCUCCAGGCCGCGUGCGGGCCGUGGCCGCCAGGUGGAUUCAUCAUCCCUGCAUGAGCCGCCUCGGCUUGUUCGGCCGUCGAGCGCUCCGCCUGCUCCGCGGCUGCAAGUGCCGCCCUCUCCCGGGCCUUCUUGGCCCUGUUGCGCCUAUCGGCGGUGACGGCCUCUCGGCGCUGCACUUCCGCCUUCCAGUCGGCGUUGCUCAUGCCCGGGGGCUUGGACGGCGGCGCCCUCUGCUUCGGCUGGGCGAUGGCGGCGGCUGUGGUAUCCGUCGCGGCGCGGGGGAACACGUACUUCUUUGGCGACAUGGCGACCAGCUUGGAAGAGAGGAGACAGAGUUUGGCGGGAGGAAUGGACAAUGAGAGGGAAGCCGAUGGGGGAAGCGGGAGGAAACGGCAGGAAAAGGGCCUCCUCUCGCUGACAGAGAGGCCCCACGCCCCUUUUCGCUUCUGCUGACGCCCCCAGGCGACACCCGGGCGCUUGGGUUCGGGUCGGGAUUGCCCGCUCUGGAUUUGCCCCAAACCGGCGCUAAAUGAGGUCCCGGGGGAGCGACUGGGCCGAUUUUCGGCCACCGAUGCUAAAUGAGGUCCUGGNNNNNNNNNNNNNNNNNNNNNNNNNNNNNNNNNNNNNNNNNNNNNNNNNNNNNNNNNNNNNNNNNNNNNNNNNNNNNNNNNNNNNNNNNNNNNNNNNNNNNNNNNNNNNNNNNNNNNNNNNNNNNNNNNNNNNNNNNNNNNNNNNNNNNNNNNNNNNNNNNNNNNNNNNNNNNNNNNNNNNNNNNNNNNNNNNNNNNNNNNNNNNNNNNNNNNNNNNNNNNNNNNNNNNNNNNNNNNNNNNNNNNNNNNNNNNNNNNNNNNNNNNNNNNNNNNNNNNNNNNNNNNNNNNNNNNNNNNNNNNNNNNNNNNNNNNNNNNNNNNNNNNNNNNNNNNNNNNNNNNNNNNNNNNNNNNNNNNNNNNNNNNNNNNNNNNNNNNNNNNNNNUACAGCCGCAUGUUACAGCGUGACUGCCAAGAAGCAAGUCACCUGAUCCCAGUCCACUUCCAAGACGUUGAAUGGGGCCAGAUGAUGACAUGAUCGACUUCCCCGCAGGUUAAGGCAUCUCAUAAAUAAGAUUCUGCCAAUAUAUCAUUUUUGUUGUUGCGAAAGGAAUCAGCAAAAGGUGAUGUUCCAGUUAGUGUUAGCUGCAUCAGUGACCAAGACUUUCAGGGUUCUCACAAUAAUAGACUUCAGGGUGUCAGCAACUGUGUCUCAUGAAAUUGGUUAGUUUGAGAGCUGCGGCAUGCCGCUGGUGGCAACACUAUCCUGCGUGGAUAGACAAUGGAUCAGUAGUUAAACGGGUAACACCAAAUUGGACAUGCAGGAGAACAUGCAGAUGUUCAUUGUCCAUAAACAGAGCAUCAGGUUCCUCUCCUAUGCUGCAGUCACCGGCCAUGCCACAAUCCUUGACUGAAGGGGCUCAGUAGGAUACCAUGACCAAACUCCUUGGACGGAUUCCGAACCUCCGCACUGUCAGCAAGGCCGCAAGGCGGAUCCUACUCGACUUUGCUAUGACAGAAGAAUUAGCUUUUCUAGUAAAUCAAUCAAAUAUAUGAGCGUUAGCUGCUAUACCAAAGAGACUGAAGCAUGGCAAAAUUACAGGAGUUCUCCCAGCCAUUGUAUAGAAAUCUCACAGAGUCUCACACGUCCUUGCAUAGAAAGCUUCAUAACAUCAACAGACAUAGGAAUAUGCUCUGCAGUUUUCCCACAUUAGGCCAGUAUAAGCAAGACCAGAGUUAAUAGGAGAAAUGACAAGUGCCAAUUAGAUGAACAUAAUACAUAACGAAGCCAACAAUCCGCUACAUGCAUAACAACCGGUUGGUACAGCUAGUGCACAAAAGAUACCUAGAGAUUAAAGCAUUCAUAGGGUAAAUAUUCUAACAUUUGUCUUGAGCUCCCUGAAGCACAGAAGCUGGAAACUUGCCAUAGUAUGGCACGUAGAGUAGACUUCGAUAGAGGUCAACAAACCUUGGAAUGUUUAGAAUCUGCGAGCCCUUUCCAGUACUGAUGCUAUAUGAGAUGAUCUUAUUAUCAGCAACUGUGUCAGCAAGGUAAACUAGCUCUCUCUCCAAGUCAAAUGCCAGGAUUUCAUAAUCAAAGUACCAUAAUCCUUCAUUGUUAGUAUGGAGCAUUAUGUCCCUCCCAAAUACAUUGUUCAUAUUUAGACGAUGCUUCACCACCCACCUAUCAGAUCCUUCCAAACUCCAAAUUCGGAUGAAACAACCAUCUAAUUCUUGUUGUGCAUAGCAUAGGACCCCAGAUGACUGCCAAAGACGCCCGUCAAAGCAAUAAAACCUCUGAUCUGGUCCAUAUGGAAACCCUGGCAACUGAAUGGUCCUAUGAUUGAGCUGCUGUGCGCAUGUGUCAG